GGUGGUUUCUCUCCCUUGGGAGGUUUACCAAUUGGGGUUGGUGGCUUGUGUUCUGGGAGUGGUUUCUCUCCCUUGGGAGGUUUAGUGGGUGACUUGUGUUCUGGAGGUGGCUUCUCCACCGAAGGCUUGUGCUCCGGUGGUGGCUUUUUGGUUGGAGGGGGCUUGGGGUAAUCAGCAAGAGAUGGGGUGGUGAGAACCACCAGUCCAAGGAACAACACUAGCAAGUAUGUGGGAGACAUUUUUGAGUUUGGGCUGAUCAGAUGAUGCAAAACUAAAGCAUUACGUGACCUUUUAUAGCAAGUAGCUCCCAAUACCUACUUGACACGUGUUACUGUGACCCAUAAAUAUUAUGGGGUCUAUUUGUGCCCUACCGGGUUGAAAACUUGGACAAUUGGGCAAGGACCCGCCUGACUAUGGAGGACUACUGAGGUGUGAUCACAGCUUUAGGAUUUUUCUUCCUCUGCAGCCGUCUUGCCGUUGGCAUGAUUUUCUUAAUCUCAAAUAAAGGCAUAGUUAUAGAGUUGUUUAAUCUCUAAAUGGGAUUUUAUAUAUCUUCAGAUAGCCAUUAAUACAUUUGAUGAAGAAAGAAAGACAAGUGCAUACAACAUGUAUACGACUAGCUUUCAUGGAGUUCAUUUAUGAUCAGUUUUCCUGUACAUGUAAACCAAGAUCAUAUAUGUUUUUGUUCCACAACAAUUUUGGAAUCUUGUUUAUCCGUUUUUAUCAUUAUAAUGUCACAUAGGCUGCCAACUUGGGCGCUAAAUUAAAGAUCCAGUUGGGCAAGUUCGUUUCAGAAUUUCAAUGGUGGAUUCAGGAAUUGUUUUAUAAGAUAUGCAAAAUAGUAGAGGGAUGAAUAGUGUUUCAUUAAGAAAAGAGCCCUGUAAAAAUAUUGUUUAAAGGUGCCAUAGAAACUAUAAUCAAUAAAUAACUUUUUUUCCCCAUGGGUGGUGUUUCUUGUGGGGAUCAGUGACUGGUUUGAGUCAACGCCGUGUCUCUUUAGUCCAGAAAUCAACUAUUUUAUGCAUUGAAUACAUCAACAAAGAAAAUAUGAAAGCCAAAUGACACCUCCCCCGCAAAAACUAAACCCUGGUUGCUAACUUUCUAUGUUUCAGUUCCAUUCACACAAGAAUAUUAGUUCAAGUUUGAGAAAAAUGGCGACUUACCUAGUGAUAACUCGGUCUUGGUUUGCGAUUUGACUUUAACGUCAUGGGUUGAAGCCUCCUACAAUCAUCGUGUAUGCUAGUUCAAAGCUCGUGGAAGAAGUUAUACAGGGAGGGAGAAACCUCCACAGCAAGCUCCAAAAGAGAAUUAUCACAUUGAAAGCUCCAGUUGAACACUGGGUGAAAGCCAUAACAAGAUUGGUUUUCUAUCGCUCUUUUAAGUAAUGGAAGAUUAUUAUCUCUGCUUGUCACUACAACCGUGCAUGCUGCUAGAUCUUUCUAGACACUUCAAACAGUGAAACCAAGUAUGAUUCUUUUUCUCUUGAGUGGGUCCACUUGCAUGCCAAUGAACGAGUUGAAAAGUUGGACAAUUGGCCACAGCGCGCACUUACCUUCUGGAACCGAAGGUCAGUGAAGUGGGGUUCCUUUUGGCCCCUUGUGUUUCUGUUCCAACCUACUCCAGGAACCGAAGUUCAGUGAAGUGGGGCUACUUUUGGCCUCUUGUGUUUCUGUUCCAACCAAACAAAAAUGGGAGGGAAAAAUAGCAUUAUGCUUGUGCUAAAGAUCAACGCAUGAUAGCUGAAUAAGGGAGAAAAAGGCAUUGCUAUCUCAAUUUCAUAAACUUGAUAAGUAGUGACAUUAAUAGUCUUCCUCAUAGAUGGAUACAUGGUUUUAUUUUAUUUAUUUAUUUUUAUUUUUUUGUUUUAUGUCAAUGCUAAUGAAUGAAGUGCAUUAGCUUGUUUUGUGACUAGAACUACAAAUGUCCAAAUUGGAGCUUCUCCAAUAUAUUUCUCAGUGAGUUAUUGAUUAGAACUCUUGGAUUGAGUUCCAAGAUUUGAAUCAGACCCCUCUAGCAGCUUCAGGGGUACGUAGCAACCUAUAGCAUAUUAAUGAAGACUUAGGAUUUAGACUUAGGAAUACAAAUUAAUAUGUACCUCAUGCUCUGACUAGCUUCCCUGCGUAUGCACAAAAUGGAGAUGACUCCCAAAAAAAUAGCAGAAUCGCCUUAGUAUGUUUUUGUGGUUAAGAUGAUUCUCCACUUUAUAUAUCCACAUUGGUUCAUUAUGCAAAUUAAUCAACUAAGCUAUUUUUAUUUUUUCUUAAAUGUGAAAUAGGAGCUCCAAAUUAACCUAACCAUUGGCCUGAUUGAAUUGAUUUCACUUGCAUAAUGUUAUAGUAGAAGUCCGUAAUUUGAAUUUUAUUUUUGCAAAAGGUAACGUAAAUGAAGCAUUGUAAUUAAAUUUAUUUGUAAUUACAAACUAAUUUUAUUUUAUUAAGAAUUAAUUUAAUUACUCAUUUAAAAUAAAAAUCAGUUAUACUUUUACCAAGAUGAUAAUAUUCAUAUUUUUCUAGUUAACAUAUAUAAAAUAGUACACUUUUUCAUAUAAAAAAAUAAUUUAUGAUUUAUUAUAAUGUUACUAUUCACAUUUUACUAAAUUGAUGGUACAUGAUAGUGAGAGAAGGGGGUGUCACACUCAGCUAAAGUUCUUUUCAAAAUAUUGCAUGGUGUUUAAUUUUAUGUGUCGGCGCGCGUGUGAAUGGAACCUGCAAAAGUCCAAAUUGGCGUUUCUCCAUUUUCCACAUAGGAUGGUGACGUUAAUAGACAAAGAUACAAUAUCUGUAGACAUUGCUUAAAAAUCGAUGUGAAGUAUUAGAAAUUACAGGGCACUGUACUGGGGGAGCGGCUGCCCCGCCAAAGGAGGAAGAAUGUAGCAAUUUCUUCUGUUAGCCAGGCCUUAGGAUUUAUGCAUGGGAUGCCUAAUAACAAACAGAGAAAAUAUACUUUUGGGGAAGGUAUCCAACAACAGACACCAUCAUUCAGAUGGUGGGAAGGUAUCCAACAGAUGCCAUCAUUCAGAUGGUAACAUAUAUAUACAUUUAUUAGUGAGUUUUUUUAAUACCUAUAAAAAAAAAUAUACACUUUGAUAUUGUGGCUGAAUCCAUUACAUACUCAACUAACCUUGCUCAUUAGGGAUUUGACUUAACAAGGGCAACGUUGCAGUACAAGCUCAAAACUUUAUGCAGGUGACAUUACAUUUGGUAAAGAAGAGGAAAAUAACGAAAGCCAUCCAUAAAAGCAAAAUUCCACAUGGGAUGAAAUUCACAAGCUUCAUUUACGAUAGAGUCGCAUCCAGGCAAUUAAUUCCACAUUAGACCGCCUGUUGACAUGUGUACCAAUCUUUUUUCAAAAAAUAUUUAUAAAUAAUUGAUACUCACAAAAAUAAUUUAAUAUUUAUAAAGGAUAAAAAAAUAUUUUCAAAUCUAUAACAAUUUAUAAAAUAUUAAUAAAAAAUUAUCUCUUAAACUUAGUAUAGUUUUAUCAGAUUAAACUUUUAUUUUGAACAAAUAAUUUUAAUCUAAGUUUUAAAUUCUAAAAUUAUUUCCUUAAAAUAAAAUUUUAAAAUUCAACACUUCAAUUGAAAUUGUCUUUUUAAAAAAUAUCUUCUUAUUUUAAUCCUUAUAAACUAUAGUUGAUUGAAAAUACUAUUGAAGUUCUCUCUUAAAAAAAAGUCUUAUUUUAAUCUUCAUAAAUUGCCCUUGAUUUGAAAAUAAAUUUUCAGUUAUCAUAUUUUAAAUAAUAUCUAUAUUUAAAAUACUCUAUUUAAAAAAAAAUGAACUAAUUUUAAUUAUAUUAUAUUUUAUUUUUUUAUAUAUUUUUAAUGAUAAACCAAACAUAGAAAAUCAUUUUUCUAAAUAUUUUAAAAUUUCUAAGCAACCAAACAUAAUCUUCAAAAUAAAAGGAAAAUAAGGAGGGACAUUUGAGAAAUGGCGAUUAAAAAAAAGUGUACAAAAGCUCAAUUAAUUUUCUUCUAGUCUUUUAUAUAAAAAAGUAAAGGAAUUGAAAAGUAUUGAUAUGUAAAUUAAUAUUUGGAUUUUAAUAGUAUUUUAUUUGUCUUUCUCUAUCUCAUGUAAAAGAGAAUUUAAGAUAUUUCCUAAAGCAAAGCAUUAGUUAUCUGCAAUCAGUGGUGAUCAUGCCCCAUGUCAAUUUCGGACCCAUAUCUUAAAACUGUAUAAUUUGCAUUCAAACAUUACUGAUUUCUCAGAUGUUUCAUACUCCACAGAAGAGCAUUGUUUGUGAAAGCAUGCAUUUAUGUUGGAUUUUGGAUGAUGUGGGAACUGGGGCAAGGAUCAUAUGGAAGAGUGGUCGAUUUUGUUCUGUACUUUAACAUUUGAAAUAGGAGAAGCUCGGGCAUUUGUGGGGCUUAAUUGAUUUUGAAGCCUGAAAUUGCGUUUCUGUCAUUUUGUAAAAAAUAUGGCAGAUUCCAUGCUCUCAUAUGUUUGGUCUGUGGCCAUGUAUAGAUGCCCCUUAGUGACCAGUUUGUAACUGUCAAUCAUAGUGUUUUGACUCUGGCUCAACAACAUCAGCCAUUGACGGAUUUUCAUACUUGCAAAUCAAAUAGUCUUCUUCCUCCCUUAGGAAUUUCGGUUUAAAUGUUAUUAAGCAUACAUUUGGCUGACAAUUAUUAACCACUUCAUGAUAUGGUUUCUUACCCUUAAUCAAUGGUUUCUAAGUGAAUAUAUGCAGAAGGAAAUCUGAACUGUAGACAGCAGUAUUGAUAACUCUCAAUAUUCUUUAUAUAAGAGAAUAAACAACGUCAUAGUGAUCGUCGCCUACAAGAAAGGUACAUUUCCCAACAAGAUGUAGUUGUGACUGGUACAUGGACGCAAUUAACUCGUACAAAAGAAUAAGACCAGUGCACGGCAGCUCUUAUUUUACAUGCUAAUUAUGCUAACCAAAGUCACUCAGUUGGGAUGGGAGGGAGAUGGAGGUUUGUGCGGUGGCUUGUGGGGCGGAGUUGGUGGCUUCUUUUCAGGAGCUUGUGGCUUUUUCGGAGCUGAAGGAGGCUCAAUCUUAUGAGGCGGCUUGUACGAGUCUUCUUUACUCUCGACAGGAGGGUGGCCAGGGUUGUGACCAUAAUGUGGUGGCUUCUCUCCCUUAGGUGGCUUGCCAACUGGGGUUGGUGGCUUGUGUUCAGGAAGUGGUUUCUCUCCCUUGGGAGGUUUACCAAUUGGGGUUGGUGGCUUGUGUUCUGGGAGUGGUUUCUCUCCCUUGGGAGGUUUAGUGGGUGACUUGUGUUCUGGAGGUGGCUUCUCCACCGGAGGCUUGUGCUCCGGUGGUGGCUUCUCCACCGGAGGCUUGUGCUCCGGUGGUGGCUUCUUGAUUGGAGGGGGCUUGGGGUAAUCAGCAAGAGAUGGGAUGGUGAGAACCACCACUCCAAGGAACAACACUAGCAAGUAUGUGGGAGACAUUUCUGAGUUUGAGCUGAUCAGAUGAUGCAAAACUAGAAGAAUUACGGGACCUUUUAUAGCAAGUAUCUCCCAAUACCCACAUGACACGUGUUACUAUGACCAUAAAUAUUAUAGGGUCCAUUUGUGCCCUACCGGGUUGAAAACUUGGACGCUUGGCCGAGGACACACCUGACUAUGGAGGACUAUUGACGUGUGAUCACAGCUUUUGGAUUUUUCUUCCUGUGCAGCUGUCUAGCGGUUGGCAUUAUUUUCUUAAUCUUAAAUAAAGGCAUAGUUAUAGAGUUGUUUAAUCUCUAAAUGGGAUUUUAUAUAUCUUCAGAUAGCCAUUAAUAUAUUUGAUGAAGAAAGACAAGUGCAUACAACAUGUAUACGGCUUGCUUCAAUCGAGUACAUUUAUGAUCAGUUUUCCUGUGCAAGUAAACCAGUUUUUUGUUCCACAACUAUUUUGGAAUCUUGUUUAUCAGUUUCUAUCAUUAUAAUGUCACAUAGGCUGCAAACUUGGGCACCCAAAGAUCUAGGUGGGCAAAUUUGUUUCAGACUUUCAAUGGUGGAUUCAGUAAUUGUUAAAAGGUGUUUCUUCAUUAAGGAAAGAGUCCGGUAAAAAUAUUGUUAAAAGGUGUCAUAGAAACUAUAAUAAAUAAAUAACUUCUUUUCCCCAUGGGUGGUGUUUCUUCUGGGGAUCAGUGACUGGUUAGGGUCACCCAAAAUGAGUCCAGAUUAAAAUUGGUUCGAGUCAAAGCAGUCUCUUUUGUCCAGAAAUCAACUAUUUUGCGCAUUGAAUGAAUCGAUAAAGAAAAAAUGAAAGCCAAAUCACACCUCCCCUGCAAAACCUAAACCCCGGUUGCUAACUUUCUAUGUUUCAGUCCUAUUCAUAUAGGAAUAUUGGUUCAAGUUUGAGAAAAAUGGCAACUUACCUAGGGUUUACUUGGUUUUGGUUUGCGACUAUUUACGCAACCAACCAUGAGUUUGACUUUAACGUCAUGGGUUGAAGCCUCCUACAAUCAUGUAUGAUAGUUCAAAGCUCGUGGAAGAAAUUAUACAGGAAGGAAGAAACCUCCAAAGCUAGCUCCAAAAGAGAAUUAUCACAUCGAUAGCUCCAGAGAUUCCCAAGGGAACUGAAUCAAAGACAAGUUCCUCACUUUUUCUUCUUUUGAGGCCAAAUAUGAACCAAGGAUCACACGACCUCAUUCAACUUCAUAAGUUUGAUUUCAUGCAGUUGAACACUGGGUGAAGGCCAUGACAAGAAUUGAUUAAAAAAUUCUACCACUCUUUUAAGUAAUGGAAGAUUAUUAUCUCUGAUUGGCACCACAACAGCACAUGCUGCUAGAUCUUUCUAGACACUCCAUGCAAUGAAAGCACAAUGGAUCUUGUAAUGAUAGAAACUAAGCCAUGCUACAGUACUAGAUGAGGGGGUAAAACUAGUAGACAUCUUUCUAGACACUCCAUGCAAUGAAAGCACAAUGGAUCUUGUAAUGAUAGAAACUAAGCCAUGCUACAGUACUAGAUGAGGUGGUAAAACUAGUAGACAUGGCUGGCAGUUGAUUACUACUCAAAAAGUACUCUUUUAUAGCUUGAAACUAACUGUUUUAAACACUUUUGAGUAGUAGUUAAUACCUUUUAACUUAAUUGGCACAUUAAGGAACCUAGCAAGGGUUACUAAUCAACAUUUGGCAAGUUUUGAUGUUUUUGGUAGCUAUUUGAUCAUUGAAACAAGCCAAGAAUGAGGGGGAAUUUUGUGAAGUCCAUGGCAAUGCAAGUUAAAGCUCAAAUACAUGAAGAAUCCAAGCUUUGGAGCACUUCAUAGCCCUUUGCCAAGCCAAUCAAAGAUGCAAGGAAGAAAACCAAAGGAAGAAAUCCAACAAUCAGCAUUUUGGCAUGGCUAUGUGAAAUUUCGCACACCAUGCGAAACCACAAGAGGCAGCCAAAGAAUUUCGCAUGGUAUGCGAAAUCUUCUUGUGCACUGACUCUGUUAGAUUUUUAUCUUCAGAUAUUUUGUGUAAUUUCCUAGUUUCUCCUUGUAACCAACUUAGAUAUUUUCUUUUAUAUCUUUUUUUAUAUUUUUUAGGUAACAUCAUAUAUAAGAGGAGAGACAUAAGGAGGAUAUGGAUGUUUUUCAUAGAACACUUGUAAAUUUUUGGUAGUAAGAAAUAUACAAAGCUUUUUGCUCUGCCUUACCUUCUCAAGGGAUGAGUGGCUAGGUUUUCUUGGAGUGAGGGAAGCUAGGUGAAGGACCUGAAUGCAAAGGUGGGAGUUUUCCUUACUUUAAAUGAAAGUAGUUGUUAAACAUUAAUGGUUUUUAUUUUAAGGUUUAGCUUUAAAUCCCUGAAAAACACCUUGAAUGGCCAAUACUUGGUAAGCUUUUUAGAUUCUAUGGAUGCUUAUUGCUAGAUCCAUGGAUGUCUAUUAGUUAUCAUUUACGAGCCAUUGGAAGGUGAUUCAAGGUGAGGGUCUUUAGUGUUUGAAGCCAUUAAUGGGAAGCAAUUACCAUUUUUUCAUGAAUCCUUUGGAUCAAAUCUUAAUUGCUAAAUAUAAAACCGGUUUCGAGAGAUAACCACCAUCCUUUAUGUUAUUAUCCCCAACGCGAGGAGAAGAUCCGAAAUCUUCCUUUUUAUCUAAGGAACCCGAUCCUAGUGACCUAAAGCUCCAAGAUACCUUUUCUUUGUAGUUAACUUCAUUUAUUGUUUUUGCUUAACUUAAAAUCAAUCUUUGCAACCACAAUUCCAUUUUCUUUAAAAGCUAAUUUUUAUAAGGAAAAACACCAUUUUAUUUCCUUCACUAAGUCAACUGUACGAUGAAAACCCAUCCCUGUGGACGAUCCUAGAGCCACUAUACUAUGUUAGCUAUGCUACCCUAGUGUGAGGUGAUUUAGGUUUUAUAAAUUUUUUUGAUAACACCCAUCUGAGCCAGAAUCAAAUGGCACGACUGAACCAGGGACGAAUCAAAUGACGCCGCUACCAAGGAUGGUGCCAAAGUACAUUGACAUGACUUUUGGUGAACACUUGUGAUCUUCACCACAAGUUUGGUGAUUUUUCUUUUACUAAUUUUUUUUAUUUUAGCUUAUCUUUUAUUUAGUUUUUAGUUAACCUUAAAUUUUUCCUAGAAUUGUAUUUCUUUUGUUUUCUUUGUUUUUGUUUCAGUGAUCUUUAGUUGUGCAUGCCCUAUUGGAUAAGAGAUAUUGAGGGAAUACUUGUGAAGAUUGAAACUCCUCGAGAAACUGAGUUAGAAGUGUGCUUGAACAUCAUGGAUGUUCCACCUGAAGACCAGAAUAGCCAACAUGGUUAAGAGGAUAAUUUCAACACAUACCGAUCCAUGAGGAACCGCAUACAUCCACCUUGUAUGAGUGCACCGUCAGGCAUAAUGCCUCCCACUGAGCAGCUAGUAAUCUGACCUCACAUUGUGCCACUCCUACCUACUUUCCAUGGGAUGGAGAGUGAGAAUCCCUACUCGCAUAUUAAGGAAUUCGAGGAGGUUUGUAAUACAUUCCAAGAAGGAGGAGCUUCAAUUGACUUGAUGAGGCUCAAGCUAUUUCCUUUCACUUUGAAGGAUAAGGCCAAGAUUUGGCUUAAUUCUUUAAGGCCAAGAAGUAUCCAAACUUGGAUUGAUUUGUAAGCCGAGUUUCUUAAGAAGUUCUUCCCUACCCAUAGGACCAAUGGUUUGAAAAGGCAAAAUUUGAACUUCUCAGUUAAAGAGAAUGAGAAAUUCUAUGAGUGUUGGGAGAGCUACAUGGAAGCUAUUAACGUUUGUCCUCACCAUGGCUUUGACACAUGGCUCUUAGUGAGCUAUUUUUACAAUGGUAUGUCUUCUUCAAUGAAGCAACUCCUAGAAACUAUGUGUGGAGGAGACUUCAUGAGUAAGAAUCCGGAGGAAGCCAUGGACUUUUUGAGUUAUGUGGCUGAAGUUUCAAGAGGAUGGGAUGAACCAAAUGCUAGAGAGGUGGGAAGAAUGAAGUCUCAACCUAAUGCUAAGGGUGAGAUGUAUGUUUUGAAUGAAGACAUUGACAUGAAAGCAAAGGUUGCAGCUAUGGCAAGGAGAUUGGAAGAGCUAGAAAUGAAGAACAUACAAAAAGUGCAAGCCAUUUCUGAGACAUCAAUGAAAGCUAUGCCUUGUUCCAUUUGUCAAUCUUAUAAGCACCUAGUGGAGGAGUGUCCUACAAUUCCAGCAGUGAGAGAGAUGUUUGGUGAUCAAGCAAAUGUUAUUGAUCAAUUCAAGCCUAAUAACAAUGCUUCAUAUGGCAACACCUACAAUUCAAAUUGGAGGAACCAUUCAAAUUUCUCUUGGAAACGAAAGCCACCUCAAUACACACAACCUACUCAAGCACCUUAGCAAUCCUCGAAUCUUGAACAAGCUAUUGUGAACCUUAGCAAGGUUGUGGGAGACUUUGUGGGAGAUCAGAAGUCCAUCAAUGCUCAACUGAAUCGGAGAAUUGACAGUGUGGAGAGUACAUUGAACAAAAGGAUGGAUGAGAUGUAAAAUGAUCUGUCUCAAAAGAUAGACAAUGUCCAAUACGUAAUCUCAAGGCUUACCAACCUCAACACAGUGUAAGAGAAAGGAAAGUUUCCUUCUCAACCUCAUCAAAAUCCUAAGGGUAUCCAUGAAGUAGAGGCUCAAGAGGGAGAAUCUUCAAAGGUGAGGGAAGUCAAAGUAGUUAUCACCUUGAAGAGUGGUAAAGAGGUUGAUCAACCCACAUCCAAGCCAAAGCAUAAUGAAGAGAGUGUAGCAGAAAAAGAAAAGAGAGGAAAAUAAAGGAAUUAGAAUAGAGAAAAAUACAAAGAAAGAUGACCAUGAGUCUAGUGUGGAUGAAGAGCCCGAGAGGAUGGUGAUCAAGGAAGAUAUGAUGAAGAAACACAUGCCUCCACCUUUCCCCUAAGCUUUGCAUGACAAAAAAAGAACCAAUAAUACAUCAGAAAAUUUUGAAGUAUUGAGGCAAGUGAAGGUCAAUAUCCCUUUGCUAGACAUGAUCAAACAAGUGUCGACAUAUGAAAAAUUCUUGAAGGACUUGUGCACUGUAAAGAGAGGGUUGAAUGUGAACAAGAAAGCUUUAUUGACCGAGCAAGUGAGUUCCAUCAUACAGUGCAAGUCCUAGUGAAGUACAAAGAUCCGGGUUGCCGUACCAUCUCAGUGAGUAUUGGAAGGACUUGUGUGGAGAAAGCUUUGUUGGACUUGGGAGCAAGUGUGAAUUUGCUAUCCUACUCUGUCUAUAAGCAGUUGGGAUUUGGAGAGUUGAAGCCAAUAUCCAUCACUCUAUCUCUAGCGGAUAGAUCAAUGAAGAUUCCAAGAGGGAUGAUCGAAGAUGUCCUGGUUCAAGUUAACAAAUUCUACUAUCCAGUAGAUUUUGUUGUUCUUGAUAUGGAUCCGGUUGUCAAAUGAACUAAUUAUGUUCCUAUCAUACUUGGAAGACCCUUCCUAGCUACAUCAAAUGCAAUCAUCAAUUGUAGGAAUGGAGUCAUGCAACUCACAUUUGUCAACAUGACAUUAGAGCUCAACAUCUUCCAUUUGUACAAGAAGCAUAUCCAUCAGGAGGAAAAAGAAGGUCUAGAGGAAGUGUGAAUGAUUGACACUUUAGUGGAAGAGCAUUGUGAUCGAGAAUGCAAAAAGAUUUAGUUGAGAAUUUUGGGGAUCUUGAUGAAAGGUUACUUGAACCCUCAGAUUUGCUUGCUACCCUACUCCAUUGGAAGAGAAGAGAAGAAAUUCUACCCUUAUUCAAUGAGGAGGAGACGCAAAGAGCUGCAAAGGAGAAACCCCCAAAACUUAUUCUUAAGCCACUACCCACAGAGUUGAAGUAUGUAUACUUGGAAGAAGACAAGAAGUGCCCUAUUGUUAUAUCUUCAACUCUUACCAUUCAUCAGGAGGAUUGUCUACUUGAAGUCCUUAGAAGAUGUAAGAAGACAAUAAGGUGGCUAAUUUCUUAUUUGAAAGGGAUCAGCCCUUUAGUCUGCACCCAUCAUAUUUACAUGGAGGAUGAAGCUAAGCUAAUUCAUCAACCUCAGAGAAGGUUGAACCCUCACAUGCAAGAGGUGGUUCGAGCUGAAGUUCUGAAGCUACUUCAGACCAGUAUUAUUUACCCCAUAUCAAAUAGCCCAUGGGUGAGUCCUACUCAAGUUGCGCCAAAGAAGUCUGGGAUCAUGGUGGUGCAAAAUGAUAAGGGAGAAGAUGUCUCUACACGCCUCACUACAGGUUGGAGGGUGUGUAUCAAUUACAGGAGGUUGAAUGCAGUGAUAAGAAAGGACCAUUUCUCAUUGCCCUUUAUUGAUCAGGUGCUUGAGAGGGUCUCUGGGCUUUUUUUUUUAUUGUUUCUUGGAUGGCUACUCCGGGUACUUUCAGAUAGAAAUUGAUGUUGAAAACCAAGAUAAGACCAUUUUCACAUGCCCAUUUGGAACCUAUGCAUAAAGGAGAAUGCCUUUCGGCUUAUGCAAUGCACCCGCAACUUUCCAAAGAUGCAUGUUAAGCAUUUUCAGUGAUAUGGUGGAGCGUAUUAUGGAAGUCUUUAUGGAUGAUAUCACCAUUUAUGGAAGUGCAUUUGAUGAAUGCUUGGUCAACUUAGAAGCUGUUCUGAACCGAUACAUUGAGAAAGACUUAGUGCUUAACUGGGAGAAGUGCCAUUUCAUGGUACACCAAGGGAUUGUCCUUGGGCACAUUAUCUCCAAGCAAGGCAUUGAAGUUGACAAAGCAAAGGUUGAACUCAUUGUUAAGUUGCCAUCCUCAACAAAUGUCAAAGGAGUAAGGCAAUUCUUUGGCCAUGUCGGGUUCUAUAGGAGGUUUAUCAAGGAUUUCUCUAAGCUUGCAAGGCCUCUUUGUGAAAUAUUGGUGAAUGAUGUUAAAUUCAUAUGGGAUGAUGGAUUUGAAAGGAGUUUUGAAGAAUUGAAGCUAUUUUUGACAACCGUACCAAUAGUGAGGGCUCCCAACUGGCAACUGCCCUUUGAAGUAAUGUGUGAUGUCAAUGAUUUUGCUAUAGGAUUUUUUCUUGGGCAAAGAGAAAAUGGAAAACCUUAUGUGAUCUACUAUGCGAGGAAGGCAUUGAAUGAGGCACAAAGAAACUACACAACCACCGAGAAAGAAUUGUUAGCUGUAGUUUUUGCCUUGGAUAAGUUUCGCGCUUACUUGGUGGGGUCCUUCAUCAUGGUUUUUACUGAUCACUUUGCUUUGAAGUAUCUGUUGACUAAGCAAGAUGCUAAAGCAAGGCUGAUUAGAUGGAUUCUCUUACUUCAAGAGUUCAAUCUCCAUAUCAAAGAUAAGAAAGGAGUGGAGAAUGUGGUAGCAGACCACAUUUCAAGGCUAGCUAUCGCACAUAAUUCCCAUGCUUUGCCCAUUAAUGACGAUUUUCUAGAGGGGUCUCUCAUGUUGGUGGAAGUUGUCCCUUGGUACGCUCACAUUGCUAACUACCUGGUCACGGGAAAAGUUCCAAGUGAGUGGAAAGCACAAGAUAAGAAGCACUUCUUUGCAAAAAUUCAUGCCUACUAUUGGGAAGAGCCAUUUCUAUUCAAGUAUUGUAUGGAUCAGAUAAUAAGGAAGUGCGUUCCUGAAGAAGAGCAACAGGGGAUCCUUAGUCAUUACCAUGAAAAUGCAUGUGGAGGCCACUUUGCUUAUCAAAAGACAGCCAUGAGGGUGUUGCAAUCGGGUUUCUGUUGGCCAUCACUUUUCAAAGAUGCCCACACCAUGUGCAAGAGUUGUGAUCGAUGCCAGAGGCUUGGGAAGUUGACACGCAGGAACAUGAUGCCUUUGAACCCCACUUUAAUAGUUGAUAUUUUUUAUGUUUGGGGCACUAACUUCAUGGGACCUUUCCCUAUGUCUUUUGGCUACUCUUACAUCUUGGUAGGAGUAGAUUAUGUUUCUAAGUGGGUUGAGGCAGUCCCAUGCAAACACAAUGACCAUAGAGUGGUUCUCAAGUUUCUUAAAGAGAAUAUCUUCUCAAGAUUUGGGGUGCCCAAAGCCAUAAUUAGUGAUGGGGGUACUCAUUUUUGCAACAAGCCUUUUGAAACUCUCCUAGCCAAGUAUGGGGUGAAGCAUAAGGUAGCUACACCUUACCACCCUCAAACUCAUGGACAAGUUGAGUUAGCAAACAGGGAGAUUAAAAACAUAUUGAUGAAGGUGGUGAACACAAACAGAAAAGAUUGGUCAGUCAAGCUUCUUAAUUCACUAUGGGCAUAUAGAACAACUUACAAGACCAUUCUCGGGAUGUCUCCUUAUCGCCUAGUUUAUGGCAAAGCAUGCCAUCUCCCUGUGGAAUUGGAAUACAAAGCUUGGUGGGCAAUCAAGAAGCUCAACAUGGAUUUGAGCAGAGCUGGGUUGAAGAGGUUCUUAGACCUUAAUGAGAUGGAGAAAUUGAGAAAUGAUGCCUACAUCAAUUCAAAAAUUGCAAAAGAAAAAUUGAAGAGGUGGCAUGAUCAGUUGAUUUCCCGCAAGGAUUUUCAAAAUGGACAAAGAGUCUUACUUUAUGACUCUAAACUCCACAUCUUUCCGGGCAAGCUGAAAUCAAGGUGGAUAGGUCAUUUUACCAUUCACCAAGUGCAUUCAAAUGGAGUAGUGGAACUACUCAACUCCAACAAUAUCGAGAACUUCAAAGUGAAUGGCCACCGUCUCAAGCCCUUUGUGGAGUCUUUUUCUCACAACAAGGAGAAAUUCAUCCUCCUUGAUCCACAUCAAGCUUAACAAGACCAAUUUUCUUGAUGGACUUAGUCUUUCUAAAGACUAUCGAGUCCAUAACUUUUUGUUUUAUUUUUUAUUUGAGAUUUUUUCGGUAUUGUUACUUGUUUUGUUUUUUAUUUUUCGUUUUAAUUUUAUUUGGUUUGAUUUAACUUAGGUUUUUGAUGAUCAAUUACAGGGGGGAUUUCAAAUAGAGGAAAAACCAAGAUAAUUCGCACACCCUACGAAAAUUUCGCAAGGCAUGCGAAAUUUAUGGCUUAUUUUGCAUGGGGUGAAAAUUUUCGUACAUCUUACGAACCAAUUUCGAACACUUUGCGAAAAUAAACCAACCCUGCGAAAUCAUUUCGAUUACUCUACGAAAUUUUCGUAGAGCAUGCGAAAAAUUUAGCACACCAAACACCAUUUCGCAUACUAUGCAAAAACCUAAGGGGUCUGCGAAACCAUUUCGCACCUCCAAAUCCAUUUCGCACAUUGUGCGAAAACCAAGAGGCGCUGUGCGAAAAUGAAAAGUCGCCCUGUCAUCCCUUUUUAAACCCCUCGAGCCCUAAAAUCUCCAUUUCGCAAGCACCCCUGUCCUUGCGAAUCCCUCAUUUUCCUCUACUACCUUGCAACCUCGUCCCUUUCCAUUUGAUAUUGUGCCCCGCGCACAUCUCAUUUCAGAGACUCGCACUCCGCGCCCCCUCAAAGCAUGGACUCGAGACCCACCUUCCAUUUCCGACGUGGCACGGACCCAAGGAGCCCUUUCUGCCCCUUCACUAAGACACACACCAAGGCAGAAAGCCUCCUUUGCUCAAGUGCCUAGUGAUUCUCCAUCUUAGGCCUCAGAGGCCUCGGAGGCCCCGUGGAUUCCACCUUCCGAGGGUAGAGCAGCCAUUGGUCCUUCCUCUUCUACUCCUUAGCGUAGAUACGAGACGAGGAGACCACCUACUACACAAGGGGCGACUACUUCGAGCCUUGAGAAUUCAGUACGAUGCCUUCCUGCCAAGAGGGUCAAGACUUCAGGUCCAAGUGAGUCAUCCAGAGCUUCAUAGCCUAAGCCUCCUGUAGAUUCCAAGGUUCCUACUGACAUAUCACCGGAGUCUAUUAUCAGAAGCCCGAUGCUCAUAGCACCGCCCAUUGAGGGCAACUCAGAUUAUAGAGCGAGAUCUUUCCACUUGGAGCUAUAUUUUGAUCAGGAGGCCAUACGACAGCAGCCUGAGCUCCGAGACUCUUAUGGCUUACUGCAGAGGUACCAUCUUGAGGAACUUAUGACUCCUCGUGAGUUUUUUUAUCCCAGAGUAGCACUAAACUUUUACCAGUCCAUGACUACUCGUGGCGUCCCGAGUCCUACCACGAUUCACUUCACCAUUGAUAGACGUCAUGGUAUCCUCAAGGCCAGACAUAUUACAGAGGCUCUACAAAUUCCUUUCGAGCUAGAGGAUCCAUCUGUUUUUCGCUAAUGGUCCCCAGUAUCUCAGAGGGACAUGGUCCGUAUUUUAUCUAGGGGAACAUCUACAGAUUCGAUCUUUCUACGGAAGGAGCUUCGACCUGGGAUGCUCCUCUUAGAUGUGGUGCUAUGCUCCAACCUCUUUCCCUUACAACAUUCGGUACAUAGGUGAUGAGCUAUUUUGGACGCUUUAUUCCGUAUAUCAGAGGGCUUCUACUUUGGCCCGCACCACUUGAUCAUGGUCUCCCUCAUCCACUUUGAGGAGAAGGUUCAUAGGAAGAAGCUUCAGAGGGUGGACACCAUUCCAUUACUAUUCCUGAGGUUACUUUGCCAGGUCUUGGAGUACAUGGGCUUUCCUACUGAGCCUCGGCUCGAGCUUUGCCGCCUUUGUCGAGAGUGAUCCACUCUCGACAAAUGGAAUUAGUUGGCGGGCUAUUCUGCACCUCCAGGAGCCCCUCCCAUGGUAGCACCUCCAAUGUCCCCACAGGCAAAGUAGGGCGAGCUCCCGGCAAAGACUGUACCACCAAUGCCCACACUUGAGGCUAUUUCUGCUGCUCUGCCUAUGACUCCUACUGUUCCACCAGUUGGUCCUUUUACAUCCGAGCCUUCCAUCACCAUCUCGGCUUCGGAGUUUCGCGCCCUUGUGCAUACCUUUCAGACACUCACCACCACACAUACUCCUCUCUUCUAGCAAAUGGUUGAGAUGUGUGCCCAUCAGGACCGGAAGACUACUAUACUCUGCCAAAUUCAGCAGCACCUAAGACUUUUGCCUCAACCUCAACCUAACCAUCCCAUAUCAUCAGAGCCUCUAGCUCCAACUGAGGAUACUAUUCCACCUGAGAACACUACCACAGUAGAGGUCCGGUUUCCACCACCUUAAGAGGCCACCACAGCUACAUCAGAGGAUGUGUCAUCUCCACUUGAGGCUCCCACUACUUGAUCAUAGGACAUAUCUUUAUCUUAUUGUAUUUACAUAUUAUAUUACUAGAGAUUUGUCCUUGUUUUGAUACUUUAUAUUCUGGGAUUGGAUGUAUUGCCUGAUGAUAUCUCAAUUGUACUUUCUCAUAUUAAUAUAUAGACAUCAAUUUUUUUUAGUAUACUUAGCAUUUUUCUAUUUCCUCUACUCAUUACUCUUUUGUUUUUUUUUACUCAUGUGGUUUCUCUUAUACAACUCAGACUCCAUUUCACUCAGGAGGUACCACUUCCUCCCUUUAUUUUCAAUUGCUCUUGAAAUAUUGAGUGCAAUGUUGAUCUUGGUUGGGGGGAGAGUUGAGGAAGGAAGUUUUGUUAAUAAUGCUAGGUUAAUUUGUUAAUUUAGUUACUUUCUGCUUAAUUUUAAAAGUUUUCACUCUACUUUCCAUGGUUAUUAAGGAAAAAUUCUCAAAAUGAAAUGGGAGAAAUCGAAUUCUUGCAUUUUUACUUGAAUCUUAGAAUUUGUAUCAUGCUUAUUAAAGUUGAUGAAUUAUUGAAACUCCUAUUGAAUUCAACCUUAUUUUUUCCACUUUAAUCUUACCACACACGGUGCACAUUAGGUUCCAGUUAUAAGAUAAAAAACUAUCUCACCCCCUAAACUUAGAAAAAUUUACACUUGGUACCUUUGACAUCGUUUUAAUAGUGUUGGGACACCUUAUAAAAGGCCAAUGAGCCUUUAAAAAAAAAAAAAAAAAAAAAAAGAGAAAGAACAAAGUAUUGCACUUGCCUUGAAACCUGAGCAAGAUCCGAGGGGUAUACAGUGAAAGUCUUUAAAACCUGGUGCCCUAAGCCUUGAUUGGUUGGGAGUCACCGACCUCAAUGCUCGUUAUAAGGGUGAAUAGGUGGAGUUUAACAUAUUGUAGGUGCUUGGGUAUUGAAUUUCAAUCUCAAAAGUCCGGGAAAAAAUCUAAGGAGUUAGUGGUCAAAAGAUCCUUAAAGCUUGAUGCCCUAAACCUUGAUUGGUUGAGAGUCAUUGAUGGAUCCCCGCUACAUGGACAUUUUAGAAAACAAUACCUUUAGCAUUGCACGCCUACAAUGAAAAAAAAAUGUGAAAUAAAAGAGGUGCGUUCUUAGCCUAUUGGAGGUUGGUCAGUUUGCUAAAGUUUGAGAAAUCUAGGUUGGGGGGAGAGAAUAGUCCGACAUACUAUAAUAAAAAACUAAUAACCUUAACACUUAGAUUUUUGUGGAAGAGUAAGGAUUGGACCUUUAGGGGUGGAAAUUCUUUUGAUGCUUAAAUUUGCAUAAUGCCUACUCUUUAUAAAUUAUGAUUAGGCAAGAGAUUUGAUGACUCUUGUUCAAAGUUGGGUUUUUCCUCUUUGAUGUUCCAUGAGAGAGUAUAAUCCUCAUCAUGCCACUUGAAAUCUUUUUGGAGUGAUUAACAUGAUUUUGUAAAUUAUUUUACUGUCUAUUUUUCUUUAUCUCUCUUUUAUUGCUAAUGGACUAGCAAUAUGUCAGUUGGGGGGAGUGAUUACUACUCAAAAAGUACUCUUUUAUAGCUUGAAACUAACUGUUUUAAACACUUUUGAGUAGGUGUUAAUACAUUUUAACUCAAUUGGCACAUUAAGGAACCUAACAAGGGUUACUAAUAAGUUUUUGGCAAGUUUUGGUGUUUUUGGUAGCUAUUUGAUCAUUGAAACAAGCCAAGAAUGAGGGAGAAUUUUGUGAAGUCCAUAGCAAUGCAAGUUAAAGCUCAAAUACAUGAAGAAUCCAAGCUUUGAAGCACUUCAUAGCCCUUUGCGAAGCCAAUCAGAGAUGCAAGGAAGAAAACCAGAGGAAAAAAUCCAACAACCAGCAUUUUCGCAUGGCUGUGCGAAAUUUUGCACACCAUGCGAAACCACAAGAAGUAGCCAAAGAAUUUUGCACACCAUGCGAAAUUUCGCAUGGUAUACGAAAUCUUCCUAUGCACCAACUCCGUUAUAUUUUUAUCUUCAGAUAUUUUGUGUAAUUUCCUAGUUUCUCCUUGUAACCAACCUAGAUAUUUUCUUUUAUAUCUUUUUUUUAUAUUUUUUAGGUAACAUCAUAUAUAGGGGGAGAGACAUAAGGAGGAUAUGGAUGUUUUUCAUAAAACACUUUUAAUUUUCUGGUAGUAAGAAAUAUACAAAGUUUUUUGCUCUGCCUUACCUUCUCAUUUUGUUUUCACCUAUCUUUCUAGCCAAACAACCUCUGAGAAUGAUUUCUCAGGGGAUGAGUAGUUAGGUUUUACGUUUCUUGGAGUGAGAGAAGCUAGGUGAAAGACCCAAAUGCUAAGGUGGGAGUUGUCCUUGCUUUAAAUGAAAGUAGUUGUUAAAUAUUAAUGGUUUUUAUUUUAAGGUUUAGCUUUAAAUCCCUUAAAAACACCUUGAAUGGCCAAUACUUGGUAAGCUUUUCGGAUUCUAUGGAUGCUUAUUGCUAGAUCCAUGGAUGUCAUUAGUUAUCAUUUAUGAGCCAUUGGAAGGUGGUUCAAGAUGAGAGUCUUUAGUGUUUGAAGCCAUUAAUGGGAAACAAUUACCAUUUUUUCAUGAAUCCUUUGGAUAAAAUCUUAAUUGCUAAAUAUAAAACUGGUUCGGGAGAUAACCAUCCUUUAUGUUAUUAUGCCCAAUGCAAGGAGAAGAUUUCGAAUCUUCUCAUUUGUCUAAGGAACCCGAUCCUAGUGACCUAAAGCUCCUAGAGACCUUUUCUUUGUAGUUAACUUCAUUUAUUGUUUUUGCUUAACUUAAAAUCAAUCUUUGCAACCACAAUUCCAUUUUCUUUAAAAGCUAAUUUUUAUAAGGAAAAGCACCAUUUUAUUUCCUUCACUAAGUCAACUGUAUGAUGAAAACCCAUCCCUGUGGACGAUCUUAGAGCCACUAUACUAUGUUAUCUAUGCUAUCCUAGUGUGAGGUGAUUUAGGUUUUAUAAAUUUUGUUGAUAACACCCGUCUGAGCCAGAAUCAAAUGGAACCACUGAACCAGGGACAAAUCAACAGCCUAUAUGGGAGGGACACAAGUUUAAUUGAUUUGCAUUUCAGCGUUAUAGAUAAGUAUGUUUUGGAAGAUUUGUUCUGGAAAUACUGCACCAAGUACGAUUCUUUUUCUCUUGAGUGAGUCCAUUUGCAUGCCAAUUAACGAGUUGAAAAGUAGGAGCACCUACCUCGUGCUCAUGGAACCGAAUGUCAGUGAAGUGGGGCUCCUUUUAGCCUCUUGUGUUUCUGUUCCAACCAAGGCGGCGUAGGGAAAAACAACAAUAUGUCUGUGCUAAAUAUCAACGCAUGAUAGAUGUUUUUUUUUUUUUUUUUGGUAUGUCAAGGCUAACGAAUGAAAUGCAUUAGCUUGUUUUGUGACUAUAACUGCAAAUGUCCAAAUUGGAGUAUCUCCAUUUCUCACUUCGGAUGGUUAACUUUAUAAACAAGAUAUAGGAAACAUGUGAACAUCUUGAGGAACAAUUCAAAUUAUUCAUUAGAAGUCCUGGGUUAAGUUCCAAGAUUUAAAUCAGACCCUUCUAGCAGCUUCAAGGGUACUUAGCAACCUAUAACAUAUUAAUGAAGAUUUAGGAUUUAGACUCCGGAAUACAAAUAAAUAUGUAUCUCAUGCUUUGACUAGCUUCCCUACAUAUGCAUAAAAUGGAGAUGACCCAAAAAAAAUAGCAGAAUCUAGCUUCCCUACAUAUGCACAAAAUGGAGAUGACCCAAAAAAUAGCAUAAUCGCCUUAGUUUCUGUGGUUAAGGUGAUUCUCCGCUUAAUAUCCACAUUGACUCAUUAUGCAAAAUCAACUGAGCUAAUUUUAUUUAUUUAUUUAAUGUCAAAUAGGAACUCCUAAUUAACUGAUUACUGUCGAAAAGUGCUAUUUUGUAGACCUAAUUAUAAGGGUUUUAAGCACCUUUGAGUAGUAAUCAUAUUCAUUUAACCUAAUUAAUUCAUUAAGCUCCUUAGUAAUUAGUUCUAACCAUUUUUAGUGGCAAGUUUACAUGUUUUUCAUCAGCUUAUGAACCAAUUCAAGCAUGCCAAUUGAUGGAGGAGCUACUUGGGCGAGUUAAGCAAGGAUUUUGGACGUUUACAGGCUUGAAUUUCAAGUGGAAACACGAGCACAAGCAAUGGGAACACCAUUUCGCAAGGGGAGGCAAUUCACCUUGCCAAAUGACCAAUUUCGCAAGGGGAUUUUCCUCAUGGUGCAAAAUUUGGUCAUUUCGCACCAUGAAGAAACCACCUUGCAAAAUUUCGCAAGGUGGAUUUAGGCACCUUGCGAAAUGCCAAAUUUCACAAGGUGGCUUUUCACCUUGCGAAAUUUGGACCUUUCAUCUUCCCCCCUUGCGAAAUGCCUUUGAAAUCCCCUGUUUUGAGACGCUGUUGAUGAUAUUCCACUGCCGGUUCUCCAAGAUAUUUUGCUUGACUUUUAGCUUUAUAAAUACCUAUUUUACCCUUGUAAUCAACCAAUGAAAAGGUUGCUUUUGUAAUAGCUCUUGUAAUUUAGCUUUUUAUUGUCUUUAAAUAGAGGUGAAGAGCCUCAGACACGAUCAUCUUGUAACCUGUAACUUUAUAAGUUAUAAGAGCACUUUUGUUCAUACGCUUCUUUUCUCUUUUCUUUCUCAUUUUCUUAGUAGCCAAACAUCCUUGGAGGAUGAAAUCCCCAAGGAUGAGAGGCUAAAACCUUUUAGUUUCUUGAAGUAAUGGAUGCCAUGUGAAGCUCCCGUGUCAGGAUGGAGAUUUCCAAGCCAUAAAUGUAAGUAGCUGAGCGUCAUAAAUGUUUUCAUUCAAAGUAAAGCUUUUAAUCCCUCUGACUUGCUUUGAAUGGCCAAUACUUGAUAACCUUUUGGUCUCAAUGGAUUCUUAUUGUUAGAUCCACUGACGUUCAUUAGUUAUCUCCUACGAGCCAUUGUAUUGCAAGUCGAGGAGAUGACCUAUACCAAUAAAAGAGCAUUUAUGAGGUUCAACUACCCUUUUUGUAAGUUUUCAAGGACUAAAACUCAGUUGUUAAACUCAUACCGGUUCGAGAAGUAAGCAUCACCUUAGUUGCUUCCCCAACUCGAGGUGAAAAGUCCCAAAAUCUCCAUUUUUACACAGUGAGUUAAGCAUGGCUAUCCAAAGCUUUAAGAAACUUCUUUUUCCAUCUUUUAACCUAUUUUCAUGUUAGUUUAGUUUACAACACCUUCAUCUUUUUAUGUUUUCAUCUUAACCUAAUUUUUAUUAAGAAAAGUUCACUCCAUCCUCCGAACUUCACCAGUUAAAGUAAAAACCCUUCCCAGUGUUCGAUCCUAGAGCCACUAUGCUAUAGUAGCUUUGCUACUUUAGUGUAAGGACCUUAGGUAUAAAUUUUGUUGAUACCCUUACAUGCCAAGCUACCAAGAGUCGGGUUAUCAUUAACCUAACCAUUGGCCUGUGUAAAUUGAUUUCACAUGCACAAUGUUGUAGUAGAAGUCCAUAUUUUGAAUUUUAUUUUUGUAAAGGUAAGGAAAAUGAAGCAUUGUGUAAUUAUAAAAAUAACUUCAUUGGAAUUCACAAGGUUCACCCAAAAUGGAGCUACAUCUGUAUUCUAUCCUACAGUAGACUAUAUAGAUUGUACAAUAGUAAAUUGCAAAUACAAUUAAUAAGUCUUGUGCUUCCUUACUAAUAAUCCUUUGACAUGAACAUUGCAGCACUAAGGUCCUCUUGGGAAGACACCUUGCACCCAUGAGAGCACUAAGAGGAAGCAAGGCAGAGUCAUGGGUGCAAUGUCAUGACUUGUUGUUGCACCAAGAGAGGCUUGGUGAUGCCAUGGUGUUGCAGUAGCAAGAAUGUUGCCUUGGCAGGGACACGAUCUAGGGAUAGAUGCCAAGAAAGGCUUAGCACUCACAUGAGUUGCACAAAGAUGAAUGUAAUAGAGCAUCAGAGAGACGUCUUGGCAAGUAAAUGAAUGGAUCCAAGAGACAACAACAUGAGGAGUUUCAAAUGGAUAAGGAAUGACUCAAAGACAUUUGAAAGCUACAAGUUGGAUUCUAAUUACGAUUGCAAUUUGAGUUUGAGUAGGAGUUUAGAUUUUGAUUGUAAUUGUAGUAUGAGUUGGACUAGGAUUGCUUAUCCUUAGUCAAUAUAGGAGCGGUUCGUGUCACCCUAUGAAAAGAGUUUGAGUAGGGACUAGGAUUGCUUACUCCUAGUCAAAUAUGGAGUAGGUGGUGCCACACCUAUAAAAAAAAGGGACAACAUGAGAGAGAGAGAGAGAGAGAAAGAGAGAGUGAAUUCACUAAAGAUAUUGUGGGAGUUUUGCUUUGUUACGUCUUGUAUUAUUACUUAGAAUAGGAAUAAAAUACAAGUUGGGGCUAGAGCCCCAUAAUUAAUCUCGUGUGCCUUUGUGGUUAUUCUUUAUUUGUCAUCUCGUGUGGAUUGGAUUAGGUUGACUUAGAGGGCUUCUAAGCACCACCUUUGUGGGUUAUUAUUUAUUUUCCAUCUCUUGUGGAUUAGAUUAGGUUGACUUAGAGGGCUUCUGAGCACCACCUUUGUGGGUUAUUAUUUAUUUUCCAUCUAUUGUGGAUUAGAUUAGGUUGACUUAGAGGGCUUUUAAGCACCACAUUUGUGGGUUAUUCUUUAUUUUCCAUAUCGUGUGGGUUGGAUUAGGUUGACAAGGAGAAAAAUUAUGUGGGAAAUUUGUGUUGGGACACUUACCAUAACCAAGUAAAAUCUACCAAGUCCUUUGUAAUAUCUUCAACAAAUAUUUUAGACUAGUUCUUUCAGUUAGUGUAAAGGAGGAAGAAGUGGUAUUGAUUCUAGAAAUAGGGUGUGUGUAUUUGAACUACAAUCCUUAUGAUCCUUAGGUCUCUAAACCUUCGUGAUGGGCUCCCUGACAUUUCAUAGGUUGUGCUACACAUGCGUUUGAAAUUUAGAGUGCGUUUGACAGUGAUUCCGGGAAGUGUUUUUGGCCUUUCUUACACUUGAAAAUUUUUAUUUUUCAAGUAUUAGAAAUGCUACAAACACUUUUGAAAAUUACUGUCAAACACACUCUUAGGAGCGCACAUAUAUAGUAGAAAACUAGAAAUUGUGGUUUUUUUAGGAUUUACUGUAAUGUCAUUAGGAGGGUAGUAAGUUGAAAUUGAGUAUGAACAAAUAUUUCUUUCUUUGGGAUGUUCUUCUAGUAGGUGCUGAUGAAACUGUUCUUUCUACUGCCAAUGUCACAUAUCAGCCAGAAAUUGAAAAUUUCAGUCAAGGUGUCCUCUGUUUUAGUGGUGAGGAAAGCUAGAAAUUUUAAGGUGAAGUUUUGUUAAAAACCUUAAGUAGCUGGGAUAUCAGGCCUGUUUUGCUUGAAAAAAAAAGUUGCAAGAUAACUCAUAUGCCAAACAGGUUCUGAUAUUGUGAAUCUAUCGGCAGACAUCAGUAAUCUCAUCUUCUGAGAUGGAUGUUGGGGGUGCAUGUGGUGGUGGAGGGGCAAGGUUUCAUUUGGUUUAUUUUGUUGAUGGAUAUUGUCUAGCCACCUGCGCCAAGUUUGAGGGGUGGUGGGUUGUGAUGACCCUACAAUUACUAUUAAUUUCUUCAUCUUUUACCGAUUAAAGUGUCCGAACAGUCGAAGUUACCCUUAUGCAUGUCAACUUGAUCACUUACCUCUUCAAUGGAGUUUAUGCUGGUUCAUUUAGGAACUGAUUUUUAUUGUUAUGUAUUAUAUGCUGAUGUUUAGGUCUCUCCAUCAUCACUAUAUACAAAAAUUCUAGGUUGAUACUAUAGGUUGAGAUUUAUUUUUUAAAUAAAAAAUAAUAAAAAUAAAAAUUAUGGUGAUGUUUAGUUGUUUUAUGGAAAAUUUUAACAAGUAAAAGUUAUUUUUGGGCAAGUUUUCAAACAAAAAGAAAAGUAAAAGUUGUUUUGACAAAAACAUAUAGAAAAAAAAAUCAUAGAAAAUAAAUAAUUUCCCCAUAUUCUAACUUUUUUGAAUUUUUCUCAAUGGGCAAAGGAAUAUCAAAUCAAGUUUGAGUAGGAUUUCUUAAUUUUUAAAAUAACUUACAAUUAAAAAAUUUUGGUGUUUUCAUUUUUGGACAAUUUUUUAUUAAGCAAAUGGACUCUGAGUCAUGCAAGAGAUAUGGUUCAUUAACCGGUCGAACAAUUUUUUUAAAUUAAUUUAAAAGUCAAAUACAUAAUCAAUUUCACAAAAUUUAUAAACAAAAAUAGGUUUAGAGAAGAUCUACACAUAAUUUUACUUUUCUAAUUUUAUUUUAUUUUAUUUUUUGUUGGAAAAUAGUCUUCAAAUCAUGUAAGAUUUAAUAGGUUAAAUUUGUUAACAAUAAAUUUUAAAUUAUAAAAUAUAAUCUGGAACUCAAAAAUCAAUUCAAGUAAUGCUAAAAAAAAAUCAAAUUUGGUAUAGAAUGACUUUGUAAAUUUUUUUACAAAACAAAUGAAUUUUAAAUCAAGUGAGAUUUAAUGCAUUAGAUUUUUAUCAAAUAUAGUAAUUUUAAAAAUAAAUUUGGAACUCAACAAUAGACACAAUAAAUACCAAAAAAUAAUGAACCAAAAUUGGUUUGGAAUAACUCCACAACCUUUUUUUUUUUUUUUUGGUGCACACGAAUUUUCUUACUAGGUAUAUUGCUUUCAAAUUGAGAAAGAUUUACCAUUUAGAUUUUUUUUUAAUGAGUUUAAUGGUAUUUUAAAAUAAUUCAAAAUUUAAAAAAUUGACUAAUUAAUAUUAUAAAUUGAUAAACCAAGACUAUUUCAAAAUGCAUUGGGGGCUAAGGGGGUUGAAAAUAGGGACAAUGGGAUGGGUUUGGGACAUGACACUCAUAUCUCAUUUCCAUUCCAAUUACACAGUUAUCUCCCAUCCUUAUCCCAAACUUGUGUUGGAGCAAGUUGAUUUGUUCCCAUCUUUGUUGACGAAAUGACUAAUAACCUCAUCCCCUCCUUAUCUUAGAUGUACAUUUUGUCAAAUUUGAUCAGGUAUGAUUGAUCCAAGCCCUAACCCUAAUUGGUAAUGAGUGAAUACUACACCUAAUUGCAUUCUUCUUUCAUUGCAAAAUAAUGAGAUUAUAAUAAUCUAGCAAAUAAGAAAAAAUAGUAUGGAAGUUCAAAUUAACACCAUAACUAUCAAUAAUUUUAAGCUUAUAGAUGACUUAAAUGAUUAAAAACUAAUGCAAAAUCCUAAAAAAAAUAAAAAUCAUAUAAAGAAUUCACAAGAGAACAGAAUGAACAAAAACCAAAUAUGAACAUGGGUCAACAUUAGUUAUGGAUUUGGAUUCCUUUCAAGGCCAAUCUUUGAACCAAGACUUCAUCAAAUCAACUACUUCAAAGGCUUUUGUGUUCUUCUUGGGUUGUGCUCUCAAACAAAGACUUCGAGGUGAUGUUCUAGAUGAUUGAAUUACACAUAUUUAGGGUGGAGAGAUUGGAGAAGCUUGAAGAUGCCAACGAUGGGUACAAUUGAGUGGUCAAUAAGAACAAUGUAGCCUAUGACUAGUUUGAUGUCAUGGUACAAGAGUUUUAGGCAUUGAGGUUAAAGCAAGAGCAACAUGGAAUUGAUUUCGGAGUCUUUCAGUUAGUGUAAAGGAGGAAGAAGUGGUGUUGAUUCUAGAAAUAGGGUUUUAAGUGGUGCGUGAUUACUACUCAAAAAGUGCUAUUUGAUAGCCUUUAAUUAAUCCUUUUUAACACUUUUGAGUAGUAGUUUAGGCCUUUUAACUCAAUUGGCAUGUUAAGGAUCCUUUAAAGCAAUUUUGAUCACUUUGUGCAAGUUUUGGUGUUUUUGUUAGUAUUUUGAUCACCAAAGCAAGUCAAGAAUGAGGAGAACUAUGAGGAAUCAUGGGCAAAGCUUAGAAUUCAAUUGCCAAGAGUGAAUCCGGAUUGCAAGGAGAAAAAGCAAAGAGAAUCUGUCAUGAAGCCUAUUCUUGAUGACAGUCGUAGCAGCCACUUUUGGAGCACUUUCUGAAGUCCAAAUGAUGCAAGCUAUAUACCAUUUCAAAGAUCAGGAAGUCAACAAUCCAAUGCUUCAAACGGUGCGCGAUUCGGAGUUGAAACGAAGAAGUUGCAGCCAUUACAAGCCAGUCACUCUAAAGUGUUGCGGAAUCAGCCUUUUGUUGCGAGAAUUUCGCAGCACUUUUGUACAGUAAGGUGUUUCUCCUUCUGACGAUGCACGAACCAUGCCGCGAGAGGGAAGCUAGGAACUUCAAGAUGGAAGCCAACUUUGCAGCCUGGUGAAGAUAGCUUGGUCUUGCGAAAUAAUUUCGCAGCCCUCUUGGGUGUCUGCGAAAUUUCGCAGGCACCACUUUUUUCCUGCGAAAUGGCUCCGGAAGCCUCCCGAAGCUUGCUACCGACAUUGGGAGAUAUUUUCCAUUAGAUUUUUGUUGUCUAAAUUCCAAAAUACUCCUUGUAAACCACCAAUUACAUGAUUCCUUAGUUUUUAAGUUAGUAAAAAGACCAAAUAUCUAUGUAAUAAUUAGUUUUAUAUUAGUUUGCUAUAAAUACCUCUCGGGAGCAUGUUCUCAGAGAGGAGUUCCUUCUGUAACCAUUUUGGUAAGCAAGUAAAGUCUUUUCUUUCUACUGCCUUACCUUCUCACUUUGUAUUUUCAUUUUAUUUCUAAGUUAUGAAUUCUCUGAGGAGCUUUCCCCAGAGAAUGAGUAACUAAACCUCCAAUUCCUUGGAGCUAAGGUUGCCGGGGAAGGUUCCAAGUGCAAGAAUGCAAAGCUCUGUGGUUUUAGCUAGUAAUGAAGAGGAAGUGAAAUCCUUUAGUGAUUUCAAUGUUUUUAGUUAACUUAAAACACCUUGGAGUCACCUGGGCCAACACUUGGUAAGGCAAGUGAUUUCCAACCGUGGAAAUGCACUAGUUUACCCCUUGCGAGCCUCUGGUAGGUGACUUCAAGGUAGGAUUUUCUGGAAUUACCAACACUUGGUAAGCUUUUGGACUCCUAGGAGACAUCCAUUAGUUAUCUCUUGCGAGUUUGUGAAGGGGAAUCCAAGGUUAAAGAUCACCUUGAAUGGUAAGUGCUCGUGAGAGGCAUGAACCAUUGCAAGUUGUAUCAGUGAGAGAAUUAAAGUGAAAUCUAAUUGAAGGAGUCUCUGUACAUCACCGGUUAGAGAAUUGACUAUAAGUUGAAUCUCUAAUGCGAGGAAAUGAACCAUCUGACCGGAGCUAUGUCUUUUGCAUGAGGAACCACCCCAGUGAACCUAAAUCUCCAAGGAAUGCUUUUCUUCCUAAAUUAUUCCAAACUUCUGUUAAGUUAGUUAGUUUAAGUCUAAACCUUUACCAAUCAAACUUUGUGUUUUAUUUCUUAAGCUAACCGUGAAAUGAAACAAAACCAAUUCACUUGGAAUUGGUAUCCUUGAUUGCUUGCAAAUCAUUCCCAGUGAACGAUCCUUAGAGCCACUAUACUAUAGUAGCUUUGUAUUUGCUACCCUAGUGUAUGGUGUUAUAGGUAUAAAUUUUGUUGAUCACUUCCUCAAUCAAGGAACACCAGCUGAACACAAAUCAGCUGAGACACCAAUUGGGCAUGAGUCAAAUGGCGCCGUUGCCGGGGAAUGAGUGUCAAGAUCAUUGUGAUACCAUUUUUGAGCACUUGUGAUUUUCAUCACAAGUUGGUAAAGUUUCUUUCACUUUACUAAUUUUCAUUCUCUCUUUGUUUAUUUACAAUCUAAGUUUAUCUUUUUAAAAUUUAGUCUAGUUUAAUUUUGCUAUUGUAGCCUUGUUUCUCUUGUUGUCCUCUGUUCUUGUUGUCCUCUGUUUUCAUUUUAGUUGCAGCUGAAUACUAGUUGUGUAUGCCAAAGUGGAUACGAGACAUUGGAGGUAGGCUUAUUAAGUGUGAUACACCUCAGAGAGGAGAAUUGGAAGUAAUCUUGAAUAUCAUGGAGGCUGCACCUGAAGAUCAGCAUAGUCACCAAGGUCGUCAAGACAAUCUCAAUGAAUUCAGAUCAAUGAGGGACCGUAUGCAUCCACCUCGUAUGAGUGCACCAUCAUGUAUAGUGCCCCCUACAGAGCAACUAGUGAUCAGACCAUAUCUUGUUCCACUUCUACCAACUUUCCAUGGGAUGGAAAGUGAGAAUCCGUAUGCACACAUCAAGGAAUUUGAAGAUGUUUGUAAUACAUUCCAAGAGGGAGGAGCUUCAAUUGAUUUGAUGAGGCUUAAGUUAUUUCCUUUUAAUUUAAAGGAUAAGGCCAAAAUUUGGCUUAAUUCUUUAAGGCCAAGGAGUAUCCGCUCUUGGACUGAUUUACAAGCUGAAUUCCUCAAGAAAUUUUUUCCUACUCAUAGAACAAAUGGCUUGAAAAGGCAAAUUUCAAACUUCUCAGCUAAAGAGAAUGAGAAAUUCUAUGAGUGUUGGGAAAGAUACAUGGAAGCUAUAAAUGCUUGUCCUCACCAUGGCUUUGAUACUUGGCUACUGGUGAGUUAUUUUUAUGAUGGUAUGUCCUCCUCAAUGAAGCAACUCCUCGAGAAAAUGUGUGGAGAAGAUUUCAUGAGCAAAAAUCCAGAGGAAGCUAUGGAUUUCUUGAGCUAUGUAGCUGAUGUUUCAAGGGGAUGGGAUGAACCAACUAAAGGAGAAGUGGGAAAGAUGAAGUCUCAGUUGAAUGCUUACAAUGCAAAGGCUGGGAUGUAUACUUUAAAAGAGGAUGAUGACAUGAAAGCAAAGUUGGCAGCUAUGACAAGAAGAUUGGAGGAGCUGGAGCUGAAAAGAAUGCAUGAAGUGCAAGCUGUUGCUGAAGCACCAGUGCAAGUGAAGUUGUGUCCCAAUUGUCAAUCGUUUGAACAUUUGGUAGAGGAAUGCCCUGCAAUUUCAGCUGAAAGGGAAAUGUAUAGAGAUCAAGCAAAUGUUGUUGGACAAUUCAGGCCCAAUAACAAUGCUCCUUAUGGAAAUACCUACAAUUCAAGUUGGAGGAAUCAUCCAAAUUUUUCAUGGAAGGCCAGAGCAACUCAAUACCAACAGCCGGAUCCACCAUCUCAACAAUCUUCAAGUAUUGAACAAAUAAUAGCUAAUCUCAGCAAGGUAGUGGGAGAUUUUGUGGGAAAGCAAGAAGCCACCAAUGCUCGAGUGGAUCAAAGAAUGGACAGAGUGGAUCAAAGAAUGGACAGAAUGGAGAGUAUGUUGAACAAAAGAAUGGAUGGAAUGCAAAAUGAUAUGAAUCAAAAAUUUGAUAACAUCCAAUAUUCAAUUUCAAGGCUUACAAAUUUGAAUACACUGCAAGAAAAGGGAAGAUUUCCUUCUCAACCUAACCAAAAUCCCAAAGGUGUCCAUGAAGUGGAAAGCCAUGAGGGAGAAUCAUCACAGGUGAAAGAUGUGAAAGCUUUGAUCACUCUAAGGAGUGGUAAGAAAAUUGAGCAGCCAACACCCAAGCCACAUGUUGAGAAAGAAGAAGAGAUGAAGAAAGGGAAGGAAAUGGAAGAUAAAGGCAGUGAGAUCAGUGAAGAAAAGAAGGACUCUGAUGCAACAAUGAAAGUAAUUCCAGAGAAGGAGCUUCUGAAGGAAGAAAUGCUGAAGAAAUCAACUUUUCCACCUUUUCCUCAAGCAUUACAGGGGAAAAAGGGGGUUAGAAAUGCAGCUGAAAUCCUAGAAGUAUUGAGGCAAGUGAAAGUUAAUAUUCCACUGCUGGAUAUGAUCAAACAAGUUCCAACGUAUGCAAAAUUCCUAAAGGACUUGUGUACUAUCAAAAGAGGGUUGACUGUAAACAAGAAAGCCUUCUUGACUGAGCAAGUAAGUGCAAUCUUACAGUGUAAGUCUCCUUUGAAGUACAAAGACCCUGGAAGUCCUACCAUUUCAGUCAUGAUUGGAGGAAAGGUAGUGGAGAAAGCCUUGCUAGACUUGGGAGCAAGUGUGAAUUUGCUUCCAUAUUCUGUCUACAAGCAACUGGGACUUGGAGAGUUGAAGCCAACAGCAAUCACUUUGUCUCUGGCAGAUAGAUCAGUGAAAAUUCCAAGAGGGGUAAUUGAGGAUGUAUUGGUUCAAGUAGAUAAUUUCUACUAUCCUGUAGAUUUUGUUGUUCUUGAUACAGAUCCUACUGUAAAGGAAGCUAAUUUAGUUCCUAUCAUCCUUGGAAGGCCAUUUCUUGCAACUUCAAAUGCAAUCAUCAACUGUAGAAAUGGGCUUAUGCAACUCACUUUUGGUAACAUGACACUGGAUCUAAAUAUUUUCUAUAUGUCUAAAAAGCAAAUCACUCCAGAAGAAGAAGAGGGUCCAGAAGAGCUAUGUAUUAUUGAUACUUUGGUGGAGGAGCACUGCAAUCAACAUAUGCAAGAUAAGUUGAAUGAAAGUUUUGUGGAUAUUGAGGAAGGUUUUUCUGAAUCUCCUAAUGGGCUUGCUACUCUACAAAGUUGGAGAAAGAUAGAAGGAAUUCUACCUUUGUUCAAUGAAGAAGAGGAGGCAGCUGUUGAAAAAGAAAUUCCAAAACUCAAUCUGAAGCCUUUACCUAUGGAGCUGAAAUAUACAUAUCUUGAAGAAAAUAAUCAAUGUCCUGUCGUAAUAUCUUCAUCUCAAACCAAGUCUCAAGUGAAGGAUGCAAGCUUCAAAUGGGAUCCGGGCAAACUGAAUCAGGAAGGGCAAAAAGUUUUGAUGUAUGACACAAGACUCCAUAUCUUUCCUGGGAAGCUCAAGUCAAGGUGGAUUGGUCCAUUUGUUAUUCACCGAGUAUAUUCCAAUGGAGUGGUGGACUUAUUGAAUUCCAAUGGCAAGGACAGCUUUAGAGUCAAUGGAUAUCGUCUUAAGCCGUUCAUGGAGUCAUUCAAAUCAGAAAAGGAGGCAAUCAACCUCCUUGAACCUCAAAAAGCCUAAGUGAAAUGGGUUUGCUGGACGUGGUUUUACCACAGUCCAAAAAUUUUUGUAAAUUUUGUAAAUUUUCAAGUUGUUUCCAUGCUUUUAAUCUUAGUUUUUGAUUUUAAAUCAUGUUUUUAGGUGUGUUUUAAUCGUUUUAUAUGAUCCCAGGCGGAAGAAAUUUCAAGGGGAUUGAAAAGAAAAAAAUCGGGUCGAAAUUGGAGCCGAAACAGAGCAAAAACAGGGGAAAAACAGAGCUCUGCGAAAUUUCGCAGGGUGAAGGAAACUUCUGCGAAAUUGGCAUUUUGCUGCCAAACCAUUCCGCAGCACUGUAGAAGCCUCUGCGAGUGUAUUUCGCAAUUGCGAAAGUGGAUUUGGCACACGAGUGCCACUUCGCAGCACAGUGACAUCAAUUUCGCAGCUGCGAAACUCACUGCGAAGUUGCUGCGAAAAUGGCAAGUUGCUGCGAAAUUGGCGUUUUGUUGCGAAACGUAAUCUGACCCCUGGGCUUCCGUUUUUCCUAUUUAUACCUGUCAAAAGUGCUGCGAAAAAGGUUUCAAAAAUUAGAGCACCAUUCUCGCAGCCCUUUCAUCUUCUUCGCCAAGCCACGCCGUCCGUUUCUCCGGUCGUCUUCUCCGUUUAGCAGCGCCGGCCAAAGAUCGAUAGCCCAAAAAUGGCACGAACGCGAGGGGCAAAGUCUUCAUCCCCUUCGAACCGCAAAAGGAGUCUGCGAAAGGAGCCAAGUUCAGGCUCUGUUCCAGAACCUGCUCCAAAGCCUUCGCCGUCGAGACCACAACCUUCUCCAGUGAAGCCGGCGCCACCAAAGCCGCCGGCAAGGCGAUAUUUAACCAGGUCAGGUGGUCAGCCAUUGAAGAAGAAAGCCAGAGUUGAGAGCUCUGAACCAAUCGAUUUGACUGAGCAAUCCCCUGAGAAAUCACCAAAUCCUUCACCGGUACAAAUUCCAGUGCCAUCACCGGUUCCCUCGCCAAUUCCCUCACCAGAAGCAACUCCAAUUCCAUCGCCGGUACCAUCUCCGGCACCCCAAGAAAAAGCUCAGGAGCCUCAAGCGCCAAUUCCAGAGCCCCAAAUUGCAGCUGAAGCACCUCUGGAAGAAGUGAUCCGAAGGCCAAUGCUGCCUCAGCCCCCAAUCGAAGGAAACCUGGAUUGCCGAACUCGGGCAUUCCAUUCUGAGCUUUGCUUCGAUUUAACAGCAUUCAGAGUGAGGCCAGAGCUUGCCCAAUCCUUCCAACUGCUGAGGAGAUAUCAUAUGGAGCAUCUGCUAGCUCCAAGGGAUUUUUUCUAUCCCCGGGUAGUCACGGAUUUCUACCAAACCAUGACAACCAAAGAAGUAAGAAAUCCAACUCUGAUUCAUUUCAUAAUUGAUGGAAGGCAUGGUAUUUUGGGAGCAAGACAUAUUGCUGAAGCCCUGCAAAUUCCUUUUGAGCCAACUCAAUUCGACAAUUUUAAAGCUUGGACAAAUCCUACUGAGUUAGAGAUGGUUAGCACACUAACCAGAGGAGCUGCAAAUCGAUCGCAUUUGUUGAGGGGGGAGCUACCUCCAGUUAUGUUUUUGAUUGAUGCCUUUUUGAGGCAUAAUAUCUAUCCCCUGCAGCAUUGGACCCAAAGAAGGGGAAUUCUCCUAGAAGCCUUGUACAAAAUGUCUGAAGGAUUCUUCUUUGGGCCUCAUCAUCUGAUCAUGGCAGCCCUUCUAUACUUUGAGGAGAAGGUUCACAAGAAGAAGCUUCAAAGAGCAGAUUGCAUUCCACUCCUCUUCCCAAGGCUGCUAUGCCAAGUUUUGGAGCAUCUCGGAUACCCCUCUGAGCCUCAGCAGGAAAGAAAGAGAAUAUGCCGUGAGCCUUUUACCCUUGAUAAAUGGAAUAAUAUGACGGCCUACAAAAUUGAUCAGCCUGGGCAGCCUCAGCCAGCAGCAAGGAGAGUCUCCCCAAGACAUAUACCUGAAGGUAUAACACUUGCUACUCCUGCCAUCCCUCGAGCUCCACCAGCUGCACCUGCUCCAUCACAGCCAUCCACAUCAGCUGAGCCGAGGAUGGCCAUCCCUAUAUCCGAAUAUCGAGAGCUGUGCCGUGCAUUGGAGACUCUUACAGCUUCUCAGAGCAAUCUUGCUCAGGAGUUGGCAGCCAUUAAAGCAUGCCAGGAGCAGAUGUUAGCCUCUCAGACUCAACAAGCUGCCAUCCUAAGGCAGCUUCAAGUCCAUUUCGAUCUGCCACAAGCUGUAGAGCCCUCUAUUCCUACUCCACCAGAGCCACACUCUCAGCCUUCAGAGUCUCAUCCUCCAGAACCCGAAGCACCAGCUGAUCCACCUACUGAGGAGGCAGAUCCUUCUGCCUAGCACCAUCACCCCCCUCAUCAGACAUUAUAUAUAUAUUUGCUGUUUAUGUUUUUAUGCAUGUUUGUUUUGUUUUAGUUGAAAAGAAAUCCCAGUAUUUUGGUACUAUAUAUGGGAUUCCUUGUGUUACUUGUCUUUAGUAUUGUAAUCACAUGAACUCAAAGUAAUACAAGUUGACUAUUUCUUGUUAAAAGUUAGCAUUAAAGUUUCCUUAUUUCCUUUUCUCACAUAUUCUAUUCUUUUUGAAACAUGUGGUUUUCCCCAAUCAAUAUUCGAAUUUGAUAUCAGCAUGGAGGUACCACUUCCUCCCUUUUAUUACAGUCACUCAAAUCACAUUGAGGACAAUGCUCAGUUCGGUUGGGGGGUAUGAGGAAGGAAGUAUUCUAAACCUUUUUGGUAUUGCAAUUAUAUUGGUUAAUUAGUUGUAGAUUUUACUUUUUACUAGUGUUACUCUAUUCUCCAUGAAUUUUGAGGAAAAAUUUUCAAAUUAAACCAAGAGAAAUUGAACUGUUGUUUUUCACUUGACUUAGAGUAUGGAUUAUGCUUACUAAAGUGGUUCAAUUGUUGAAACUUCUACUGAAAUUGAAUUGAGUUCUUCCACUUUAAGCUAUCCACACACUGUGCACAUUAGUUUCCGAUUAUAAGAUGAAAAGCUAUUUCCCUCUUGACUUAGUAUAUUUUUGGGACUUGGUAUAUUUGACCUCAUUUGAUAAAAAUUGAAACACCCUGCAAAAGGCCAAUGAGCCUUUGAAAUAAAGAAAGUUGUUUGCUUGCCUUGAAACCCGAGCAAGGUCUGAGGGGUAUAUGGUGAAAAUCUUUAAAGCCUGGUGCCCUAAGCCUUAAUUGGUUGGGAGUCACCGACCUCAAUGCUCGUUACAAGGGUGAAUAGGUAGAGUUAGCAUAUGGUAGAUGCUUGGGUAUUAGAAAUUCAUUCUUAAAAGUCCGGGGAAAAAUCCGAGGAGUUAGUGGUUGAAAGAUCCUUAAAACUUGGUGCCCUAAACCUUAAUUGGUUGGGAGUCAUCGAUGGACCCCCAUUACAUGGACAAGUCAGAAAGAGUACCCCAUAAAGCUACCUUAAAAAAAAAAAAAAAAAAAAAAAAAAAAAAAAAGAUGAAAGUGUGUUCUUUUCUUAUUGAUUUUGGUCAGUUUGCUAAAGUGUUGAAAAGAGAUAGGUUGGGGGGUGAGAUUAGUAGCAUAUUAUUCUCGGAACCUAAGGAACCAAUACACAUAGAUUUUUGUGGAAGAUUGAAGUUUAGUUCUUAGAAAAUGAAAUGAUUUUAAAACUUCAGUUUGCAUAAUGCACUCCCUUGAUUGACAGUGUUUAGCAUAGGUGUUAUGACUCUUGUUGAGAUUUGGGUUUGUAUUUCUUUAAUGAUUCAUGUGAGAAAUAGAUCAUCAUGCCACUUGAGAAUUAUUUUCCUUUUAGCAUGAUGUUGUAAAUUUUAGAUUAGUUUGCUAUUUAUUUUUUAUUUUCUCUCCUAUAUUGCUAAGGGACUAGCAAUAUGUCGGUUGGGGGGAGUGAUUACUACUCAAAAAGUGCUAUUUGAUAGCCUUUAAUUAAUCCUUUUUAACACUUUUGAGUAGUAGUUUAGGCCUUUUAACUCAAUUGGCAUGUUAAGGAUCCUUUAAAGCAAUUUUGAUCACUUUGUGCAAGUUUUGGUGUUUUUGUUAGUAUUUUGAUCACCAAAGCAAGUCAAGAAUGAGGAGAACUAUGAGGAAUCAUGGGCAAAGCUUAGAAUUCAAUUGCCAAGAGUGAAUCCGGAUUGCAAGGAGAAAAAGCAAAGAGAAUCUGUCAUGAAGCCUAUUCUUGAUGACAGUCGUAGCAGCCACUUUUGGAGCACUUUCUGAAGUCCAAAUGAUGCAAGCUAUAUACCAUUUCAAAGCUCAGGAAGUCAACAAUCCAAUGCUUCAAACGGUGCGCGAUUCGGAGUUGAAACGAAGAAGUUGCAGCCAUUACAAGCCAGUCACUCUAAAGUGUUGCGGAAUCAGCCUUUUGUUGCGAGAAUUUCGCAGCACUUUUGUACAGUAAGGUGUUUCUCCUUCUGACGAUGCACGAACCAUGCCGCGAGAGGGAAGCUAGGAACUUCAAGAUGGAAGCCAACUUUGCAGCCUGGUGAAGAUAGCUUGGUCUUGCGAAAUAAUUUCGCAGCCCUCUUGGGUGUCUGCGAAAUUUCGCAGGCACCACUUUUUUCCUGCGAAAUGGCUCCGGAAGCCUCCCGAAGCUUGCUACCGACAUUGGGAGAUAUUUUCCAUUAGAUUUUUGUUGUCUAAAUUCCAAAAUACUCCUUGUAAACCACCAAUUACAUGAUUCCUUAGUUUUUAAGUUAGUAAAAAGACCAAAUAUCUAUGUAAUAAUUAGUUUUAUAUUAGUUUGCUAUAAAUACCUCUCGGGAGCAUGUUCUCAGAGAGGAGUUCCUUCUGUAACCAUUUUGGUAAGCAAGUAAAGUCUUUUCUUUCUACUGCCUUACCUUCUCACUUUGUAUUUUCAUUUUAUUUCUAAGUUAUGAAUUCUCUGAGGAGCUUUCCCCAGAGAAUGAGUAACUAAACCUCCAAUUCCUUGGAGCUAAGGUUGCCGGGGAAGGUUCCAAGUGCAAGAAUGCAAAGCUCUGUGGUUUUAGCUAGUAAUGAAGAGGAAGUGAAAUCCUUUAGUGAUUUCAAUGUUUUUAGUUAACUUAAAACACCUUGGAGUCACCUGGGCCAACACUUGGUAAGGCAAGUGAUUUCCAACCGUGGAAAUGCACUAGUUUACCCCUUGCGAGCCUCUGGUAGGUGACUUCAAGGUAGGAUUUUCUGGAAUUACCAACACUUGGUAAGCUUUUGGACUCCUAGGAGACAUCCAUUAGUUAUCUCUUGCGAGUUUGUGAAGGGGAAUCCAAGGUUAAAGAUCACCUUGAAUGGUAAGUGCUCGUGAGAGGCAUGAACCAUUGCAAGUUGUAUCAGUGAGAGAAUUAAAGUGAAAUCUAAUUGAAGGAGUCUCUGUACAUCACCGGUUAGAGAAUUGACUAUAAGUUGAAUCUCUAAUGCGAGGAAAUGAACCAUCUGACCGGAGCUAUGUCUUUUGCAUGAGGAACCACCCCAGUGAACCUAAAUCUCCAAGGAAUGCUUUUCUUCCUAAAUUAUUCCAAACUUCUGUUAAGUUAGUUAGUUUAAGUCUAAACCUUUACCAAUCAAACUUUGUGUUUUAUUCCUUAAGCUAACCGUGAAAUGAAACAAAACCAAUUCACUUGGAAUUGGUAUCCUUGAUUGCUUGCAAAUCAUUCCCAGUGAACGAUCCUUAGAGCCACUAUACUAUAGUAGCUUUGUAUUUGCUACCCUAGUGUAUGGUGUUAUAGGUAUAAAUUUUGUUGAUCACUUCCUCAAUCAAGGAACACCAGCUGAACACAAAUCAGCUGAGACACCAAUUGGGCAUGAGUCAGUGCGUUAGAGGAUCAAGAAGAAGAAAAAGAAGGAACUGUUGGAAUUAGUAUGAGUGUGAAGAGAAAAGUAUAUAAAUAAGGGGAAGUAAAAGCAAAGUUCAAAAAGCUAUAUUUUUUUAUUGUUGGUGUAUGGUUGCAUGAUUAUCCCUAUAAAUAAUAGGAGUUUUUUGGUAUUCUACUAGUAGUUGAAGCAUAAUUUCAUAAAUUAAUAUUUAGAGCGGGGUGGGGUGAGUUGUGACAAAAUUCAUACCCGUCCCAAACCUUGGUUCAGAUUUUUAAAAUAUUCUCAAACUUAUCAUAUACCCAACUUUUAUAUUUCAUACUUGUCCUAAUAGAGGCACGUUAGGCCGGGUUACUUGAGUAACCUACAUAAUUGUCAUCCCUAGUUGAAAUACACUUUUUGGCAGUGGCCACCAACUGAGCUAGAAGCUUGAUUGAUUGACCUACAAGAUUAGUUCUCAUCAUUUUAAAAAAAGUUCUGGCUUUGGUUGUGAGUGCAAUUGAAUCUAAACUGGCAUUUGCUUAAUGCAUCUACUUCAAUCCUAAACUUCUUACUUCUUAAGCCUCAAUUGUUGUUAGGAUUUUGGAAAACCCAUUUCCUUAAAUUGUAAAUUUAAGAUAAAAUAAAAUAAAAGUGAGACAUUUCUUGAUUGAAUAUUGUUAAAGGUCCCUUGGCAUUAAGACUUGGUUGAAGCCUUGGAAGAUUAGUGGAACUCUCAACAUGUGUUUGAAUCUUGAGGAGAGUGGAUGUAAGCCAAAAUUUUGUCAAACCAUUAUACAAAUUGAGUUUGAAUCCUCAUUUCUUGAUUUCUUAUUUAUUUGCUUUUUCUUAUUAUUACUUGAAUUGUCAUUUGCAUUCAUUAAUGUUAAAAUUGGUUAUAAUUAACCAACACUAAUUCUCUUUCCCCUUCCCUUUCUUGGGUGUAAACCUAGGUUGGAUUAACUAGAUAAAUCUAUUAAGAUGGUAAAAGAAUAAUUAUUCUUAACAUACAUAAGAUCAUCUUCAAUCAAAUGACUCAUUGGCUAAUAUGUUGAAUUUGCUUAUUACUUGCAACUCAAAAUUGUGUUCUAGUUGUGUCAAGUCCCCAGUGUAUGGACAUUAAAUUUGUAGUACGUGAUGAGUAAUUAGAUGGUCCAACUCCAAGAAAGUGAUUGAAAAGUAGUUCAAGAAAGGUGCAAAAGGGAAUUGUUUUGGUAUUUUCGUUUUUAUUCUUGAAGGUGGCAGAGCUAAAAUUUGAGAAAUCAAGCAAAACAUACUGAAAUUACAUUGAAAGAAAGAAGAUGGGAGUUAAUGUCUUGCAGUACAUGAUAAGGACUUCAUGCAUGUAGUGUGACCCAUGUCUUGGACUGAUGCCAACUCACGGUUACACUUAUACCCUUGGUUCUCUCUUUACUACCUUGGCUAACCUAGAUCAGGCUAUGAGAUAGGCUCCUCACCACACCAUUACUUGCCCAUUAAUUAGAGACAUUUUCAAGCAAUGAGGUAACAUGGUGACACCAAGAGGGUCUAUUCCUCGCCCGGAACAAGUCUAGACUUGGUCUCAAAAAAAUGGAGAAAAAUGAGGUGUCGUUAUGUAGAAAUACAACAACCAUGCCUUCCUCAUUACUUAGAUUCAGAAUGUGAAGGUGAAAUUGAGAAACAGAAACUCUUGAAACCAAAAUGAAAAUUGAUACUUUUACGAAGAAUUACAACAACAUUAGAGGAAGACUACAUUCUUCCUCUUUAUUCCUACAUUUCUACACUACUUCUACUCCACUCCAUAUUUCUACAUACAUCUUUAAUCAGUCUUCCCUCCUUUAUAUAGAGCCAUCUUCACACAAAUUUCGCAAGGUAGAAAAGAGGAAUGAAACUUGGAGCAAGGUUCGACUACUGGUUGUAGCUUGUCAAGGCUGGAAGUGAACUUUUCUUGGCUUUCUGGGCAUGGGUAGUAACUUGUGGGUUCCUGUUUGGCAUAAAAAUGGCUAGAACAUGUGGCACUAUCUUGUUGGAUGAUGUGUCAAGCAUGUGGCAGCCAUCUAGUGGCGAUUAUGUCAAUUUUGGGAUGGAGAGUUGGCAUCCAAUUGCAAAGAAAUAUGACGUCUACCAACAUGCAAUGUAAACCUAUGUAGAUCAUAUGAAGAUAGAGAGGAAAAAUAUAGAAAUGGAUAUAUACCUAGAACUAGCUUUUUAUUAAAUGAAACGGAGAGACAACAAUGAAGGAAAAUAAAAUUUUUUGGCUUAUAUCAAAGAGUUCACAUUGUGUUACCCUAGGUUUUCUUAAAACUUACUUUUAUGAUAACAAAAAAGAAAAAACCAUUAUUGUUUAAUCCUUUGUUUUAAACGCAUGUAAGGUGUAAUUAAGUUAGUUCAAUGCAUUAAUUUAAGAAACUUGACCUAUCAAAAGUACAAAAUUAGAUGAAAUCCAUUUCAAUGGUUAAAAUGAUCAAAAUCAAACUUUUUCUAAGUAUUUUUUAAAAGCAUCAAUAGUGAAAGACAAUUUUAUAUUUAGUCGGAGUUUGGACAAAACUGAAAAACACACAAAAUCCAAGCGACCAUCUCUAGCUUGGAUGGUCGCUUGAUCCCACCUAGAGAUGUGCAUGAGUAAAAGGAUUUGAAAAUGGAAAUUGACUAUGUAGUCGAUCAAUUAACUUUGCAACAUCAUAUGCAAUCCUAAUUGCUAGUCAUCUAAUCAAUUAGGUAGUCAAUCAACAGGCCAAAAAUAUGUUUAUAAUGACUAUUUUGUACAAAAACCACCUGUAUAGUUAAAUAUAAUGCAUUUCAUUUAUAAAUCUUCUAAUUCUUGAAUAACGAUCCUAUCAUCCUUUGAAAGUUUUUAUUACACUUUUUUUACUUUUGUUCUAAAACUUACACAUCACCCUUAAUUGUACCAUGAGAACCUAGCUAUUUUUUAUUUUUUUUUUUGUAAUUCAUCAAAGUUAGCUUUUGUAUUCAUUGUUGUAUUAUUUUUAGUAUAACUUAGAAAGCUAGUGUUUUCAAGUGAGUAAAAUUAACUUGUAAAUAUUGUAAAGAUUCAUCGACAUGUAUCUUAAACUAAGUGUACAAGUUAAAACAUUUGCUAGUAGAUUUUCUCAAAAUUUAGAAUAGAGCUUGAGACUAUUGAAAUAGGUGGGGUUGCACCAAACCACAUCACAUCGUUGUUUGCACCUUUUUUCACUCUCUUUUACUUAGUUGCUCUAUAUUUGUUGUCUAGUAAUAUCCUAUAGGCUUGAUGGGUUAGGGAGCAUCCCUUUGUGAAAAAAUUUUAUUCAAUCCUUAGUUGUAUCACGCAUAUAUAAAAUGCCUCAUUGUUUUAAUGGUAUUCAGUCGUGGCAUCACAGAUAUGGGCAUCUAAAUUUUAAAAGUUUGAAACUUUUAUCUAAAGAAAAUAUGGUGCUUUGCCUUUUUGUAAAGCAUGUUGAUGAAAUCCAUGAGAAUUGUGUACUUGGGAAGCAACACCGAGAUGACUUUUUUUUUUUUUUUAUAAUAUUGUUUGUCCAAAUUCCCUACAAAUUAGGCCACCAGAUGUUCAUAAUUCUCCCUUCUUGAAUUUGAAAACUCGGACAAUUGGACAAUGCGACACCUAAGUCCGGUUUCUAAAUGCUAAAGUGAAAGGGUAGGUAUGGACCAUUGAAAUGUGAUCACAACUUUUCUCUGUAGCCAUGUUGUCUCUUUUUUCUUUUGCAUGAUUUUCUUACCUUAACAGAAUCAUAGACUUGUUUAGUCUCUAAAUGGGAUUAAUUUCAUCCAGCUUUAAGCUACUAUAUUAUAUCUAGGUGGAGGACUUUUAAGAGUGCAACCGACAUAGAGCACAUGGAAGUGGGUAUAUGGGACAUGAAAUUUCUUCUUAUAAAGAUUGCAUGAUUUUUAUAUUAGAGUUGUUGAGGCGCUAUGUAUUUAGCUUGUUUUGCAGUUAAAUUAAUUGGAUAAGUAGACAUUGGCGUUUCUAAAUCUACUGUGAAGUGCUUCAUGUACGUGUGAAGUAUUAGAAAUUUCUUUCUUGGCAACUUGUUUUUCUUUGCGGUCUACUGAUAGGUUUGACUAAAAUUAUAUUCCCUGUCAUGCUAAUUAAUUUUCACGUGCAUGCUCAAAAGAAAAGUAUGACCUUAGUGCACCAAAAUCACUUUGAUUAAUUUGUGAUAGGUUUUUGUGCAUCAUGACAUUAGCCUUAUUCAUUUAGAUAAUGUUUAGUUUUUAGAAAGUAUUAAGAAAAGGAAAAUAAAUAUUAAGAAAAAUAUUCUUAUAUUUGAUUGUAUUAUGAAAAAUAUCAUAAAAAAAUCAAAUAUAAUUUAAAUUAAUUAAUAAUUUAUACAUUUUCAAAUUAUUUAAUCUUUAUAUUGAAGAUAUAAUAUAAAUGAAAUGAGUUUUAAGUAUUAUAUAAAAGUGAUUUAUUGAUCUUACAUAUAUAUAUUUCUUUUUUUUUUCCUUCUAUUUUUUCUCUUUAUUUUAUUUUCCUUAUGUUUUCCUCAACAUUUUCCGGAACCAAACAUAGCCUUAGGAAAUCCACAAUUACCUUCAACUGAGUAGAUUCUGUUGUUUUAGCAAUGUUAGGCUGCUAACUUGUGUUGGUACGAACCUAUUAAGCCUAAAGAUGUAAUUAGUUAGGAUAUUCUUUUCCCUCUAGUCUUGUAGCUCCACGUGUACAGUUGGUUAGGACCUCAUUGUAUAUAAUGCUUGCCCUGUUAUUGUAGAAGACAACAAAGAUAAAUAAUAUUAACAUUUUUCCUCUCAUCUCUCUCUGUUUCCCUCUGUUUUCAUCUCCUCUCUCAUCUUGGUAUCAGAGCCUCCAUGGCUUCUUUCAAAGAAACCUCCGAAUCACCUUCUGCUAGCAUUGUUAAUGUGCAAAACCCAUUAUCUCAAUCAAACAACCUUCCUUCACCAGUAGCCACACCCUCUUUUUCUUUCUCGUCUAUGAAUCAACCUCUCACAGUGAAGCUGGAUAAUGGGAACUACCUCAUAUGGAAGAAUUAGCUUCUAAAUGUCAUCAUUGCUAACGGACUCGAUGAUUUCAUUGACGGAUCUCGACCCUGCCCUCCUCGAUUUCUCGAUCUGCAACAACAAACCCUCAAUCCAGAGUACUCAGCUUGGCAGAGAUACAAUCGACUUCUGAUGAGUUGGCUGUACGCAUCCUUGUCCAAAGAUAUAAUGGCUCAGAUUGUUGGGUAUUCAACAGCUAUGGAGAUUUGGAAUGCCCUUAAUCAGAUUUACUCUGCCUCUUCUAUGGCGCGGUUUACUGAGCUUCGCACCAAGCUUCAAACGCUCAAGAAAGAUGGACUCUCAGUUGGUGAAUAUAUUCAAAGGCUCAAAUCCAUUUGCAAUAGUCUUGCAGCAAUAGGAGAACCAGUUUCUGAGAAAGACCAUCUUAUCUAUUUGUUCAAUGGAUUAGAUUGUGAGUAUUAUUCUUUUGUUACCUCCAUUCAAAAUCGAUCUGACCAACCAACUAUUGACAAAAUCCAUAGCCUAUUGCUUAGCUAUGACUUCCGGCUUGAACAACAAAACUCUGUUUCUCUCCAUUCUGCCCAAGUCCAUAUGGCUCAUCUGAACAAGAAACCUUAUAAAUCAACUCCUCAACCUACAUUCAAUCAUAUUCACAUUCAACCUAGAUACUCUUCUCCACCUUUUAAGCCAACCACUAGUCAAUAUCAACCCAACAUUUUGGGCAAACCACAACCACAACCAUGACAGCCUCAACCUCAAUGGAAACCACAUUUUUCAAUCUAAAAUCAAAAGCCUCAGCGCCAAAUUUGUGGUAAAUUUGGACACACUGCUCUUAUUUGCUUCCAUCACACAAAUUUGAACUAUUCACCCCAACCUUCUCCUAAAUCUUUCAAUACUGUUCUCACCACAAAUUCCCAGCUCCCUAAUCCUCCAAAAUUUUCUUACCCUACAAUGGCUCAUCCUGCUGCUACGCAUAACACGGUUCCCGAUACAAAUUGGUACAUGGACUCAGGUGCUACACAUCACUUUACUCUGGACAUCAACGUGCUUGACACUGUGACACCAUUUAGUGGUUCAGAACAGGUGACAGUUGGGAAUGGUAAGCAACUCUGUAUCUCACAUCUUGGUACUGCAAAACUACCAUCUUCGUAUUCUCCUCCUGUUCUACAUCAGGUAUAUCACACUCCAAAAAUUUCAAAUAAUCUUAUUAGUGUUAAAAAAUUGUGUUCUGAUAAUAAAGUUUUUGUUGAAUUUUAUGCCACUCAUUUUCUUGUCAAGGAUCAGGUUUCGAAGAGAGUUCUCCUUUAGGGUCAACUUGAUAAUGGCUUAUACAAAGUUCAGUCGUCAUGCUCUCCUUCUGCUGUUUCCUUUCCUCCUCAAGUUUUCAUAGCCAACAUCAAGUAUCCAAAUCUGUGGCACAAGAGACUAGGCCACCCAGCUUUAUCUGUUGUUAAUCAAAUCUUGGAUUCUUGUAACAUUGCUCGAACACAGAAAAUUUGUUUUAAUUUUUUAAAUUCUUGUCAAUUAGCAAAGAGCCACAGGCUUCCUUUUUCUCUGUCUCCAUCCAUUGCAGAAAAACCUUUUGAGUUAAUUCAUACAGACCUAUGGGGUCUUUCGCUCGUUCGCUCUAUUUCUGGUGCUCUUUAUUUUUUACUUUUCAUUGAUGAUCAUACUCGUUUUACUUGGUUUUAUUUGCUCAAAACAAAAGAUGAAGCAUAUCCUACUUUUCUCAAGUUUCAAGCUCUCAUUGAAAAUCAAUUUAAUACCAAGAUUAAGGCUGUCCAAUCUGAUUGGGGAGGUGAGUUUCGAUCUCUCUCCAUACCGUUUUCAAAUAUGGGCAUUGUCUAUUGUUUAUCGUGUCCAUACACCUCACAACAGAAUGGGCGAGUUGAGCGAAAAAAUCGCCAUGCGAUUGUCCUUUCUUGCUUGCUCUAUGCCCUUAUCUUAUUGGCCUUAUGCCUUUCAAACUGCCACUUACCUUAUUAAUCGUCUCUCUACCCCUGUGCUGCAUCAUCAAUCCUCUUACUUCGCACUCUAUCACAAACUCCCAACUUAUACUCAUCUUAAGGUCUUUGGUUCCUCUUGUUUUCCGUAUUUGCACCCUUAUAAUACCCAUAAACUCCAAUACAGGUCACUAGAGUGUGCUUUUCUUGGUUACAGUUCACACCACAAAGGUUAUCUAUGUCUUGACAUUCAUUCUAGCAGGGUGUAUAUUUCUCGCCAUGUGAUUUUUAAUGAAGAUUCUUUUCCAUUCAAGAAUUUGAAAUCUUCUCUCUCUCAGUCUAUUUCUUCUUCCUCUUCUUUAUAAGUUCCUCUGUUCAUUCUCUUGCCUCCCCUUUCCCCAUCUCCUCUUAUUUCUUCAUCUAUACCUCAUUCUUUUCCCUCUUCUUCUUCUACCUCUAGUACUUGUUCCCCUCUCGUUGCUCCUACCUCUCUUCCUUCCUCUUCACACUCUGUGUCUCCAUCUAUUCCACCUCCUUCUCCACCUUCUCCGAGUGUGGACCUGCUUGCACCUUGUGUGAAUACAAAUUUACAUACUUCUUCUCGCACUCACAAUAUUCAUCCUAUGGUGACUAGAUCUAAGGUUUGUAUCUAUAAACCUAAGUUGUUGUUGAGUGUCUCCAUAGGUUCUCUCACUAAGCCUACUUCCUUUCUUCAAGCUAUUAAAGAUCCUUCAUGGAAGCAAUCCAUGGAAUUCGAGUUUGCUACCCUUCAACACAACAAGACCUGGCAUUUGGUUCCUUCACCUUCCUCAGGCGAAGUAAUCGGUUGUAAAUGGGUCUAUAAGCUAAAGCUUCAGCCUGAUGGCUAAAUUGAGAGAUACAGCCUGCUUAGUAGCUAAGGGUAUCAUCAAAUUGAAGUAUGGACUACUUCGAAACAUUCAGCCUGAUNNNNNNNNNNNNNNNNNNNNNNNNNNNNNNNNNNNNNNNNNNNNNNNNNNNNNNNNNNNNNNNNNNNNNNNNNNNNNNNNNNNNNNNNNNNNNNNNNNNNAGCUUCAGCCUGAUGGCUAAAUUGAGAGAUACAAGGCCUGCUUAGUAGCUAAGGGUUAUCAUCAAAUUGAAGGUAUUGACUACUUCGAAACAUUCAGCCUGAUUGUCAAGCUUUCUACUAUCUGUAUUGUGCUCAGUCUUACUUUUUCCCAGAAUUGGUGUAUUAGACAGCUGGAUGUUCAUAAUGCCUUCUUACAUGGUGACUUAGCUAAAGACGUUUUCAUGGAACAACUGCCUGGAUUUGUUGAUCCUCUCUAUCCUACUCAUGUCUGCAAGUUGGAUAAGUCUCUCUACUGUCUUAAAUAGUCACCUCGGGCUUGGUAUACUAAGCUGAGUACUUCUCGCUACACUUGGGAUUUGUUACUUCUAAGAAUGACUCUUCCUUAUUUAUUUGUCAUUCGUCUCAUGGGUUACUUCUUGUUCUUGUCUAUGUGGAUGAUAUAAUCGUCAUUGGGAGCCACUCUCCUCAGGUUACUCACCUUAUCCAACAGUUGCAUCAUUAGCUUUCUUUAAAGGAUCUUGGUCCUUUACAUUAUUUUCUGGGCUUGGAGGUUCAUCACACCCCUACUGGUAUUCACCUCAGCCAAGCAAAGUAUAUCACUGAUCUCCUUACCCGGGCGGCUAUGUUGGAUGCCAAGCCAUGUCCCACUCCUAUGUCCUCCAACACAUAUCUCUCUUUUCAUGAUGGAGUGGCUCUUGAAAAUGGUUCAGAUUAUCGAAGUUUUGUUGGUGCCCUUUAGUAUUGUACCAUGACACGCCCAGAUAUAGCUUUUGCAAUAAAUAAAGUGUGUCAAUUCAUGCACCAUCCCUCUAAUGUUCACUGGCAGGCUAUAAAACGUAUUCUCCGGUACUUAAAGGGCACAUCUCAUUUUGGUCUCUUCCUACAGCCUUCCUAUGACUUCAACAUCACUUGCUAUACAAAUGCCGACUGGGCUUCCUGUCCUGAUGACAAGUGUAGCACCAGUGGCUACUGCCUCUUUCUUGCCUCUAAUCUGGUUUCUUGGUCAUCUUCCAAACAAAAAGUGGUCUCCCGCUCCAGCGCCGAAUCAGAGUACCGAGGGGUAGCAAAUGGGGCUGCUGAAAUUGCUUGGACUGAAUCUCUUCUUUGUGAACUUUCCAUUACUCCCCCUCCCCUCAUUCUCUGUGACAAUAUCAGUGCCACGUACUUAGCUGCCAAUCCUAUUUUGCAUGCCCGCACCAAACAUGUGGAAAUCGACUAUCACUUUGUCACGGAACGUGUUCUUCAAUGCUCUCUUUUUGUCCAGUUUACACCUUCUGAUGAUCAACUUGCUGAUUGCAUGACCAAGCCUCUCUCCACCCAACGUUUCAUCACUCUACGCUCCAAGCUCACUGUUCUCACUAGACCAAUGAGCUUGAGGGGGGAUGUUAAGCCUAAAGAUGUAAUUAGUUAGGAUAUUCUUUUCCCUCUAGUCUUGUAGCUCCACGUGUACAGUUGGUUAGGACCUCAUUGUAUAUAAUGCCUGCCCUGUUAUUGUAGAAGACAACAGAGAUAAAUAAUAUUAACAUUUUUCCUCUCAUCUCUCUCUCUGUUUCCCUCUGUUUUCAUCUCCUCUCUCAUCUGAACCAAAUGAUCCAUGUUAACCUUGGCUUGGUUUGAUUUGGCUCUAUCUUAGAGAGCUCAAGGAUCACGUCAACUCUGGUUUCUACUAUUCAGGUCCAUUCCCAUAUGAACUGGUUCAAAUUUGAGAAAAUGGUAACAGACCUUUAGUGAUGUUGGUUUGGAGCCAGUUGCCAAACCCGCCCUGAGCUUUACCACUAAUGUCAAGGGAGAAAGCCAUUUGAACAAAAACAAUAGCUUCAAGGGACUGAAUCGUGGAUGAAAUCUGAUCCACAUUUCUUCUCAUUUUGGAAACAAAUGAGAACUUAACUAAGAAGAUUCUACGGCCUCAUAGUGCUUUUCCUGAUCUAAGGUUGGUUCGUUUCCCAAACUGUGAGAUGCACGUGCCAGACUUCAGAACUCUCACGCUCAGGAGUGUAUCCACGUGGUGGACAUAAGAUGGUGGCUUAAGAUCUGGUGUCGGUGGCUUUACUUUACUAGGAGAGUAGUGUGUCUUCAUCUCAUUCACUGCCGGAGGGUGGCGUAAGCAGUGACGCUAAGGUGGGGCACAGUCAAUAUCAUUUGCAUUUGACCAUUAUAGUUUUCUCCCGGCUUUAAAGUAACCUUAUCGUGAUAAAGGAUUACUAGCACUAGUUCAGAUGAUAGUCAUGUUAAAUUCGGACCAUGUUUGUGUCACAUUAUCAGCAACCAUGUGUUUAUGGUUCAUGCUUUCUGCAACUAAAAUUGAUAUAUAACCAGGUGAACUUCAAUCUAAAUUCUGAAAGUACUCAUGUGAUAGAUGGUGCCCGUCUGCAGAGUCCAUCAAUUGAAAAAUGGAGUGAGUGUAUCUAUAAGAGGGAAGGCUUGGAAAAUGUUCAGUUUUCUGGGAAUUCAACAAGGAUCUAAAAUAGAUUGUUUUCUUUGCUGAUUUCAAUGGUUGAAAUUUGAGAAGAUUGUGUCCACAUAACACAACUAUUACUGGUCCUUCUGUUGCAAUUUAUCCUCUAAAGCUCUAGCAUGUCUUCCAAUUCCCACUUCCCUGUUACUCCAGGAAAGCUAUUUCUGUCAUUGUGAAGAAGAAAAGAGAAUGUACAUAUCGAUGCUUUUAAGUGACUGGAGCAUUUAUAUCAGGUGGUCUGCAGCCAUAUAUGCCACUUUGUGAAGAUUGGAACAGUCAAUCACUAGGCUAUAUAUUAGUGUGGCCCAGCCACUUUAAUCAAGGACAAGUCUUCAUACUUAAAGUCAAAUUCUGCCUUUAGUCUCAUUAUAAAUUUCUGUUUAAAUAUUAAGCAAACAUUUGUUUAAUGCGAUUAAGACAGUACUAACUCAAUACCUGUUCUAUUUUUGGAUGCAAAUGCUUGAUGGUUUCAUCAUUGGAUGGGAUAAAGGUGCAUUCAUGAUUAGGAAUACUAGUAGUUAUAUUUUAAUUCUCUUUUUUCUCAAUGAGACUUGUUGGCACAAUUUUGCUGUUGAGAAACCUACCUCUCCAUGGAAAAUAAGUUGUGAUUGAUAGUACUGGAUAUAUUCAAGAAAUCUAAAUAUAGAUAGCACAAAAUAUUAUCGACAUAAAUAGCAUUAACAGCGUACGUAUGUCUCAGUGCUCAUCAGCUAUAAGCAUGGGGCAAACACUUACUAUGAGCAACUUACGUCAAAAUUCCAGAAUAGGACAUAGAAGUGACAGAUAUAGAACAUUGCAUAUGAGUCACAAGAAAGGAAAUUACGGGUGCAUAGCAGCUCUUAUUUUACAUACUACUACUCAUACUGAUCAAAGUCACUCAGUUGGGAUGGGUGGGAGUAGGAGGUUUGUGGGGUGGCUUGUGCGGAGGAGUUGGCAGCUUCUUUCCAGGACCUGGUUGCUUCUCUGCUGGAGUUGAAGGAGGCUUAAUCUUCCGAGGUGGCUUGUAUGAGUCUUCAGCAUUCUCAGCUGGAGGGUGACCAGGGUUGUGACCAUAAUGUGGUGGCUUCUCUCCCUUAGGUGGUUUGCCAACUGGGGUUGGUGGCUUGUAUGAGUCUUCAGCAUUCUCAGCAGGAGGGUGACCAGGGUUGUGACCAUAAUGUGGUGGCUUCUCUCCCUUAGGUGGUUUGCCAACUGGGGUUGGUGGCUUGUGUUCUGGGAGUGGCUUCUCCCCCUUGGGAGGUUUUUCCAAUGGGGUUGGUUUGUGUUCAGGAGGUGGCUUCUCCACUGGAGGCUUGUGUUCAGGAGGUGGCUUCUCCACCGGAGGCUUGUGUUCAGGUGGUGGCUUCUCCACCGGAGGCUUAUGCUCUGGUGGUGGCUUCUCGAAUGGGGGAUGCUUAGGAUAAUCAGCAAGUGAGGGGGCGGUGAGAACCACCAGGCCAAGCAACACCACUAGCAAAUAUGUAGGAGACAUCUUUGGGUUUGGGCUCAGAUGGUGCAAAACUAGGAGAAUUGGCUAGCCUUUUAUAGCGGAUCGUACCCAAUAAUGAAAUGACACGUGUCAUUAUGACCCAUGUGUAAUGGGGUCGAUUUGGGUCCUACAGUGUUGAAAACUUCGACAUCCACUUUUGGCCUUUUGCUUUCUCUACAGCCGCCUUGCUUUUUCCCUCUUUCCUUUUGUUUUCCUCCUGCCCCAUUCUAUCAACUAAACACAAUUAUGUAGUUGUUUAAUUCUUAAAUGAGAUAUUAUCCGUCAAUCGUAUUAUAUUUUAUCAAGAGAGAACGGAGUGCAAUGUGGCUGUAAUUUUAUCGUUUAGUUUUAUCUCUUGGACCACUGCAUUUUUGUUAAGAGGUGCAAUAAUACACGUCUUUAUCUGCCAUUCAAUAUUUACAGUAAAGAGAGGGCACAAAACUCUUCACUUCGCACCAUAAUUAUUUUGUUUUCUGGACACCCCGGGGCCCUUUGGUUGGUUUGGGGGUCAGAAAGUGAACAUCAUAGGGGGUUUUUCCCUUAUGUGCAUUUGUAUCUGAUGGCUUUAACUCGCCUUGUUACUACAAAGAAACUGUCACAGAUAGGAACUUAUUCCAGGCUGAGUAUCUCCUCAUAGACCCUAUAAAAGAAGACAAGUCAUAAUGAACAUCUAACCUUUGUUCAAUUUGAUUCAAUGCCCCCAUUGUGUCCAUCUCACAAAUCUGAAUUAUUAUAUCCAUUGAAUACAUAAAUUAAUGAAGAAAAUAUGAAACCCAAGAUACAUCUCUGCACAACCUCAACCCUGGUUGCUAUGUUUCCCUUCUAUUCACAUGAUUUGAUGCUAAUUGCCAAACUUGCAACAAGCCCUGAGUUUGACACCUAGUAUCGAUGGGCGAAUUUAAAGUCUCCUCCAAACAUAUAUUCCACAGCUUGAAGCUCACAGAAGAUGUUACAGGCAGGGAAAAACCUUCAGAGUUCGCUACCAAAGAUAAUUAUUAAGGAGAUAUCACAAAGAGAAUUCCAAGGGGUCUGAAUCAAAGACAAAUUGGUCGUUCGUGGGGGUUCUUACUUUCUUUUGGGUAUAACUCACUGAGGGCACUGUCUUUGUUAUUUGCAUUUCACAUUUAGAGUUCUGUUCUGGAAACAUAUAAAAGGAGCAUCAUUUUGUUCUUGGGUAACCCAUAGUCGUGAGUGGGUCCAUUUGCAUGCUACUUAGUUGAAAAGUUGGACCAUUUGCUCCGACGCCUACCUCCCGGAUUCCAUGCUCGGAUAAAACAAGAAUAAAAAAAAUAUUUAUAAUUUACAAAUGGGGGAAAGAAAAAAAUGUCAACAACAAACCAGGAAAAAAGAGUAGUAAAAUUCAUGUCACAUGCUAGUGAGAGAAGGGGUUGUUACACUCACUCGAAGUUCUUUCCAAAAUAUCGCAUGGUAUUUUAUUUUAUGUGUCAGCGCAGUUGUGAAUGGAACGUGCAAAAGUCCAAAUUGGCGUUUUUCCUUUUCCCGUGUAGGAUGGCGACCUUUAAUAAAUAUUUAAAACAAAAAACGAAAAAAAGGAGGGAAAAGGGAUCAGAAAAGAUAAAACAAUGUGUACAAGAGCUCAAUUAGUUUGCAAAUUACUGUUUGGAUUUUGAUAGUAUUUUAUUUGUCCAUCUAUAUUUGAUGGAAAAGAGAAUUUAAGAUAUUUCUGAAACAAAAGCAUUAGUGUAAAACUAAAUUAAGGUAUAAUUAAGUUAGUUCAAUGCAUUAAUUUAAGAAACUUGAUCUAUCCAAAGUACAAAAUUAGAUGAAAUCCAUUUCAAUGGUUAAAAUGAUCAAAAUCAAACUUUUUCUAAGUAUUUUUUAAAAGCAUCAAUAUUAAAAGACAAUUUUAUAUUUAGUCGGAGUUUGGACAAAACCAAAAAGCACACAAAAUCCAAGCGACCAUCUCUAGCUUGGAUAGUCACUUGAUCCCACCUAGAGAUGUGCAUGAGUAAAAGGAUUUGAAAAUGGAAAUUGACUAAAUAUUUAGUUGAUCAAUUAAAUUUGCAAUGUCAUAUGCAAUCCUAAUAGCUAGUCAUCUAAUCAAUUAGGUAGUCAAUCAAGUGUUUGUAAUGACUAUUUUGUACAAAAAACCACAUGUAUAGUUAAAUAUAAUGCAUUUCAUUUAUAAAUCUUCUAAUUCUUGAAUAACGAUCCUAUCAUCCUUUGAAAAUUUUUAUUACACCUUUUUUACUUUUGUUCUAAAACUUACAUAUCACCCUUAAUUGUACCAUGAGAACCUAGCUAUUUUUUUUUUUUUUGUAAUUCAUCAAAGUUAGCUUUUGUAUUCAUUGUUGUAUUAUUUUUAGUAUAACUUAGAAAGCUAGUGUUUUCAAGUGAGUAAAAUUAACUUGUAAAUAUUGUAAAGAUUCAUUGAUAUGUAUCUUAAACUAAGUGUACAAAUUAAAACAUUUGCUAGUAGAUUUUCUCAAAAUUUAGAAUAGAGCUUGAGGCUAUUGAAAUAGGUGGGGUUACACCAAACCACAUCACAUCGUUGUUUGCACCUUUUUUCACUCUCUUUUACUUAGUUUCUCUAUAUUUGUUGUCUAGUAAUAUCCUAUAGGCUUGAUGGGUUAGGGAGCAUCCCUUUGUGAAAAAAUUUCAUUCAAUUCUUAGUUGUAUUACGCAUAUAUAAAAUGCCUCAUUGUUUUAAUGGUAUUCAGUCGUGGCAUCACAGAUAUGGGCAUCUAAAUUUUAAAAGUUUGAAACUUUUGUAAAGCAUGUUGAUAAAAUCCAUGAGAGUUGUGUACUUGGGAAGCAACAUCGAGGUGACUUUAUUUUUUUUUCCUUUUAUAAUGCCACACCUAAGUCCGGUUUCUAAAUGCUAAAGUGAAAGGGUAGGUAUGGACCAUUGAAAUGUGAUCACAACUUUUGGCCUUUUCCUUUCUCUGCAGCCAUGUUGUCUCUUUUUUCUUUUGCAUGAUUUUCUUACCAAAACAGAAUCAUAGACUUGUUUAGUCUCUAAGCUACUAUAUUAUAUCUCGGUGGACUUUUAAGAGUGCAACCGACAUAGAGCACAUGCAAGUGGGCAUAUGGGACAUGAAAUUUCUUCUUACAAAGAUUGCAUGAUUUUUAUAUUAGAGUUGUUCACGUGCAAUGUAUUUAGCUUGUUUUGCAGUUAAAUUAAUUGGAUAAGUAAACAUUGGCAUUUCUAAAUCGACUGUGAAGUGCUUCAUGUACGUGUAAAGUAUUAGAAAUUUCUUUCUUGGCAACUUGUUUUUUCCUUGCCAUCUACUGGUAGGUUUGACUAAAAUUAUAUUCCCUGUCAUGCUAAUUAAUUUUCAUGUGCAUGCUCAAAAGAAGAGUAUGACCUUAGUGCACCAAAAUCACUUUGAUUAAUUUGUGAUAGGUUUUUUUGCAUCAUUUAGAUAAUGUUUAGUUCUAAGAAAAAUUUAUAUAAAAAUGGUUUAUUUAUCUUACAUAUAUAUAUAUAUAUAUAUAUUUUUUUUUUUUUCAUUUUUUUUUCUUCUAUUUUAUUUAUUUAUUUUAUUUUCCUUAUGUUUUCCUCACAUUUUCCGGAACUAAACAUAGUCUUACGAAAUCAACAAUUGCCUUCAACUGAGUAGAUUCUGUUGUUUUAGCAAUGUUAGGCUGCUAACUUGUGGUGGUACGAACCAAAUGACCCAUGUUAAUCUUGGCUUGGUUUGAUUUGGCUCUAUCUCAGAGAGCUAAAGGAUCACGUCAACUCUGGUUUCUACUAUUCAGGUCCAUUCCCAGAUGAACUGGUUCAAAUUUGAGAAAAUGGUAACAGACCUUUAGUGAUGUUGGUUUGGAGCCAGUUGCCAAACCCGCCCUGAGCUUUACCACUAAUGUCAAGGGAGAAAGCCAUUUGAACAAAAACAAUAGCUUCAAGAGACUGAAUCGUGGAUGAAAUCUGAUCCACAUUUCUUCUCAUUUUGGGAAAAAAUGAGAACUUAACUACAAAGAUUCUACUGCCUCAUUCAUAGUGCUUUUCCUGAUCCAAGGUUGGUUCGUUUCCCAAAUUGUGAGGUGCACGUGCCACUCUCACGCUCAGGAGUGUAUCCACGUGGUGGACAUCAGAUGGUGGCUUAAUAUCUGGUGUCGGUGGCUUUACUUUACUAGGAGAGUAGUGUGUCUUCAUCUCAUUCACUGCCGGAGGGUGGCGUAAGCAGUGACGCUAAGGUGGGGCACAGUCAAUAUCAUUUGCAUUUGACCAUUAUAGUUUUCUCCCGGCUUGAAAGUAACCUUAUCGUGAUAAAGGAUUACUAGCACUAGUUCAGAUGACCGUCAUGUUAAUUCGGACCAUGUUUGUGUCACAUUAUCAGCAACCAUGUGUUUAUGGUUCAUGCUAUCUGCAACUAAACUUGAUAUAUAACCAGGUGAACUUCAAUCAAAAUUCUGGAAGUACUCUUGUGAUAGAUGGUGCCUGUCUGCAGAGUCCAUCAAUUGAAAAAUGGAGUGAGUGUAUCUAUAAGAGGGAAGGCUUGGCAAAUGUUCAGUUUUCUGGGAAUUCAACAAGGAUCUAAAAUAGAUUGUUUUCUUUGCCGACUUCAAUGGUUGAAAUUUGAGAAGAUUGUGUCCACAUAUCACAACUAUUACUGGUCCUUCUGUUGCAAUUUAUCCUGUAAGGCUCUAACAUGUCUUCCAAUUCCCACUUCCCUGUUACUCCAGGAAAGCUAUUUCUGUCAUUGUGAAGAAGAAAAGAGAAUGUACAUAUCGAUGCUUUUAAGUGACUGGAGCAUUCAUAUCAGGUGGUCUGCAGCCAUAUAUGCCACUUUGUGAAGGUUGGAACAGUCAAUCACUAGGCUAUAUAUUGGUGUGGCCCAGCCACUUCAAUCAAGGACAAGUCUUCAUACUUAAAGUCAAAUUCUGCCUUUAGUCUCAUUAUAAAUUGCUGUUUAAAUAUUAAGCAAACUUUUGUUUAAUGCGAUUAAGACAGUACUAACUCAAUACUUGUUCUAUUUUUGGAUGCAAAUGCUUGAUGGUUUCAUCAUUGGAUGGGAUAAAGGUGCAUUCAUGAUUAUGAAUACUUGUAGUUAUAUUUUCAUUCUCUUUUUUCUCAAUGAGACUUGUUGGCACAAUGUUGCUGUUCAGAAACCUACCUCUCCAUGGAAAAUAAGUUGCGAUUGAUAGUACUGGAUAUGUUCAAGAAAGCUAAAUAUAGAUAGCACAAAAUAUUAUCGAUAUAAAUAGCAUUAACAGCGUACGUAUGUCUCAAUGCUCAUCAGCUAUAAGCAUGGGACAAACACUUACUAUGAGCAACUUACGUCAAAAUUCCAGAAUAGGACAUAGAAGUGACAGAUCUAUAUAUAUAGAACACUGCAUAUGAGUCACAAGAAAGGAAAUUACGGGUGCAUAGCAGCUCUUAUUUUACAUACUACUACUCAUACUGAUCAAAGUCACUCAGUUGGGAUGGGUGGGAGUAGGAGGUUUGUGGGGUGGCUUGUGCGGAGGAGUUGGCAGCUUCUUUCCAGGACCUGGUUGCUUCUCUGCUGGAGUUGAAGGAGGCUUAAUCUUCCGAGGUGGCUUGUAUGAGUCUUCAGCAUUCUCAGCUGGAGGGUGACCAGGGUUGUGACCAUAAUGUGGUGGCUUCUCUCCCUUAGGUGGUUUGCCAACUGGGGUUGGUGGCUUGUAUGAGUCUUCAGCAUUCUCAGCAGGAGGGUGACCAGGGUUGUGACCAUAAUGUGGUGGCUUCUCUCCCUUAGGUGGUUUGCCAACUGGGGUUGGUGGCUUGUGUUCUGGGAGUGGCUUCUCCCCCUUGGGAGGUUUUUCCAAUGGGGUUGGUUUGUGUUCAGGAGGUGGCUUCUCCACUGGAGGCUUGUGUUCAGGAGGUGGCUUCUCCACCGGUGGCUUGUGUUCAGGAGGUGGCUUCUCCACCGGAGGCUUAUGCUCUGGUGGUGGCUUCUCCACCGGAGGCUUAUGCUCUGGUGGUGGCUUCUUGAAUGGGGGAUGCUGAGGGUAAUCAGCAAGUGAGGGGGCGGUGAGAACCACCAGGCCAAGCAACACCACUAGCAAAUAUGUAGGAGACAUCUUUGGGUUUGGGCUCAGAUGGUGCAAAACUAGGAGAAUUGGCUAGCCUUUUAUAGCGGAUCGUACUCAAUAAUGAAAUGACACGUGUCAUUAUGACCCAUGUGUAAUGGGGUCGAUUUGGGUCCUACAGUGUUGAAAACUUCGACAUCCAGUUUUGGCCUUUUGCUUUCUCUACAGCCGCCUUGCUUUUUCCCUCUUUCCUUUUGUUUUCCUCCUGCCCCAUUCUAUCAACUAAACACAAUUAUGUAGUUGUUUAAUUCUUAAAUGAGAUAUUAUCGGUCAAUCGUAUUAUAUUUUAUCAAGAGAGAACGGAGUGCAAUGCAGCUGUAAUUUUAUCGUUUACUUUUAUCUCUUGGACCACUGCAUUUUUGUUAAGAGGUGCAAUAAUACACGUCUUUAUCUGCCAUUCAAUGUUUACAGUAAAGAGAGGGCACAAAACUCUUCACUGCUCUGCAUGUGUCCCAAAAAUGCGAUUGGACAAAUUAUGAUUUGCAUGCUAAAAAGAGGCAAAUGAGGUUAAUUCGCACCAUAAUUAUUUGGUUUUCUGGACACCAUAAAAAGAUGUUAUACAGGCAGGGAAAAACCUUCAGAGUUAGCUACCAAAGAUAAUUAUCAAGCAGAUAUCACCAAGAGAAUUCCAUAGAGUCUGAAUCAAAGACAGAUUGCUCGCUCGUGGGGGUUCUUACUUUCUUUUGGGUAUAACUCACUGAGGUCACUGUCUUUUUUAUUUGCAUUUCACAGUUAGAGUUCUGCUCUGGAAGGUUUGUUCUGGAAACAUAUAAAAGGAGCAUCAUUUUGUUCUUGGGUAACCCAUAGUCGUGAGUGGGUCCAUUUGCAUGCUACUUAGUUGAAAAGUUGGACAAUUUGCUCCGACGCCUACCUCCUGGAUUCCAUGCUCGGUAAAACAAGAAUAAAAAAAAAUAUAUAAUUUACAAAUGGGGGAAAGAAAAAAUGUCGGAAAAAAUAGUAAAAUUCAUGUCACAUGCUAGUGAGAGAAGGGGUUGUUACACUCACUCGAAGUUCUUUUCAAAAUAUCGAAUGGUAUUUUACUUUAUGUGUCAGCGCAGUUGUGAAUGGAACGUGCAAAAGUCCAAAUUGGCGUUUUUAUUUUUCCCAUGUAGGAUGGUGACCUUUAAUAAAUAUUUAAAACAAAAGACGAAAAAAAAAAGGAGGGAAAAGGGAUCACAAAAGAUAAAAUAAUGUUUACAAAAGCUCAAUUAGUUUGCAAAUUACUGUUUGGAUUUUGAUAGUAUUUUAUUUGUCGUUCUAUAUUUGAUGUAAAAGAGAAUUUAAGAUAUUUCCGAAGCAAAAGCAUUAGUUUGCUCUGUGAUGUCCCACAUCGAAUAGGGGAGAAAGUUUCUGGCGCUAUAUAUGUAGAGGCUCCUCUUAACCAAGUAGAUGCGUUUUAAAACCAUGAGGGCCCCCUUAGGUCCAAAGCGGACAAUAUCUACAUGAUUGGGUGUAAGUCAUUACAAAUGGUAUCAGAGCCGAUCCCCGACCCCGGUGUGGGGGUUUGUUUGGCCCUGUAAGGGGUGUUUGUCUGUUUGACCCCACAAUCCCAUGGGACACAACGAGGACGUUGUGUCUGCAUGGGGGGGCGUUUGUGAUGUCCCACAUCGGAUAGGGGAGAAAGUUCCUAGUGCUAUAUAUGUAGAUGUUUCUCUUAACCAAGUAGAUGCAUUUUAAAAUUGUGAGGGCCUCUUUGGGCCCAAAGCGGACAAUAUCUACAUGGUUGAGUGUAAGUCAUUACAUGCUCCAUGUCAAUUUCAGCAUUUCUCAUAUGUUUCACACAUACACAGAAGAGCAUCGUUUUUUAAAGCAUGCAUUUAUGUUGGAUUAAUUUGGAUUUUGUGGGAACUGGGGCAAGGAUCACAUGGAAGAGAGGUUGACUUUUUUCAGUACUUCAAUGGUUGAAAUAUGUGAAGGCUUGAUUGAUACUAAAGCUUGAAAUUGCGACUCUGUCAUUUGUAAAAAAAUAUGACAGCUUCCAUGCUCUCGUUUGGUUGCAUUGUCCGGUCGAGAGGUGCAAAAAGCAUUCUCUCUCUUCUAAUAGUCUUUUCGUUUAAAUCAAGGGAUUUGCCUUCCCGGUCGAGGUCCAAUAGAGGGUAACGGUCACCUACUAAACAUUAAAUGCUCCAACAACUAGUGAACUGAUCGACCCCAGCUCGACUAGUUGAGGUUACUUUUUGGUUUUCUUGUCUCCCGAGGUUAGAAACCUAUAAAUAGAGAGCUUCACUUCAUUUAUGAGUAAGAGAACACCUAAAUUUAUUUGUUUACCUACUUGUUUUUGCCAUAAAAGCUCUCAUUUCUUUUCUUGGUGUAUUAAAUCUCCAUUUGCAUAUCCUUUAGUGCACCUUUGUGAUUCAUUCUAGCCUUGAGUUGUAUUUAAGCCUUUGUUGAGCUAGGUUGAGAGUUUCAUACUUGUUUAUUGAGUGUUAAAGCCUUCAAGUGAGUUAAAACUUGAAGAGAUUGUGUAAGAGCCCAUUGGAGUCGGAAUCCAAGUGUAAAGGUGAUUAAAAGCUUGGUUGAAGCUUCAAGUUAGUGGAACUCUCACUCGGUUAUGAGCUUGAGAAGAGUGGACAUAGACAAGGCAGUGUCGAACCACUAUAAAAUCUGAGUUUGAUUUCUCUAACCUUAUCUCUUUAUAUUUGCUUCUCUUGUGCUUAAAUUUUUUGUGUUUAAAAAGAAUUUUUAAAAACUCAAUUCACCCCCUUCUUGGGAGUUUUUCUCUUUUAAGAUCAGCUUUUAUUUUCUCAAUUGGUAUCAGAACUAUGCCUCUUGUUUAAGACUUAAUCGUCUAAGAGGAAAUGGCUAAUCCAUCAAGUUCAUCUCACAUUGAAAGUUUUGCAACCAAUAGACUUCUUUUUUUUUUUUUGCGGGAACUGAUUAUCCCUAUUGGAAAACUAAAAUGACUUGGUUUUUACAAUCAAUUGAUUUAGAUGUAUGAGAUGCCAUUGAAGAUGACCUAACUUUUCCUUCAAAACUAGUUGAUGGAGUCAUGGUUCCAAAACCUAAGCAAGAAUGGGAUGAGCGUGAUUGAAGAAAUUUUCAAUUAAAUGCUAAAGUCGUUUAUACUUUGCAAUGCUCUAUGGACAGAAAUGAAUAUAAUAGAAUAUGUCAAUGCAAAUCGGUUAAAGAAAUUUGGAGAUUGCUUGAAAUAACUCAUAAAGGAACAAAUCAAGUUAAAGAGUCAAAAAUCAAUUUACUUGUUCAUAGAUAUGAAUUGUUUUUUAUGAAAGAUAAUGAAACUAUUGUUAAGAUGAUCACUAGGUUCACCAACAUUGUUAAUGGUCUUAAAGCCUUGGGAAAGACCUACAAGGAAUCCGAAAACGUGAUGAAGAUCUUGAGGUCACUUCCAUCAAAGUGGCAUACCAAGGUCACCGCAAUUUAAGAAGCAAAAGACUUGAUCAAGCUACCUUUGGAGGAGUUCAUAGGGUCAUUGAUGACAUAUGAAAUCAAUUUGGCAAAGAAGUAACAAAAAGGUGAAGACAAAAAGAAGAAGAACAUAACUCUCAAAGCUACAACUAAGGAAGAAGAAGUUGAAGAAGAAAAACAAAUUGAAGAAGAUGAAGAUUUAGCCCUCAUCACAAGAAAGUUCAACAAAUUCAUGAGGGGUGAAAGGUUUAGAAGAAGAAGGUUCACUUCUAGAAGAGACUUUUCUAAAAAGGAAUCUUCAUCUAAUGGUGACAAAAAGAGAUGGGAAGAGAAAAGAGACUUGGUGUGUUUCAAGUGCAAGAAACCGGGACACAUUAAAUAUGAUUGUCCUCUCUACAAAAGUGAAGUCAAGAGGAAAAAGAAUAAGGCAAUGAUGGCCACUUAGAGUGAAAGUGAAGAUGAAUCAUCCGAAGAAGAAAAUGAGAAAGAAGUGGCAAACAUGUGUUUCAUGGCAAUAGAUGAACUUGAUGAGGUAAAAUCUAACCUUAGUGAUUAAGAUAUACAUGAUGCAUUUGAAGAAUUGUAUGAGGAUUUUUAAAAACUUAGUUUGAAAAAUAUUUCUCUUAAAAAGAAAGUUCAACAACUUGACAAAGAACUUAGAGAAGUAAAAGAAAAAUUUUCAAAUGUUAAAGUUUCUAAAACUCAUCUUGAAAAAGAAAAUGAGAUUCUAAGAAAGAAAAAUGAAUAGUUGAACUCCUCUCUUUCAAUCUUUUCUUCUAGACAAAAAUCUUUUGAAAUGAUUCUAACUAGCUAAAAAUGUGUUUUUGACAAACAAGGGUUAAGAUUUAAAUCUUCAAAAAAUCAAAAGUAUUUUAAAAACUAUUUUGUAAAGGAAUCCACAAGUGCAAGUCCUUCCACUACUUGCAACUUUUGUGGAAGAGAAUGGCACAUUAGUAGUACGCCCUUUAAGAAAUGGUUCUCAAAAGAAUUUAAAUGCAAAAACUAAAAAAGAUUUGGAUUGAGAAAUCCAAGGUCACUAACCCUCAAGGACCCAAAAAGAUAUAGGUACCUAAAUCAACUUGAGUUUUAUGUUGUAAGGUUCAAAGAAUGAUAAGUGGUUCUUAGAUAAUGGUUGCUCAAGACACAUGACCGGAGAUGAAUCCAAGUUUGCUUUUCUUAAAAAGAAAAAUGGAGGAUAUGUUACCUUUGGAGACAAUGCAAAAGAAAGGAUGAUUGGUCAAGGCAACAUUGGUAAUGGCACAUCCUCUCUCAUUGAAAGUGUUUUAUUAGUAGAUGGUUUCAAACAUAACCUUUUAAGCAUUAGUCAAUUUUGCGACAAAGGUUUUUAAGUGAUUUUUUAAGCAUCUCAUUGCAUCAUCAAGGAUAUUCAAAAUGAUAAAACCAUUUUCAUGGGCCAUAGAUGUGAUAAUGUUUAUGCUAUAAAUAUUUCAAAAUAUGAUGGCCAUGAUAGAUGUUUUUCAAGCAUGCAUGAUCAAAGUUGGUUGUGCCAUAGGAGAUUGAGACAUGCUAACAUAGACCUCAUUUCCCAACUCAACAAAGAUGAACUUGUUAGAGGCCUUCCCAAAAUAAUUUUUUAAAAAGAUAAAGUUUGUGAAGCUUGUCAAGUGGGAAAGUAAAUCAAAAACUCUUUUAAAAACAAAAACUUCAUUUCCACAUCUAGGCCACUUGAGUUGUUGCAUAUGGAUUUAUUUGGUCCCUCUAGGACACCAAGUCUUAGAGGAAAUUCUUAUGCAUAUGCUAUUGUGGACGACUUCUCUAGAUACACAUGAGUCUUGUUUUUUAGUCAAAAGAAUAAAGUUUUUUAUGAGUUUUCAAAGUUUUGCAAUAAGAUUCAAAAUGAAAAAGGUUUUUCAAUUACUUAUAUAAGAAGUGAUCAUGGGAGAGAAUUCGAAAAUAUUGAUUUUGAAGAGUAUUGCAAUGAGCAUGGAAUUGACCACAAUUUUUUGGCUCUUAGAACUCCUCAACAAAAUGGGGUAGUUGAAAGGAAAAAUAGAACUCUUCAAAAAAUGACAAGAACCAUACUAAAUGAAAACAACUUACCAAAAUAUUUUUAGGCCAAAACGGUUAACACUUCUUGUUAUGUUUUAAAUAGAGUAUUAUUGAGGCUCAUACUUAAGAAAACUCCCUAUGAGCUUUGGAAAAACAAAAAACCCAACAUUAGUUAUUCCAAAGUCUUUGGAUGCAAUAUUUUAUAAUAAACACCAAAGACAAUCUUGGAAAAUUUGAUGCAAAAUUGGAUGUUGGAAUUUUCCUUGGUUACUCAACUUCAAGUAAAGCUUUUCGAGUUUUAACAAAAGAACCAUGGUUGUAGAGGAGUCCAUCCAUGUUAUUUUUUAUGAAUCUCCAAGAAAGAGAGAGGAUUGAUGAUGAUUUAGGUUUGAAGACCUCUAUAGGAAGAUUGCAAAUCGAAGAUAGAAGACAACAAGAAGAAAAUGGAGAGAAUCCAAAGAAAGAAGGAUCACCAUUGGCACUACCCCCUCAUCAACAAGCGCAAGGUGAAUCAAGUCAAGAGCUUCCUAAAGAAUGGAAGUUUGUCAUCAAUCACCCACAAGAUCAAAUUAUAGGCAAUCCAUCUAGUGGGGUAAGAACUAGAUCCUCUCUUAGAAAUAUUUGCAAUAAUCUAGCUUUUAUCUCUCAAAUUGAGCCUAAAAAUAUAAAUGAUGUUUUAGAUGAUGAAAAUUGGAUAAUUGCAAUGCAAGAAGAGUUAAAUCCAUUUGAAAGAAGUGGAGUAUGGGAAUUAGUACCAAGACCUUCAAAUCAAAGUGUUAUUGGAACUAGAUGGAUCUUUAGAAAUAAAAUGGAUGAAAAUAGCAUAAUUGUUAGAAAUAAAGCAAGAUUGGUAGCCCAAGGUUUUAAUCAAGAAGAAAUGAUAGAUUAUGAAGAAACCUUUGCCCCCGUAGCUAGGUUGGAAGCCAUUAGGAUGCUACUUGCCUUUGCAUGUUUUAAAGACUUUGUUUUAUAUCAAAUGGAUGUGAAAAGUGCUUUUUUAAAUGGUUUUAUAAAUGAAGAAGUAUAUGUUGAACAACCACCCGGUUUUCAAAGUUUCAACUUUCCUAACCAUGUUUUUAAACUUAAAAAGACACUUUAUGGUUUGAAACAAGCACCUAGAUCAUGGUAUGAAAAAUUGAGUAAAUUUCUUUUGAAAAAAAUGUUUUAAAAUGGGAAAAAUUGACACAACUCUUUUUAUAAAAACCAAAGAAAAUGAUAUGCUCUUAGUUCAAAUAUAUAUUGAUGAUAUCAUUUUUGGUGCUACUAAUGUCUCUCUUUAUGAAGAAUUUUCUAAGUGCAUGCAUAGUGAGUUUGAAAUGAGCAUGAUAGGAGAACUCAACUUCUUCCUUGGACUUCAAAUCAAGCAACUAAAGGAAUGAACCUUCAUCAAUCAAGCAAAGUAUAUAAGAGAUCUUCUCAAAAGGUUCAACAUGGAAGAAGCCAAAACAAUGAAGACUCUAAUGAGCUCAUCCAUUAAGCUUGAUAAGGAUGAGAAAGGUAAAUCCAUUGACUCUAUUAUGUAUAGAGGCAUGAUAGGUUCUUUGCUCUAUUUGACCACUAGUAGACCUUACAUUAUGUAUAGUGUGUGUUUGUGUACUAGAUUUCAAUCUUGUCUUAAAAAAUCUCACUUAAGUGUCGUGAAAAGAAUCCUCAAAUAUUUGAAAGGGACAAUGGACAUAGGCUUAUGGUAUCCUAAGAGUGAUAACUUUGAAUUAAUUGGUUUUUUGGAUGCUGAUUUUGUCAGUUGUAGGGUUGAAAAAUAAAACACUAGUGGCACUUUUCAUUUCUUAAGACACUUACUUGUCUCAUGGCAUAAUAAGAAGCAAAAUUUGGUAGCUUUGUCAACAGCAGAAGCUAAAUACAUAGCAACUGGUUUAUGUUGUGCACAAAUCCUUUGGAUGAAAUAAACACUUAGUGAUUUUGAUUUAUCUUUUGAGCAUAUUCCUAUUAAAUGUGAUAAUAGUAGUGCCAUAAGUAUAUCAAAAAAUCUCGUGCAACACUCUAGGACUAAGCAUAUAGAGAUUAGACAUAAUUUUCUUAGAUAUCAUACACAAAAGGAUGAUAUAACACUUGAAUUUGUAAGCAUAAAAGACCAACUUGCCGAUAUCUUUACAAAACCUCUAAGAACAUUUUGUUGAUAUUAGAGGACAAUUAGGAGUGAUUUCUUUAUGAUCUAAUGUGAUGAAUUCUUGAUGAAUAUACUUUUUGAUUGCAUGAAUUUCAUGUCAUAUAUGCAUCAUAUAGAAAUAUACUUAGAUAAUGGUCAAAUUUCGACCAAAAAUCAAAAUUCCCAUGGCAUUAGGCAUAAAAAUUUUGGAAUUUCAACUGAAAAUGGUAGGAGGAGGAUCACAAAAUGAGAAAGUAUGCAAAAAUUGAAAAAUCAAAACGUUGACCAAGCGGUCAAUCGGACUAGACCGAUCGACUAGUUUGUCGAGAUUUAGGAUUUUUAAGAGACUCCAACGCUUCAAUUUUUGCACCGUUCUCCUCUAUUUCUUCACGGUUUCUCUGAUUUUGUCUUUUAGAGACUAAUUUGAGUGCGUUUUGGAUCAAUUGAAGCAUUUUGGAUUGGAUUUUAGGAAGAUUGAAAGUUAAGGUUUCGGAUUUGGGUCGCCUUCUCUUCCUCUCGCGUGUCACAAUCAGCUUUAGCAUUGUUCUCUUUCCAUUUUCACACACCUAGGGUUUCAGUUGUGAGCAUCUCUCUCUCUUUACCAACCACUACUCCCUUGCUUCUUCCAUAUGGCUCCUAGGCGAGAGUCCGCUACUUCUAGGGCACAAGGCAAGCACCCAACUGAGUCGUCUCAGUCAAAGGCACGUCGAAAAGUGAGAUUUGACAUUGCCUUGUUCAGUUCCAUGGAGGACUACCAACUAUACAAGCAACACUUUGCUUAGAGACGAGUAGUUCCCAAGAGAAAUAUUAAUUUUCCUCAACUUCAGCAUUUCGAAUUUAAGGGUCUAUUUACUAGGAUGGUUGGUUGUCUAUUGUCACAAUUUCGGAGCCGGUUUUCCUGACCUUAGUGCGAGUUUUUUACUCGAGGGCGACUUAUGGCAUGGGUGGCAUGAUCAUUUCUACUGUUGGAGGAGUUGAGAUCUGUCUGGACCCAGAGAGCAUCUGCCAUAUUUUCGAUAUUGCUCUGGUUGGACUCAAAGUAUACAAGUCCAAAAUGUGGCCCAUUGUGCCAGGAUUUGAGCUUAGAGAGGUCAUUCAGAGGAUUUGUGAACUUCCAGACGCCCAGGAGAUGGGCAAACCAUUGCCACACAGUUUGACGGUCAUCAACAGGGUGCUACACCAUAUAUUGUGCUCUAUCUUUCUACCACGAAGUGGACAUUGAGAUGAGGUCUCUUAUUAUGAGGCAUUCCUUAUUGACUCCAUUCUAACGGAGAGACGAAUUCAUCUACUAUGUCAUCAUUCACUAAGCCUCCUCACAGUGACAUACCACCUCAUCAGGCACCUCUUGCUCCUGACCAUGCUCCAUUGAUGGAUUUAUUUACUCAUAUUAGCUCUCUAGGCACUCGCAUGAAGGAGUUUGUUGUAGUUAGUGAUACAUGGUUCUACUCCAUAGAGGAUCGCAUGGAUCAGUAUCAGACUGGCUUCACGUCACAGUUUGAGUAUCUCCAAUAGAGGAUUGAGCAUAUUGAGGAUCACUUGAGCAUGAGAAGAUGAUGGCUUUUCUAUGCUCUGUGUUUCCACCUCCACCUCGUCAACCUUGAUUUCUUAGAGACCCAUUGUUUUCAUUUUGUAAUGUUGCCAAAAGGGGGAGAUAUUUAGGAUCUAGGACUCUAUAGGAGACUUACAUGCAUAUCAUUUUCAUAUCAUUGUUUGGAUCGUACAUAUUGGAUAGUGAUACUUUUUACUUAUAUAUGAUAUGCCUAUAUGUUUCAUGUCUUACAUUGUUUCUUAUUGCAAAUUAUCUCUAACAUGUCUUGAUUAUCUUUUUUUUAACUUCAUAAAUUUUGAUUGUUAACCCAUGAUUGGUUUGAGGGGAAGAUUCUUCUUCUCCUAGAUAACCAAGGUUUGUCAUCAUAAAAAAAUUGGAGAUUGUUAGCCCAAGGGUUCUCCUAAUCAUGUUUUGAUGAUAACAAACCAUGCUUAAGUUACUAAUUGGUUUGAAUUAUAAAGAAUUUCAAGUGUUAAUUUGAAAAUUCAUCAAAGAACCUAAUGGAUGCAAGAUCAAGAUUUUUGGAAGACCUUUAAUCAUAAGAAACAUAUGUAAGAUGAAUGCAUGGGUGCACUUAAGAUUUGCAUAUCAUUUCAUGCAUAUUUGGAAAACACGGUUUAUGCUUUAAAGUUACAUUUCCAUCAAAAUUUGAGAUCCAUCAAAUGAACCUUAGGAAAAAUGUUUUAAAAUUGGCAUAUAAUUUUACCUAAAGACCUUGCCUAAGUGUUAGAAGCAAAAGGACAAAAAAAAUAUAGGUUUUCUGGUCAAAAAUGGUGAACCAGUCAAGGCAUUGUCUAAAUCAGCUCAAUCGGCCAAGGUACCGGUCGAUCGGUUUCCCUUUCCCUGUCGAGAUCUAGUCAAGAGGUACAAAAAUCACAAUCUCUGUCUCUUUCUCUCUUUGUCUAUCUUCCAGUAGUCUUUCCUUCCCGGUCGAGGGAUUUGCCUUCCCGAUUGAGGUCCGAUUGAGAGUAAUAGUCACUUGCCAAAUAUUAAAUGCUCCAACAGUUAGUGAACUGGUCGACCCCCACCUUGCCCAGUUGAGGUUACUUUUUGGUUUUCUUGGCUCCCGAUGUUAGAAACCUAUAAAUAGAGAGUUCCACUUCAUUUAUGAGCAAGAGAACACUUGCAUUUAUUUGUUUACCUACUUGUUCUUGCCUUAAAAGCUCUCAUUUCUUUUCUUGGUGCAUUAAAUCUCCAUUUUGAUAUCCUUUAGUGCACCUUUGUGAUUCAUCUUAGCCUUGAGUUGUAUUUGAGCCCUUUUUUUAGCUAGGUUGAGAGUUUCAUACUUGUUAAUUGAGUGUUAAAGCCUUCAAGUGAGUUGAAACUUGUAGAGAUUAUGUGAGAGUCGAUUGGAGCCGAAAUCCAAGUGUAAAGGUGAUUAGAAGCUUGGUUGAAGCUUCAAGUUAGUGGAAUCCUCACUCAAUUAGGAGCUUGAGGAGAGUGGACGUAGCCAAGGAAGUGUCGAACCACUAUAAAAUUUGAGUUUGAUUUCUCUAACAUUGUCUCUUUAUAUUUGUUUAUCUUGUGCUUAAAUUUAUUGUGUUUAAAAAGAAUUUUUAAAUACCCAAUUCACCCCCCUCUUGGGUGUUUUUCUCUUUUAAAAUUAGCCUUUAUUUUCUCACAAACUAUUGUAGUAUAGUGGUUUUUAGGUGUCAUCCAUUAGGAUGAAUUGUUCUCGGUAAUUAAGGCGUGAAUGAGAGGAGAAUUAAUGAUUGUGAUUAAGUAAAAUUGAUUUGAAAAUUCAUGGUGAAAAAUCAAUUUAACAAUGGUUUCUAAUUGAGAAAAACAAUGAAAUGUGAAAUAAAAUAAAAUUAAUAGGAAAUGAAAUUCUCGAAGUUAGAAUUUUCUAAAAAACAAAUUCCAUGGUGAAUGGAUGUUGAGAUCUAAUUUUCAUCAAGUUAGAUUGAAAACCGAAAUUUUCAUAUAAACUGAUUUUUUAUUUAGUUUUAGGUCUAGAUUUAAUUUCCCUUAAAAUUAGGUUAUUUAAUCCAAGAAAUCAAUUCAAAUCAUAUAUUCAAUUCAUCUUAAAUUAUCUUCCAAUUAUUCACACAAUGCAACUAUUCAAUCUCAUCAAAUCUAGCUUUUAAGAAUUUAAUGAAUCUACCUAGUUUGCAUUGUAAUAGUCAUCCAUGACAAUUUGAAGAGAAAAAUAAUUCAAUUAAUCAAUCACUUGGAUCAAAUUACCUUUGCAAUUAAAGUUCAUUUCUCUAAUUCACCACAGAUUUUGUCUCUAGAUCCUCCUUUCUCAAAGAAAAAUGAGAUUUAGCCACACAUGAUUGGAGAUUUGGUCUCAUAAGGCAUGUUUAGCUAGUGAUAAAAUGAGAGAAAAUAAAGAAAAAUAGAGAAUUCGAUUAAGAAAGAAAAUCUAAAAAAUUCUACAAUUAGAAAUGUCCAAAAAGCUUUUUCAUGAGAAAAUCAAGUUUCUAUUUAUAGGCCAAGGUCAAGUGGACACUUGACAUCAUCUAAGAGGUCUUCCGGAAGCUUCUUCAUCAAGAAAUCUGGAGUUUAAUAAUAAAAUGGUCAUUUCACAAGAGCUCAAACAAUUUCGCAUGAUUAUGUGAAAUAAAAAAUGCAACAACAGCAAUUUACAUCUUCUUGGAGCAUUUCGCAUGACUGUGUGAAAUUUUCACAUGAUCAUGUGGAAUCGACUUGACAACUCUCAUUUAGCCUACAACAUAAUUCCACCUUUUGGUCCAUUUUUCAUAGUCAUGCGAAAUGGAAAUAUUUGAUUUUUAAGUUUUCUUUUGUCAUUUCUUUCAUUUCCUUCUCUUGAUUCCACUUCAACUACCUCCGAAUCCUGGUCCAAACCAAUUGCAUUACUUCUUUCAUUAUGCAUUUGGAUCAUCAUCAACAUUAUUUGUUCUCUUCAAUUUGAUUCAUCUCUUUUGUCACCAAUUUAUCAAAAUCAUACCUUGAAAUGACUCCAAAACUUCAUAAAACUUGUUAGUAACUCUUGCAAGGGCAACAACAUAUUAAUUAAGUGUUUUAGGCAUAGUUACUACUCAAAAGAUGCGAAACUCAUGAUAAUUAUUAUAUAAAAUAUGCUCUUUUUGAGUAGUAAUCAACUUUCUUGCAUAAGCAGACCUUUUAGGGUGGAGUACUAAAGACCAAUAUGCUUGUCCUUGUUGUAAUAAAGAAACUUGCUCUUAUUGAUUGCACCAUGGGAGAAAAUUUUGCUACAUGAGUUAUCAUCAAUUUCUUCCCACCAAUCAUAGAUUUAGACGUGACAAGAGGCCUCUUAAUGGCAAGGAGGAACUGACACUCACACUUAUACAAUUAUCGGGCAUUGAUGUGUUGCAACAAUUAGAAUAACUUACACCAAUUAUGUUGGGGAAGUCACAAAAGGCAAACAUGAAAACUAAAAGGAAAAAAGAAAAAUGUUACAUAUCACCACAACUGGAAAGAAAAAAGUAUUUACUUUCAUUUGCCAUAUUGGAAAGCACUUAUUUUACAUCAUAAUAAUUUAGACAUAAUGCAUAUUGAGAAAAAUGUGUGACAAUAUAAUUGAGACAUUGUUCAGUAUUGACGAAGAAACAAGGACAACCUAAAUAGUCAUCUCGAUUUACAAGCUCUAACUAUUAGAAAUGAGAUUCACCCAAUAGAAAGCAGGACCAAAUUUAUUUUGCUUGCAACAUGCUACUCACUCACCCCAAAUGAGAUUAAGGAAUUUUGCAAGUUUUUGAAAUCAAUAAAGGUCCCCAAUGGCUAUUCUUUCAAUAUCUCUCGUUAUGUGCAACUCAAUGAAAGGAAGAUAUAUGAGCUCAAAUUGUAUGAUUGUCAUGUCCUAAUGCAACAACUUCUCUCACUUGUAGUUCGUGGAGUUCUACAUAAGAAUGUUUGUGGAGUUAUCAUAGAAUUGCGUAAUUUUUUCAAGCAAUUGUGCUCAAAGGUGUUAGAAACAAAUCACUUACACCAACUUGAGAACAAUAUUAUUGUCAUACUAUGUAAAAUGGAGCAAAUAUUUCUUCCAUCAUUCUUUGAUAUUAUGGUGCAUUUACUUGUGCAUCUAGUAAGGCAAAGGUUGCAAGACUUGUGCAAUAUUGUUGGAUGUACCUAAUUGAACGAUAUUGUUAUAAUUUCAUAUGAAUCAUUUAAUUUUAUUUUAUAUUAUGUUCAGUUCAUUAACAUGUACAUUGGUCUACAUAUGGAUGAUGAUAGGUACCUAAGCACUUUAAAGUCAUAUGUGCGUAAUAGAACUUUUCUAGAAGGUUCUAUUGUAGAAAGGUACCUUGCAAAAGAAUGUACAACAUUUUAUUCUAGGUACUUGAAUGAUGUGGAAAUAAAGUAUAAUCACAAUGAUAGAAACUUUGUUGGUUUCAACACUAGAGGAGAUGAAAGGGGUUAUCUUUAAACAUAUUGGACAUGCAUUGGGAAAGCCCAUAUUUCAUUAACUUAGUUCAAAAGAGUGGUCACAAGCACAUUUAUAUGUGUUGACAAAUUGCGAAGAUGUCAUACCAUUCAUUGAGUAAAAAAUUUAUUUGAAUUUUAAUUAAAGCUCUAGUUUAUAUCCUUAAUCAAUGUUUUUUAAAUUCACAAGGAGCACAAGCAAACCAUCAAGGCUAGACCACAUAUACGUGUUUGAGACGUAGAUUUAAUUCAUAACAAGGAAUUUAUCAAGUGGUUUGAAAGACAUGUAAGUAUAUUCCUUAUUAUAAGGGAUUUAUUUCACAUUAUGUUUAUAUUGAAUCCAAACCUAUUAUUGAAUUGUAGGUUGAACAAUUACAUAAUGAAGGUCAUAUAUCUGAACACCUUCUCACAUUAUCAUGUGUUCCAAAUUCAUUAGUUACAUGCUUCAAAUGAUAUAUUGUCAAUGGAUUUAGAUCCCACAUUAAAGAACGUGAUAAAAAAGUUUUUAAAAAAAGACUCAGAAUAAUGGAAUUGUUGUAGUUGCAAAAACGUCAAGCUUUACAAGUGCAUGUGAUAUGAGUCCAAUUAUUAGUGAUGCUCUCUACUAUGGUGUUCUAACUAAAGUUGUUGAGUUACAUUAUCUUGGUGAAAAUAAGGUUGUUUUAUUCGAGUUUGAUUGGUGGGAUGUUACAAAUAUUGGAAAAUUGAUAAAAGAUGAUGAGUACAAUUACACAUUUGUUAACUUUGCAUGAAUUCUAACCACGAACGAACGAUUUGUACUUGCAUCUCCAGCAAAGUAAGUGUUCUAUGUGAAGAAUGCGAAUGAAUCAGAUUGGCAUACUAUCAUGGAGAUGCAACCUCAAGACCUCUAUAAGAUGAACGGGAUAGGAUCCAAUGGUGAUUUUGAACCAUUUCAACAAAGUGAACUACAUGAUCACUAAUAUAUCUCAGAUUUAGUUGAUGAAGAUAUAAUCAAGUGGAACAAAAGUGAUGUUUUAGGACUAAUCAUCCUAAAAAAUAUUGUAGUUUCUUAAAAAAAAAAUGAAAAUGAAGAAGAUAAUUGAACCUUUGUCAUACUUUAAAAAGCAACUAUGCAUUGUUCAUUUUGUAUGUUUUGGUUUUCUUCAUUUAAUUUCCUGAUUUUUGUGAUUCAAUGUCAUAUUAUUGAUCUUGAAAUAUUUUUCUAAUUUUUCAUUCUACGAUGGUUUCAACAAGGAUGACAUCAAGUCAAAAAAGGAAAUGUGGUCCCACACACAAUAUUGCAUUACAGGGAUUAAGGUCAGGGAAGAAGGUAAAAGUUGCAUUUAAUGAGUACAAUCAAUUGGUUAAACAGAAAAAUGGAAAACACUUAUCGAGCUACAUAGGGACACUUGUAUCUAACCAACACAAUGUACCUCUCCAAGCUAGUGAUUGGAAAAAUGUUCCAAAUGAUGCAAAAGAGAAAGUAUGGCCUUUGUUUUGGUAUGUUGUAUUUCUCACUAUAUGAUGUCAUUUCACUGUUAUUCUAUUUUGUGACUAACGUUUGAAUCAUAUGUAAGAAAAAUUUGAAGUAGAUAAAGACUGAAAAGAUUACAUGUUGGGUAUAGCCUCAAAUAAAUAUAGAAGCUAUAAAAAUAUGAUGAAUGCAAAAUACUAUGACCCUUGGCAUAAGGAUGCAUGAGGAGAGGUUAAUACAUAAAUCACCAUUUGUCUCUGAUGUUGAUUGGAAGUGGCUUGUCUCUGAUGCAUAAACCAAAUCCCCCACUGAAUGUUUGAUAUUUGAUAGCAGGAAAAACACACCCGCAGCUAUACACCUCCAUCAUUCAGAUAAUUAUAGUGGGGGAGAUGAUUCAUGGUUGCCCUUAUACCCUUUAUUUGCACCAUCUAUUGAGAUUCUUUAUCAUGGCCAGGUUUUACUGCAGCAAUAAGAUAUGGUGGCAACAAUUUUAUCUAUAGGUGCGGUUCCAGACCGCCUCCAUAGGUGCGGUUCCUGACUGCCUCCAUAGGUGCCUCUUCUUGUAAUGUUUGUUCUGGGAAUUACACUUGAAAGCCUUAUCGUGAUAAGGGAUUACAAACACUAGUUCAGAGGACAGCCAUGUUAAACUUCCACUAUGUUUGUGUCACAUUAUCAGCAGCCUAGUGUUUAUUGGUCAUGCUAUCUGCAACUAAUAUAACCCGGUGAACUUCAAUCUAAAUUCUGAAAGUACUCAUGUGACAGAUGGUGCCUUUCAGCAGAUAUCAUCAAUUUAAAAGUAGUGUGUGUGCCUAUAGGUGGGAAGGCCUUGGCAAAUGUUCAGUAUUCCGGUAAUUCAAGAAGGAUAUAUCUAAAAUAGAUUUUCUUCUUGCCCAUUUCAAUAGUUAAAAUUUGAGAAGAUUGUGUCCACAUCACACAAAUAUUAUUGGUCCUUCUGUUGCAAUUUACCUCUGAACAUGUCUUCCAAUUCCCACGGUCCUGUUACUCCAGGAAAACUAUUUCGGUCAUAUUGAAAAAAAAAAUAUUAAAGAAGGUACACAUGCUUUUAAGUGGACUGGGGCAUUCAUAUCAGGUGGUCUGUAUCCACAUAUGCCACUUCGUGAAAGGUGGAACAGCCUAAUCACUAGGCUAUUUAGUGUGGCCCAGCCACGUUAAUCAAGCACAAGUCUUCAUACUUAAAGUCAAAUGGUGUCUUUAGUCUCAUUACACAUCGCUAUUUGAAGAUUAACUCAUCACUAGUGUAAUGCGAUUAAGACAGUCCUAACUCAAUAUUUGUUCUAGUUUUGGAUGCAAAUGCUUGCUGGUUUCAUCAUUGGAUGGGAUAAAGGUGCAAUCAGGACUAUGAAUACGUGCAGUAAUACUUCAUUCUCUUUUUUCUCAAUGAGACUUCUUGGCACAAUUUUGCUGCUCAGCAACCUACCUUUCCAUGGAAAAUCAGUUGUGACUGAUAGUAAUGGAUAUAUUCUAGAAAGCUAAACAUAGAUAGCAUUCAAUAUUAUCGAUAUAACAUUAACAGCGUAUGUCUCAAUGCUCAUCAGCUACAAGCAAUGGACAAACACUUUGAGUAACUCACAGCAGUCAAAAUUCCUAAACAGGACAGACGUGACAGAUCUAUAUAUAGAACACUGCAUAUGAGUCACAGGAAAAGAUAAUACGGGUACAUAGAAGCUCUUAUUUUACAUAUUACUCAUACUGAUCAAAGUCGCUCAGUUGGGAUGGAUGGGAGAAGGAGGUUUGAGGGGUGGCUUGUGCGGGGAAGUUGGCAGCUUCUUUCCGGGAGCUGGUUGCUUCUUUGCUGGAGUUGAAGGAGGCUUAAUCUUCCGAGGUGGCUUGUAUGAGUCUUCAGCAUUCUCAGCAGGAGGGUGACCAGGGUUGUGACCAUAAUGUGGUGGCUUCUCUCCCUUAGGUGGUUUGCCAACUGGGGUUGGUGGCUUGUUUUCUGGGAGUGGCUUCUCUCCCUUGGGUGGUUUGCCAACUGGGGUUGGUGGCUUGUGUUCUGGGAGUGGCUUCUCCCCCUUGGGAGGUUUUUCGAAUGGGGUGGGUUUGUGUCCUGGUGGUGGCUUCUCUCCCUUGGGAGGUUUACCAAUUGGGGUCGGUGGCUUGUGUUCUGGGAGGGGCUUCUCUCCCUGGGGAGGUUUAGUGGGUGGCUUGUGUUCUGGAGGUGGCUUCUCCACCGGAGGCUUAUGCUCUGGUGGUGGCUUCUCGAAGGGGGGAUGCUCAGGGUAAUCACCAAGUGAGGGGGUGGUGAGAACCACCAUGCCAAGCAACAACACUAGCAAGUAUGUAGUAGACAUCUUUGGGUUUGGACUCAGACAGUGCAAAACUACGAGAAAUCGCUAGCCCUUUAUAGCGGCUCGGACCUAAUACUGACAUAAUAUAAAAUAAAUAUUAUAUUUUAUCAAGAGAGAACAGAGUGUAAUUUUAUCAUUAAUACCGAUCGAGGCCAAAGAAAGAAGACCCAUAAUCCAUUUCCCACAAGCAUACACAAUGCAGCUGUAAUUUUAUCAUUUACUUUUAUCCCUUGGACCACUGCAUUUUUGUUGAGAGACACAAUAACACAUUUUUAUCUGUCAUUCAACAUUUACAGUAAAGAGAGGGCACAAAACGCAAUUAGAUAAAUUAUGUUUUGCCUGCUAAAAAGAGGCAAAUAACUUUAUUUGCAACAUAAUUAUUUUGGUUUCUAGUGACCCCGGGGCCUUUCGGUUGGUUUGGGAUCGGAAAAUGAACAUCAUAGGGGGGGUUGUGCCCUUAUGGGCAUAUAUAUCUGAUAGCUUCAACUGGCCUUGUUCCUAGAAAGAAAUUGCCAAAGAUAUAAACUUAUUCCAGGCUGAAAGUAGAUGAGAGUCAUAAUGAACAUCAACCUUUGUUCAGUUUGAUUCAAUGCCCCCAUAGUGUUCAUUUCACAGAUCUGAAUGAUUAUAUCCGUUGAAUACAUAAAUUAAUGAAGACAAAUAUGAAACCCAAGAUACAUCUCUGCAUAACAACCCCAACCCUGGUUGCUAUGUUUCCCUUCUUCUAUUCACAUGAGGAUACUGGUUAUAAUUGUCAAACUUGCAACAAGCCCUUUGACACCUAACGUCAAUGGACGAAUUAAAAGUCUCCUUCAAACGUCUAUUUCACAGCAUGAAGCUUAUAAAGGAUGCUGACAACCUUCAGAGUUAGCGACAAAAGAUAAUUAUCAAGGAGAGAUAGUUCCAUGAGAAUUCCAAGGAGUCUGAAUCAAAGACAAAUUGCUCACUCAAGGGUUCUUAUUUUCUUUUAGGUACAAAUCUCUUGAGUGUUGUUAAAGAAACACGUCACUGUCAUUUUGAUUUGCAUUUAACAUUUCACUUUUGUUCUGGAAGGUUUGUUCCGGAAACAUAUCAAAUGAGCAUCAUUUUCUUCUUCGGUGACACAUGGUCGCGAGUACGUGGGUCCAUUUUCAUGCCACUUAGUUGAAAAGUUGGAAAGAAAAAACAUGCCAACAAGAAGAUAGUGAGAGAAGGGGCACUUCAAGCCUUUAACAUGAACAAACAGUAAAUAAAAGAUGUUUCUCCACUCAUAAAAGUGUGUUAGAUAGCAAUAUAACGAAUCACAUCCAAAAUCUUUACUAGGCUCAAACAUAAAGAAGACUCAUUUUUAAGAAAAGAUAAAAAUGGCAUUGUCUGAUAGUAUCCAAUACACGAGAUGGCACUUAAUUUGUACAAGAUCUGUCAAUGCUGACGCACAUUUUCUGAUUAAAAAAAAACUGAUCAGUCAAAAGCAAUGAAGAGAAGUGAUGACAAUGAAUGAUGCUUCCAAUAUUUUCACCCCUUAUAGUGUUCUUCAUGAUUCAGAUAUAUAAUUGGAAAUAGAACAACCCUAUGCCAUACAUUCGUCUAAGUAUGGUGUCUAAUUUUUUGUGUCAGCGGUUGCGAAUGGAGCGUGCAAAAGUCCAAAUUGGCGUCUCUCCAUUUCCACAUAGGAAGGUGACCUUUAUUGACAAAUACCCAAUAUUUGUAGACAUUCCUUAAAUAUCAUAACUUCUUGUUGAUUUGAAAAUCAUUUUUCAACUACCAUGUUUUAAUAAAUAUUUUUUAAAAUGUAUUUUUAUCAAAGUCCACCAUGAUGGAUAAUAUUCACCAUGCAAUAAUUAAUAAAGUACAAACUAAGCGAAAUGAAAAGCAUUUUCUUUGCUUUGAGUUGAUUUUGGUUGCAUUGAGUUGAUUUUGGUUUCAUGGUUUUUUCAACUCUUAUUUUGAUUGGAAGAUGUCAAGAAAAGAAAACAUAAAGAAAAAUUAAAAGGGAAAAAAGAAGAAAAAUAAAAAAAAAUAGAUUUAAAAGUUAAUAAAUUAUUUUUUAUAUUUAUUUUAAUUCAUUUCACUUAUUUUUCUUUUACUAUAUAAAAUUUAAAUAAUUUAAAUUUUAUAAUUAAUUUAAUUACAUUUCAUUUUCUUCUAUAUUUAAAUAUUGGAAAAAUAUUUUACUUAAUAUUUUUUUCUUUAAUUUCUUUGGCAUUUUGGGAACCAAACUUAGCCUUUAAAAUAAAAAACAAAAAAAAAAUGAAAAUAAGGAGGGAAAAGUGAGAAAAGAUAAAAACAAUAUGUAAAGGAUUUGAAAAGUAUUAGUUUGUAAUUACUAUUUGGAUUUCAAUAGUAUUUUAUUUGUCUUUCUAUAUUUCAUGUAAGAGAGAAUUUAAGAUAUUCCCCAAGGCAAAGCAUUAGUUACCUGCAAUCAGUGGUGAUAAGGCUCCAAGCCAAUUUUGGGCCCCAUAUCUUAAGACAGUACAAUUUCCAUUUCAACAUUUCUGAUUUCUCAGAUGUUUCACAUACCACAGAAGAACAUUGUUUGUGAAAAUAUGCAUUUAUGUUGGAUUUUGUAUGCUGUGGGGACUGGGGCAAGGAUCAUAUGGAAGAGUGGUUGACUUUUUCUGUACUUUAACGGUUGAAAUAGGAUAAGCACGGGCAUUUGUGAGGCUUAAUUGAUUUUGAAGCCUGAAAUUGCGUUUCUGUCAUUUUGUCAAAAAAAUGGCAGAUUCCAUACUCAUAUGUUUGGCCUGUGGCCAUGUACAGAUGCCAUUUAGUGACCAGUUUGUAACUGUCAAUCGUUGCGUUUUGACUCUGCCUCAACAACAUCUGCCAUUGACGGGUUUUCAUACUUGCAAAUCAAAUAGUCUUUCGUCCCAUCAGGAAUUUCGGUUUAAAUAUUAUUAAGCAUACGUUUGGCUGACAAUCAUUAUCCAGUUCAUGAUUUGGUUUCUUACCCUUAAUCAAUGGUUUCUAAGUGAAUAUAUGUAGAAGGAAAUCCGAAGUGUAGACAGUAGUAUCGAUAACUCUCAAUAUUCUCUAUAUAAUAGAAUAAACAGCGUCAUAGUGAUCGUCGCCUACAAGCAAGGUACAAAUACCAAAACGAGUGACUCACAUAGACAUCUCCCAACAAGAUGUAGUAGUGACUGACACAUGGACACAAUUAACUCGUAGAAAAGGAUAAGACCAUUGCACAGCAGCUCUUAUUUUACAUACUACUUAUGCUAACCAAAGUCAAUUAGUUGGGAUGGGUGGGAGAUGGAGGUUUGUGCGGUGGCUUGUGGGGCGGAGUUGAUGGCUUCUUUCCAGGAGCUUCUGGCUUUUUCAUCGGAGCUGAAGGAGGCUCAAUCUUAUGAGGCGGCUUGUAUGAGUCUUCUUUACUCUCGACAGGAGGGUGGCCAGGGUUGUGAUCAUAAUGUGGUGGCUUCUCUCCCUUAGGUGGCUUGCCAACUGGGGUUGGUGGCUUGUGUUCAGGAAGUGGUUUCUCUCCCAUGGGAGGUUUAGCAAUUGGGGUUGGUGGCUUGUGUUCUGGGAGUGGCUUCUCUCCCUUGGGAGGUUUAGUAGGUGACUUGUGUUCUGGAGGUGGCUUCUCCACCGGAGGCUUGUGCUCCGGUGGUGGCUUCUUGGUUGGAGGGGGCUUGGGGUAAUCAGCAAGAGAUGGGGUGGUGAGAACCACCAGUCCAAGGAACAACACUAGCAAGUAUGUGGGAGACAUUUUUGAGUUUGGGCUGAUCAGAUGAUGCAAAACUAAAGCAUUACGUGACCUUUUAUAGCAUGUAGCUCCCAAUACCCACUAAGUAUUGUGGGGUCCAUUUGUGCCCUACGGGGUUGAAAACUUAGACAAUUGGGCAAGGACCCACCUGACUAUGGAGGACUAGUGAGGUGUGAUCAUAGCUUUAGGAUUUUUCUUCCUCUGCAGCCGUCGUGCCGUUGGCAUGAUUUUCUUAAUCUUAAAUAAAGGCAUAGUUAUAGAGUUGUUUAAUCUCUAAAUGGGAUUUUAUAUAUAUCUUCAGAUAGCCAUUAAUAUAUUUGAUGAAGAAAGAAAGACAAGUGCAUACAACAUGUAUACGACUAGCUUUCAUGGAGUUCAUUUAUGAUCAGUUUUCCUGUACAUGUAAACCAGGAUCAUAUAUAUGUUUCUGUUCCACAACUAUUUUGGAAUCUUGUUUAUCAGUUUUUAUCAUUAUAAUGUCACAUAGGCUGCCAACUUGGGCGCUAAAAGAACCAGUUGGGCUAGUUCGUUUCAGAAUUUCAAUGUGGAUUCAGGAAUUGUUUUGUAAGAUAUGCGAAAUAGUAGAGGGAUGAAUAGUGUUUCAUUAAUAAAAGUGUCCUGUAAAUUAGAAGGUGUCAUAGAAACUAUAAUCAAUAAAUAACUUUUUUUCCCCACGGGUGGUGUUUCUUGUGGGGAUCAGUGACUGGUUUAGGUUCACCCAAAAUGAGUUCAGACUAAAAUUGGUUUGAGUCAAUGCCGUGUCUCUUUUUUCCAGAAAUCAACUAUUUUAUGCAUUGAAUAAAUCAUACAAAGAAAAUAUGAACGCCCGCAAAACCUAAACCCUGGUUGCUAACUUUCUAUGUUUCAGUUCUAUUCACGCAAGAAUAUUAGUUUAAGUUUGGGAAAAAUGGCAACUUACCUAGUGAUUACUUGGUUUUGGUUUGCGACUAUUUACGCAACCAACCAUGAGUUUGACUUUAACGUCAUGGGUUGAAGCCUCCUACAGGAAGGGAGAAAGCUCCACAGCUAGCUCCAAAAGAGAAUUAUCACAUUGAUAGCUCCAGAGAUUCCCAAGGGGACUGAAUCAAAGACAAGUUCCUCACUUUUUCUUCUUUUGAGGCCAAAUAUGAACCAAGGAUCACACAACCUCAUUCAACUUCAUAAGUUUGAUUUCAUGCAGUUGAACACUGGGUGAAGGCCAUGACAAGAAUUGAUUCAAAAAUUCUAUCACUCUUUUAAGUAAUGGAAGAUUAUUAUCUCUGAUUGGCAUCACAACAGCACAUGCUCCUAGAUCUUUCUAGACACUCCAUGCAAUGAAAGCACAAUGGAUCUUGUAACGAUAGAAACUAAGCCAUGCUACAGUACUAGAUGAUGAGGUAAAACUAGUAGACACGGGUGGCAGCCUAUAUGGGAGGGACACAAGUCUAAUUGAUUUGCAUUUCAGCAUUAUAGAUAGGUAUGUUUUGGAAGAUUUGUUCUGGAAAUACCGCACCAAGUAGGAUUCUUUUUCUCUUUAGUGGGUCCACUUGCAUGCCAAUUAACGAGUUGAAAAGUAUGAGCACCUACCUCGUGCUCGUGGAACCGAAGGUCAGUGAAGUGGGGCUCCUUUUGGCCUCGUGUAAACUUGAUUCAGAAGUGAAGUUAAUAGUCUUCCAUUCAGAUGGAUACAUGGGAAUUUUUCUCUUUUAUUUAUUUAUUUAUUUUUUUUUUGUGUGUGUAUGUCAAAGGAUAAUGAAUGAAGCGCGUUAGCUUGUUUUCUGACUGGAACCGCAGAUGUCCAAAUUGGAGUUCCUUCAUUUCUUACUUAGGAUUGUUACAUGUAUAAACAAGGUAUAAGAAAUAUGCCAACGUGUCUUGAGGAGUUAUUGAUUAGAAAUAACAAGUCACCCGACUGUAGAGUUCCAAGAUUUGAAUCUUCAGACCCUAUAGCAGCCUCUGGGGUACGUGGCAUCCUAUAGCAUAUUAAUGAAGGCUUUUUCGAUUUAGACUUCACAAUACCAAUUAAUAUGUAUGCACAAAAUGGAGAUGACCCCAAAAAAAACAGAAUCGCCAUAGUUUAUGAGGUUAAGGUGAUUCUCCACUUAAUAUCUACAUUAGCUAAUUAUGUAAAUCAAAUGAACUUCUAUUUUUCCUUUUUUUUUUUGGUUUAUGUCAAAUAGUAGCCCAUAAUUAACCCAACCAUUAGCCUGUUUGAAUUGAUUUCACAUGCACAAUGUUGUAGUAGUUCAUAUUUUGAAUUUUAUUUUUACAAAGGUAGUUAAGGAAAAUGAAGUAUAAUAAUUAUAAAAGCAGACUAUAUACACUACAAUAAUUGUUAGAAUGGUAUCUCAAAUUCUAAUUUAAAAUAUUAUUUUUUGUAAAAGAAAUAUUAUAUAGAAUAUUUCCUAAUUUUAUAAAUGAUUAUAAUUAGAUCUUUAUAAAAUAAGGAAAGUUGGUAAGAAUAUCUUUAUAAAUAUUUUAGGUCAUGAGAGAAAGAAAUGGGAUAAAAAUGUGAUGAAGAGGUGAAAUAAGAGAGUUGAUUAGGAUAUAGAUGUGAAGAAGAAAGGGAUUCAAUAUAUAUAUAUCUUUCAAUUACCACAUUAAAACCCUGUGAACCUUUUAUAUGGUUUACUUUAUUUUUAUAUUCCUCCUUUAAUAUAUUUACAUUAAUGCUUCCAUUGGCACAACAAUAACGAAUUACAAAUACAAGCAACAAGUCCCAUGUUUUAUUACCAAAAGCAGGUAAAAUCCACCUAAUAUAUUACAAUAUAUUCAUCCAAUAUUUUAGACCAAUUCUUCACCAUAAAUAUCAUAAUGUGGCUUUUGUUCUUUCUUAAAUUUAAAUUGAAUUGUCUUAUAUCAAUUUGUUUGUGAUUUUUUCAUUAACUUCACUUUCAUUUGGUUAUCUUUGGUUUUUGAAAAGUAUUAAGGAAUUAAUUAACAAAAUAAUGUUAAGAAAAAUAAUUUUCUCUCUUUUGAUUUUGAUUUUGUAGUAGAAAAAUAUAAUUAAAAUUAUUUAAAAAGUAUGUAAUUUUAAAUUAUUUAAUAUUUAGAUAAAAAAAAUAAGUCUAAUGAGUUUAAAAUAACAUAUAAAAAUAAUUUAUUUAUUUUAAAUUUAUUUUUUAUUUUCCAUUAUGUUCUCUUUCUCUUUUACUUUUUCAUAUUUUUUCUUACGAAGAAUCAAACACAACCUCAUAUUAUAUGUCAAGUGUUUGUCUAUAUUUGAGCAAUGUUAGAUACGGCCAUGGAUUCAUCAAACUAAACUGAUUUUAAUAGAUACUUCACAAAUUGAUUUAUACACUAAAUCAUUGGAUAGCAAUGAUGCAUUGGAAUUAAACGUAGGAUGAAGCUCGAAGAACACUGUUUGUGUAACAACAUAUUUAUGAAAUUAUGCAAAGGAUGAGCUUCGGGGUAGUAGUACAAGGUCAUUAAUGGAGAGCCGUGUUAAACCUUGAUUGUGAUUGGAUUCCGUUAUCAGCAACAGCAACCUUGUUUGUAACCUUGAAAGUCAUUCUGUCCACAUCGAAACUCCAAUUUGACGUUUGUAAUUACCAUUCCUGGAGUGUUCCUUGAUUGAAAUUUAAAUAAUAAUUGCGGCCCACAAGGAAUAUUUUCGAUUCUGUGGGAAUUUGACAAGGUUUGUUAGAGAAGACUGGUGACAUGUUGACUUCAAUGGUUCAAAUAGGAGACGUAUGUGGAUUUGGGGGGUUUAAUUGAAACUGAGUCCCUAUGGCUUUUUAAUAUUUGCAUUGAGCAGUCUCCAUGUGACUUCCUAAUUCCCACCAACCCUCCUGUCCAUGCUGUGAAACUAAAUUGUAAUUUAUCAGCCUUUGUCAAUGGUUUCUAAAUUAAAGAUAUAGACCAUGCAUGUACUUUAAUAAAAGCAAAUCUAAAGUGUAGAUAGCAGCAAUGGUGACACCCAAUAUUCUCCAUAAAAUAGAAUUAGAAUAAGCAGUGUUACAUUGUUCAUGAUCACCUACAAGCAUACAAGAACUUCCAUGAAUAACUCAUAGCAAUUGCCAACAGGGCGUCGUAGAGACUCAUACAUAGAACACUAUCCACCCAGAGGAAAGGACAAGACCAGUGCGCUGCAGCUCUUAUUUUUCACAUGUAUACCACCACUCGUAAUAACCAAAUUCACUCAGUUGGGAUAGGUGGGAGAUGGUGGUUUGUGGGGUGGCUUGUGGGGAGGAGUUGGAGGAGGCUUUAUUUUCUGAGGCGGCUUGUAUGAGUGUGCAGGAGGAUGCCCGGGAGUGUGACCAUAAUGUGGUGGCUUCUCUCCCGUAGGUGGUUUGCCAAAUGGGCUUGGUGGCUUCUCUCCCUUAGGAGGUUUACCAAUUGGGGUUGGUGGCUUGUGUUCUGGGAGUGGUUUCUCUCCCUUGGUAGGUUUGCCAAUUGGGGUUGGCGGCUUAUGUUCUGGGAGUGGCUUCUCUCCCUUGGGAGGUUUGCUAAUUGGGGUUGGCGGCUUAUGUUCUGGGGGCGGCUUCUCUCCCUUGGGAGGUUUGCCAAUUGGAGUUGGCGGCUUAUGUUCUGGGAGUGGCUUUUCUCCCUUGGGAGGCUUGCCAAUUGGGGUUGGCGGCUUAUGUUCUGGGGGUGGCUUCUCUCCUUUAGGAGGUUUGCCAAUUGGAGUCGGCGGCUUAUGUUCUGGAAGUGGCUUUUUUCCCUUGGGAGGUUUGCCAAUUGGGGUUGGCGGCUUAUGUUCUGGGGGUGGCUUCUCUCCCUUGGGAGGUUUGCCAAUUGGAGUCGGCGGCUUAUGUUCUGGGAGUGGCUUCUCUCCCUUGGGAGGUUUUGUUGGUGGCUUGUGUUCUGGAGAUGGCUUCUCCCCUGGAGGCUUGUGCUCCGGAGGUGGCUUCUGAAAUGGCGGGGGCUUGGGGUAAUGAGCAAGAGAUGGAGUACUGGUGAGAACCACCAUUCCAAGCAACAAUACUAGCAAGCAUGUGGGAGACAUCUUUGAGUAGUUGUAGCUAAGAUGGCGCAACACUGUAGGCAUUGGGUGGCCUUUUAUAAAGGGCUGGACCCAACAGCCAUAUGACACGUGUCAUGAUGACAAAUGAAGUUGAGGGGAUCCAGAUGGGUCCUACUGAGUCGAAAACUUGCACUAAUUGAUCUGGUGAGAUGACUAUUUCUGUCCUUUUGCCCUUCUCGGCCACCCUGUGCUGUUUUCCUUUUGCACGAUUUUCGUUGCCAAACAAGCAAAUAAUAUUUCGCCAAGAAAGAGGAGAGUGAAUGUGGAAUGCAUCAAGUCCCAUCAAGGAUGGCAGAGAAGAAAUAGAAGAUUGCCCAACUGUGAUAAACAUAGCAUACACGUAGCACCAGGAACUUCAUUUACUUCCAUCUAAUGGAACAUAACAAUCUUCUAAAGUUUUUGCAUGAUUUUGUUAUAUGUCUCUUAGCCUAAAGUUGGAAAUGCGCAACAAAUUUUGUCACUUCUCUAUUUCCCACUGAUGAUGUUAAUUAGCCUUCAUAGAUAUCAUCCUUUCUACAAAGUGCUUCAUUUGUGUGUUAUUGUAAAGUGUAAGAAAAGUAAUUGAACAUGUUCUUUUUCCUUUCAUAGAUGACUUUUGAUGUGCAUUUUAAAAGCAGCGCUGUGAGUCGGUGACCUUGAUUCACACGGAAACUAAGGCUCCUAUAGGACCCACUUUUAGCUGGUUAGGGGUGAAGAAAAUAUCAACUUUUCAGAGUGAUUUAAGUCAAGGCCAAGCCUCACUGUGUCAUUACUCGUGUGAAUUUUAUAUGCACAUACAUACAUAAAUAAAGUAUGAGACCCAAAUAACACCUUCCCUUUACAAACUUAACCCCAGCCGCUCUCUUUCAAUUCUUUUCACACAAGGGUAUUGACUCUAUAAAGGUCAAGAAAAUCAUAAUUUCCUAGGGUUUACAAGGUAAUUGGCUUAAUGCUAAUGUGAAAACAUAAAAGAUAAUAGUAUAUUGUAAGCUAACGAAUAUUCUAUAGUUAUAAUUAUUUGUGAUGUGCAUAAAUAAAUCUUCAUAUAUAUAAUGGAACAAUGAAUAAAGAACCAAUGAAAAAAUACUAUAUAUCAUUGCUUGGCAUUUAAACCGUAUAUGCUGCUCUUUCUAGCUACUCCAUCCACUGAAAGACAACAAGGUAAUCCAUGUUAUAAUGAUAGAAGAUACUGUCUCUAGGCUUUUUGUGAUGAAAAAUAUAAGAUAUGGGUAGGGUUGACCCUUGUAUGUUUGUCCUAUAAACACUUCAAAGUAACAUAUUUUUCUUCUUUAGCAACUCAUAAUGAUGGGGUUCAUUUGCAUGUCACUGAGUUGAAAAGUUGGACAAUUGCCCAUGUCGCCUUCCUCCUAGAUUCCGUAGUUCACGGGAAGGUAACUCAAGUUUGACAUAUUUUGAAUUCUUUUCACUCGGACGUCUUCAUAACCUGACAAAACAAAAAUGAAAAACAGAGGAUUGGUAUAUUAUUCAUGGUAAGCCUCAAAUUAUAGUAGUAUGAGAAAGGAGAAAAAGAUUUUGGGAACUCCAAUCUGGAUAAUUCUCGUUUCUUCUCUUGAAUAAAAAUUUCACUUACCUAACUUCGUUUGGAGAAAUGGCAUAUUUUAAUUUUGUACGUCAUUGCUAAUAAAUGGAGCAAUUUAGCAUGUUUUGUGACUGAAACUGCAAAUGUCCAAUUGGCAUUUCUUCAUUUCCCACUUAGGAUCUGAUCUUGUAGACCAUAUAACGAUAUGUAUCUGUGCAAGCAUUGAAAACUAAUGUGAACUAUGAGGAGUUACAAGCCACUGGACUGUAGAGCGAGUGCCAAGAUUUAAAUCUUCAGGCUCUAUCUGGGUAAGGGGAGGAUAGCGACCUAACCUUUUACCAAAGGCUUAGAAUUUAGACUUUUGGAAAAAAAUUUCUCAUGUUUUGGCUGGAUUUCUUGUGCUUGGCGCAAAAAGGAGAUGGCCUCAAGAAAUAGCAGACUCACUUUUGUUUUCAGCCCUUAAUAAUUCUCCACUGCUUUCCAUAACUACAUGGGUUAUACAUGCAGUCUGCUGCAAUAUUCCAGUUAUAUUUAUUAUUUCAAAGAGGGUGAAUGACUUCACAUGCAAUAUGUUGCAGUAACAACCCAAAUUUUGGCACACCAUCUUAAGAAUAGAAAAGUAUAAUAAAAGAAAUCAAUCAGAGAAUCACUUUGCAUGCAGUUCAUAGAGUUCGCCCAAAAUGGAGCCACAUGUACGGACAACCCCACAAUAGACAAUCUUCUCUAUACAGUAAUAAAAUACAGAAAUGGUUAAUGAAGCUCUGUAUUUCCUUAUCAUAUAUGACCGGUUGAAAACUCAGCAAGUCUUCCUCAAUCACAGACAGUUGGAGUUGCUUCAUCAAAAUCAUGCCUUCAUUACUGGCUUCAUUUUGGUUUCAAUGUCUGUUCUACCCUUAAAUUGGGUCUCUGCUUACUACCGGGAUAUCCUUUAGCGUCCUGCAAUUCUACUAGAUUAAAGAGAAUGACUUAAUUCUGCAUUCUGCCGUCCCUAGUCCAAGUGGUACUAGAAUUGAUGUUUCCUUUAGUGUCCUUUCUUCAUACUUUCAGGUUCUUCCCUUGUUUCAAUAAUGCUGUUUUCCUUCAUGUUUAACCUCUGUUGAACCACUUAAAACAACACAAUUUGCACACCAAUGUUUCUUUACAGAAAAGACUGUUUGCAAAAAUGCACAUGUUAUAAGGUUAAUGGAAGAAUUAAUUUGGGGAUAAGGGACUAGGAUUGGGCCAAUGAAGUUUGGUGUUAAAUUUUGAUUAUGAUUGCUUUUCAUUAUCAGGUACCUUAUAUUUGCUGAUGCUAUCUGGAACUAAAUUCAAAUCAGACAUUAUCCGAUUACUAACAGGACAUAUCAUGUCCCUCUGCAGAGUUUCUAAACUAACAUGUAUCGAAAUGUGGCCCCAAAAGGAAGGCUAGGAAGAUGGAGGAUUUUGUAGGAAUCGACCAGAAUCAGAUGGAAGAGAGAUAGUCCUGUUGACUUUAAUGGUUGUGAUAGGAACAUGCAUCAUUAUAUGAGAAGUUGCAUGAAUUUAUGUAUCCUGUUAUCGUUCCUUGACGAUUUCCCAAUGCAAUUUCACUGUCCACAAGACUAACCUCUCCAUGCAGUCAAAUGAAUUGUAAUUUCUCUAUUGGUACCAGUAGUACAUUUCAUACCAAACAUAUAGUAAAUAUAAAAUAUAAAUAGAUCAAGGAAAUCUGAAUUGUAGAUAGCACUGCAAGUAACACUCAAUAUUCUCUAUAUAUAAUAAAAUAAACAGUGUCACAAUACUCAUCACCCAGUGGCAAGGGAGAAAAACCUACAAUGAGUACUCAAAUCACCAUUCUCAAACAGAAACAUAGCAGUGACUGAUACAUAGAACCUAUAUGCUCACAGGGAAAGAAUAAGAUGACCAGUGCACAGCGGGCAGCAGCUCUUAUUUUACGUACAACUCAAAUCCCAAACUAACCAAAGUCGCUCAGUUGGGAUGGGUGGGAGAUGGUGGUUUGUGGGAUGGCUUCUGGGUAGGAGCUGGUGGCUUCUGUCCCUUUGGUGGUUUGCCUAAUGAGCUUGGUGGCUUGUGCUCCGGGAGUUGUUUCUCUCCCUCGAGUAGGUUUCGAGUCUUGUCAGAUGGCUUGUGUUCUGGUGGUGGCUUCUCUCCCUGGGGUGGUUUGCCGAAUGGGCUUGGUGGCUUGUGUUCGGGGAGUGGCUUCUCUCCCUGGAGAAGGUUACGAGUUUUGUCAUAUGGCUUUUGUUCUGGUGGUGGCUUCUCUCCCUGGGGUGGUUUGCCGAAUGGGCUUGGUGGCUUGUGUUCGGGGAGUGGCUUCUCUCCCUGGAGAAGGUUACGAGUUUUGUCAGAUGGCUUGUGUUCUGGUGGUGGCUUCUCUCCCUGGGGUGGUUUGCCGAAUGGGCUUGGUGGCUUGUGUUCGGGGAGUGGCUUCUCUCCCUGGAGAAGGUUACGAGUUUUGUCAGAUGGCUUUUGUUCUGGUGGCGGCUUCUCUCCCUGGGGUGGUUUGCCAAAUGGGCUUGGUGGCUUGUGUUCGGGAACUGGCUUCUCUCCCUUGGGAGGUUCAGUUGGUGGCUGCUGUUCCGUAGGUGGUUUCUUCACCGGCGGCUUGUGCUCCGGAAGCGGCUUCUCUACCUGGAGAAGCUUACGAGUUUUGUCCGAUGGCUUGUGUUGUGGUGGUGGCUUCUCUCCCUGGGGUGGUUUGCCAAAUGGAGUUGGUGGCUUGUGUUCGGGGAGUGGCUUCUCUCCAUUGGGAGGUUUAGUUGGUGAUUGGUGUUCCGUAGGUGGUUUCUGAAGUGGGGGAUGCUUGGGGUAGUCAGCAAGAGACGAGGUAGUGAGAACCACCAGUCCCAGCAGCAACACUAGCAAGCAUGUGGAAGACAUCUUUGAGUUCAGGCUGAGAUCUGUGCAAGGAUAACAGAAUUAGGUGGCCUUUUAUAGAGGCCUGGACCCAACACCCAUAUGACACGUGUCAUGCACUCAUGGUGACACAUAAUUCUAUGGGACCAUUUGGGUCCUACAGAAGUUGCAAAGUUGGACUACUGAGGUGUGAUCACAACUUUUGUCCUUAUUGCUUUCUCUGCGGCCAUUGCACGAUUUCCUUUAGCAUCAUUUUCUUGGCUAAAUAAGCGUAUUAUAUUUGUGGCAGACCGUCCACGUGUCAUAAACAGAUAUAUUAUAAUAAUGUAGUAUGCUUUUCUCCAAUGGAACAUGACACUCUUCUAAGUCUUGUUUUAAAUAUUGUGCAGGAUUACUUUAUACGUUGCAGUUCCAAGUCAAAAUUGGUGGGCAAACGUUGGCCUUUUUUCAUUUCACCUAAGAUUAAUGCUCACCUGGGAUAGGCACUACAUGACUUAUCUGCUCUUUUACUGUAAAGUUGCUUUGUGUAUGAGAUACACCUCCCCUGCACACCCUCAACAUUCGUUGCUCUGUUUUCCUUGUGUCCAGACGAGGAUAUUAAUUGGAGGCUGACAAAACGACUGCUAGCCCAGGAUUUACAAGGUCCUGGUUUGAGGCUUCGGUGAAAGUAUUUUUGAAAAGACACACAUAGAGAUAGUGCGUUUGGUGCAAUGCAGCACUGUGAGCCAUUCUGACGCGUUCUUAAUUUCAAAACUAAUGAAUGCUUCAAAAUUUUAAGAAGUGACAUUUCCAAAUAUUUGAGUUCGUUUAAUUGAACAUUGGAUAACUAGUGAUCAUAGAUUAUUAUCUGUGCUUGGCACUAUAAGAGGGUAUAUGCUUCUUUUUCUGGCCCCUCCUUCAAGGGAGGAGGGACAAUGUGAUCUGUAACGUUAGAAGCUAUUCCAUGUCAUCUUUGGGCUCAGUUCAAAACUAAAAGAUAAUGGGGGGGGGGGGGGGGGGCAUAUCAUUUUAUAUUUCUUCUAGAAGGUUUGUUCUGGAAAUAUUUCACAGGAGCAUAUCUUUUUCUUCUAUUACGUCAUCCGCAGCCUCCAAUAGGUCGGUUAACAAGCCACCGAGUUGAAAAGUUGGAAAAAUGGGAACACAGCCCGCCUCUUGUAUUCAGUAGUUAAAUAAAAGGUCACUAGAAGUGAGAUCCCUUUUGGCGUCUUGAUUUUCAAUCCAGCACCUCUGUGACCUGACAAACCAAAAAAACUAAAAAAUAAAAAACAGUACGUGGGUUGGUGUUAAGCAUCAAGACAUGUUAAUGAAAGAAGGUAGAGAAUAGGAUAUUGAAAUCCCAAUCCUGAUAACAUGAUUUUCUUUGCUAACAACCAUAUUAUAUUUUAUCAAGAAAGAGUAAUGCAUGUGGCGUCCAUCAAGACCCAUUAGAGUUCCGCUAAAGCUAUAGUUCUGUCAACGUUAUCAUUUACGUUUCCUCUAGAUAAUGGCAUUUUCCUCUAAAGCUCUUGCACCAUUAGGCUUCAAGUCAAAAUUUCACAUGUGAACUUUGGAAAUUUUCUCCAUUUGCCCCUAAGGAUACAGUUAGAAUUGACUUAAAAUCCUGAUUGAUAUGUACUAUUAACCAAAGAAUAUUGUAUAUAAUAAUUGAAAUAUUGUUGAUUCAUCGUGGAAAUACAUUUUGUAAGGAAAGUUGUUGAGAAUUUAGUAUGCUAUAUGGAGAAAAAAGUCAUGACUUAAGGUUGUGUAUGUAUAUUCUAUAUCAAAUAUUAGGUAGGAAUGUGGGAAAGAGCAGAGUGUAAUGAUAAGAAACAAAGAAAUAUAAGAUAUUCUUGAAAGUGGAAAAUAUAAAAUGGCUAACGAGUCAAAUUUAUGAUGCGUAAGGGGGAUCAUGUCACAUAAGAAAACCAUGGCAUACUAAAGACGUACGUGUGGUAUGGAGUAAUAAUUUUGUUAAAAUAAGUUUCUUGUUGGAGUACAUUAGGUGACUAUUCAUAACGUAUCAAAUUAAAGAGUCAAGUGCAUCAAUGAAGGCAUAUGUAGAAAAUUUGUUUGUGACAUGUACCAUAAAGAUAAGAUUGACUUGAUAGAAUUUAGUCUAAGUAGGAGUUGUUAAAGGUGUCUUAAAUUUCUAAUUGAUGUAUAUUUUUUUCUAAAAAAAUAUUAUAUAGAUAUUUUAAUAAAUGAUUAAUUCUUUGUAAAAAUACUUACAUAAUAAAAAACAUCAUUAAAAAUAUCUUUAUAAAUAUUUUAAGUUACAAGAAGGAAAAAAACCACUGUGAGAUAAUGAUGAACAUGCAACACUGUACCAAGUAAAUAAAAAUGUGAUAAAAAAAAAAGAGAAACACUCGAUAAAGGAAGGCUCGUAUAUAAAGAGUAAUAUUUUUAAUCAUAUGAUAGAAUGAUUUUCUCUCAUUCAUGAAUAUAGGCAAGAUUGGGGAACCAUUAUAAAAUUUUGUACACCUCGUGUAAAUUGAUGUUUGUCUUCAUAUUUUACACCAACAAAUGACAUUGAAGUUGUCAUUGAUAAAAGGGAAAAGGCAUGCCUCCACACCAUGUGCUUGAUUCGAAUGGUUCAAGUUUGAAGAAUUUUCUCCGGAAGAUCUAAAACAUUUUCGCCUUUAAAUUUCAUUUGAUUAUUAAUAUCCGAAAAAAUAGUUAAAUACUCUUUCUAUUUUUGAGUUGUUGAAUUUUUUGAAAGUUUUUAUAUUUGUUAUCAAGAAUUUCUAUUUUAUUAAGGGUGAAUAUUUAUAAAUAAGAUAUUAUAUAAUAUUUGGAUAAGAGAGAAUGGUGGAAUAUAAUAAAGUUUUAAUCCUUCCCAAUUUUGAACCUUUUUUUUUUUUUUUGAUAUAAUCGCCUUUCUCUUGCAAUCCUAUUAUCAGGUACCUUAUAUUUGCUGAUGCUAUCUGGAACUAAAUUCCAAUCAGGCAUUGUCCAAUUACUAAUAGGACAGAUCAUAUCUCUCUGUUUCUAAACUAACAUGUAUCGUAAUGUGACCUCAUAAGGAAGGCUAGGAAGAUGGAGGAUUUUGUGGGAAGCGACCAGAAUCAGAUGGAAGAGAGAUAGCCCUGUUGACCUAAUGGCUGUAAUAGGAGAAGCGUGUGGUUUUAUGGGACUUAACUGAUACUAAACCUGUAUGAUGCUUGGAGUGGUGUUUCUUUCAUUUUGUUAAGAAAAUAUGGCAGCAUACAUGCUUUCAACUGAGUGCAUCAGAGCAUCCAUAACAGAUGGUCUGCAACCCUAGGUGCAUGCCACUUUCUGACUGAUAAUGAAAUUGUCAGGUACCUGGCCUUGACUAAGCUCAACAGCAUCACAUAAAGAGAAGCUUUCAUACUUAGAUUACUGUUUAAAGUUUUUGCUUAUUUGAUUUCUUAAUGCCAUUAUGACAUUAUUGAUUCAAUUCUGCUUCCGAUUUUCGAAGUUCUGGGCAUCUACUGAUUGCAUCAUUAUAUGAGAAGUUGCAUGAGUUUAUGUAUCCUGUUAUUGUUCCUUUGCGAUUUCACUGCUCACGGGACUAACCUCUCCAUUCAGUCGAAAUGAAUUGUAAUUUCUUUACUGGUAGCAGUAGUACUUUUCAUAGCAAAGAUAAUAGAAAAUAUGAAAUAUAAAUAGAAGGAAAUCUGGAUUGUAGAUAGCACCAUAAGUAACACUCAAUAUUCACUACAUAAUAAAUAGACAGUGUUACAUAGGUAGAGAAACCUACAAUGAGUACUCAUCACCAUUCUCAAACAGAAACAUAGCAGCGACUUAUACAUAGAACCUAUAGGCUCGCAGGGAAAGAGUAACAUGAUAAGUUCACAGCGGGUAGCAGCUCUUAUUUUACGUAUUACUCAAAAUCUCAAACUAACCAAAGUCACUCAGUUGGGAUGGGUAGGAGAUGGUGGUUUGUGGGGUGGCUUCUGGGUAGGAGCUGGUGGCUUCUUUGUUGGAGUUGAAGGAGGCAUAUUCUUCUGAGGUGGCUUGUAUGACUCUUCGGCACUCUCUGCAGGAGGGUGCCCAGGGUUGUGACCAGAAGGAGGUGGCUUCUGUCCCUUUGGUGGUUUGCCUAAUGGGCUUGGUGGCUUGUGCUCCGGGAGUUGUUUCUCUCCCUCGAGUAGGUUUCGAGUUUUGUCAGAUGGCUUGUGUUCUGGUGGUGGCUUCUCUCCCUGGGGUGGUUUGCCGAAUGGGCUUGGUGGCUUGUGUUCGGGGAGUGGCUUCUCUCCCUGGAGAAGGUUACGAGUUUUGUCAGAUGGCUUUUGUUCUGGUGGCGGCUUCUCUCCCUGGGGUGGUUUGCCAAAUGGGCUUGGUGGCUUGUGUUCGGGAACUGGCUUCUCUCCCUUGGGAGGUUCAUUUGGUGGCUGGUGUUCCGUAGGUGGUUCCUUCACCGGCGGCUUGUGCUCCGGAAGCGGCUUCUCUACCUGGAGAAGCUUACGAGUUUUGUCAGAUGGCUUGUGUUGUGGUGGUGGCUUCUCUCCCGGGGGUGGUUUGCCAAAUGGACUUGGUGGCUUGUGUUCGGGGAGUGGCUUCUCUCCAUGGGGAGGUUUAGUUGGUGGUUGGUGUUGCGUAGGUGGUUUCUGAAGUGGGGGAUGCUUGGGGUAGUCAGCAAUAGACGAGGUAGUGAGAACCACCAGUCCCAACAGCAACACUAGCAAGGAUGUUGAAGACAUCUUUGAGUUCAGGCUGAGAUCUGUGCAAGGAUAAAAGAUUUAGGUGGCCUUUUAUAGAGGGCUGGACCCAACACCCAUAUGACACGUGUCAUGCACUCAUGGUGACACAUAAUUCUAUGGGACCAUUUGGGUCCUACAGAAGUUGCAAAGUUGGACUAUUGAGGUGUGAUCACAACUUUUGUCCUACUUGCUUUCUCUGCGGCCAUUGCACGAUUUCCUUUAGCAUCAUUUUCUUGUCUAAAUAAGCGUAUUAUAUUUGUGGCAGACCGUCCACGUGUCAUAAACAGAUAUAUUAUAAUAAUGUAGUAUGCUUUUCUUCAACGGAACUUGACACUCUUCUAAGUCUUGUUUUAAAUACUGUGCAGGAUUACGUCAUAAGUUGCUUGUUCCAAGUCAAAAUUGGUGGGCAAACGUUGGCCUUUUUUCAUUUUCCCUAAUAUUAAUGCUCACCUGGGAUAGGCACUACAUGAUUUAUCUGCUCUUUUACUGUGAAGUUGCUUUGUGCAUGAGUUACACCUCCCCUGCACACCCUCAACAUUUGUUGCUCUGUUUUUCUUGUGUCCAGACGAGGAUAUUAAUUGGAGGCUGACAAAACGACUGCUAGCCAAGGAUUUACAAGGUCCUGGUUUGAGGCUUUCACGAAAGUAUUUUUGAAAAGAUACACAUAGAGAUUGCGCGUUCGGUGCAAUGCAACAAUGUGAGCCAUUCUGAAGUCUUAAAUUUCAGAUUAAUGAAUGCUACAAAAUUCUAAGAAGGGCCGUUUCCAAAUAUUUGAGUUCAUUCAUCCGAACAUCGGGUAUAUGCUUCUUUCUCUAGCCCCUCCUUGAAGGGAGGAGGGACAAUGUGAUCUGUAUCGUUAGAAGCUAUUCCAUGUCGUCAUCUUUGGGCUCAGUUCAAUACUAAAAGAUAUGGGCGGGGCCCUUAUCAUUUUAUAUUUCUUCUAGAAGGUUUAUUCUGGAAAUCUUUCACAGAAACAUAUCUUUUUCUUCUCUACGUGAUCCGUGGUUUGAAAGUUGGAAAAAUGGGUCCGUUAACAAGCCACCGAGUUGAAAAGUUGGAAAAAUGGCAACACCGCCAACCUCUUGUAUUCGAUAGUUAAAUAAAAGGUCACUGGAAGUGAGAUCCCUUUUGGCCUCUUGAUUUUCAUUCCAGCAUCUCUAUGGCCUGAUAAAUUAAAAAACUAAAAAAAAAGACAGUACGUGGGUUGGUGUUAAGCAUCAAGAGUCAAGACAUGAUAAUGGAGAGAAAGGAUAUUCAAAUUCCAGUUCUGACAACAUGAUUUUCUUUGCUGAACUACCAUAUUAUAUUUGAUCAAGAAAGAGUAGUGCAUGUGGCCAGGAUCAAGACAUACAUUAAUUUCCACAUGAUGAAGACAGUUUCUGAGAGUUUCUUCUAAAGCUCUUGCGCGAGUAGGCUUCAAGUCAAAAUCUCCCAUGUAAACACUGGUUUUUCUUUCAUUGCCACUAAGGAUGCAGUUAAUAUUGACUUAAGAUCCUACGUGAUAUAUUUUUUUAAAAGAGCUAUAUUGUAGAUAAUAUUUGAAAUAAUGUUGAUUCGUUGUGGAAAUAUAUUUGUAAGGAAAGUUGUUGACAAUUUAAUAUAGUAUAAGAAGAAAAAAGUUAUCAACUAGCUAGAGAUGAGUAUGUAAAGUGAGGCUCACGAUUCAACGCGUAAAUAUAAGAUAUUUUAAGGCUCAAUAGUUAUGAUAUCUAUUUUAUUUUUUGUAUCUCAUAUAUUCAAAGAUAUAGUAAAAUGAUUUUACAUAUAUAUAUAUAUAUAUAUAUGAACAUAACUAUUUGUGCCAAUUGAUUUUUAUCUUUAUUUUGUAUAUUAGUAAUUAUAUUAAAGUUUUUACUAAUAUAAUAACUAAUAUAAAAGCUUUUUCUAAAAGAGUCAACAGAGCAAAACACUUAUUAUAAAAAAUAAUUUUGAUUGAAGGUGGAGUCAAUUAUUCUUUAUUUAACAUGUAAUGCAUACGGCGUGUACUUCAUAACUAAAGUAUAUAAGUGUAACAUCUCUUAUAUAUUCUCAUUCAAUCUCGAAAGUGGAAAUUUUAAAAAGAUUAAACGGUUCAAAUUUGUCGUGCAUAAAGGGGAUCAUGUCACAUAAGCAAACCAUGGCAUACCAAAGACAUAGGUAUGGACUAAGAAUUUUUUUCAAAUAAGUUUCUUAUUAGGGUACAUUAAUAGGUGACUUUUUAUGACAUAUCAAAGGAGUCAAGUGCACCAAUAAAAACAUAUAUAGAAAAUUCAUGCAUGACAUGUAUCACUAAGAGAAGAUUGACUUGAUAGAGUUUAAUCCAAAUAGGAGAUUGUUAAAAGGUGUCUCAAAUUCUUGAUUGAUAUAUAUUUUUUUUAUUAAAAAGGUUAUUAUAUAGAUAUUUCAAUAGACUAUUAAUUCUUUGUAAAAAUAGUUAUAUAAUGAGGAUGGUGAUUAAAAAUAUCUCUAUCAAUAUUUUGGAUUAUAAAAAGAAAAAAAAUGAGAUAAUGAUAAACAUAUAAAACUUGUACAAGUAGAUAAAGAUGUGAUGAAAGACACUUGAUGAAUGAAGGCUUUGUAUUUCAAGAUAUAAAUAUAUGGAGCAAAACUCUUAAUUAUAUGAUCAAAUGAUUCUCUCAUAUUCAUGAAUAUAAGCAGGAUUGGGGAACCAUGAUAGAAUCUUAUAUGCCUCUCCAUGUAGAGUGAUCGAUGUUUAUCUUCAUAUUUUACACCAGUGAAUGACAUUGAAACUCUUAUUGAUAAAAGGGAAAAGGCAUGGCCUCCACCCCAAGAAAAACAAGUAACCUCGGUUUAAAUCACUAGUCUACACCCCGAAGAGAGAACUAGCCAAACCUACUAAAAGAGAAACUUAACAAUUUAGAAAGAAACCGUCCAUGAUAAAGGGCCCCUAAAGGUCCAAUUCAGUGAGGUCGUGAACAAAAACACUUUCAUGUCAAAACAGAGAUAGGUACCACCAAAAUGUAAAGGGAAAGAUGUAAACCACGUCGAACUUUGGUAAUCAAUGGUAAAGAUAGCAUGAUAGCUAAAAGCACUAAAGCUGUGCUUGGUAUGCAAAAAUGAAAAGUGGAAAUCAGCGUCUUAUUCUUUUUCACCUUUAUUCACAUAUUAGGAUAACUAAUAUCUAAUGUUUUUUAUGUCUCAAAUUCUAUUCCAUGUUAUGGUAAACUUUCAUCUUGUUUAGAUCACUUUUGUCUGGUUUGGGCUCAAGACGAUAAGCCUAUAGAGACUUCAUAUUGGGUUGAAUCGAUGCCCUUGAUCUGAUCUGUUCGUUAGAAAAAUCUGAAUUAUUAUAAGCAUUUAGAUAAAAAAUAAAUAAAUGUGAAACACAAACUACUCCCUGCACAACCUUGACCCUAGUUACUCAGUUUCACUGCUCACAGGACUAACCUCUCCAUUCAGUCGAAAUGAAUUGUAACAAGAAGAUUUUUGACAGGAGGACGGUAGUUUAAAAUAAUAAUUUCUAAAGUACUUUUGUGAAAAAAAAUAAUUCCAAACGUGGAUUUUAUCAAGUAAAAAGAAAAAAAAAAGUUAUUUUCUUUUAAAAUCUGUUCUUCUAAAGAUGAUAUAUAUACCAAAAAAAAAAAUUGUUUUCUGAAGGUAAAAUUUUUAAAAUUCAUUUUUAAAAAAAUUUACACACUAAAAUUAUCUUUUCAAGAGAAGAUUUUUUUAAUUUUAAAUAAUUAUUAAUUUAUAAUUAAUUUGUUAUUAAUUAUUUAUUAAUUUUUUUAUUUGAAAAAUGCAUUUAUAAAAAACAAAUUUGUUAUUAAUUUAUUAAAUAAUUUUUACAAAAUAAAUAAUUUUUUUUUAUUUUAAUUUUAAAAUUAAUUUUAUUAUAUAAAUUUUAAAAUUAAAAAUAUUAAUAUUUAAUUUAAAAUUUAACUAUAAAAGGAAUAAAAUAUAGAAAAAUAAAUUAAUUUAUUAUUCAAUAAAUUAAUUUUCAAUAAAAUUUUCAGCAUUAAGAGAUAAAUUUUUAAGUAUUAAUCAAUUUAAAAAGAAAUAAUGAUCAUUUGUAUAUUAAGAUAUUUUAUUUAGUAAUUAUGAAUGAUAAACAACUAAAGUAAUUUGAAAAAAUAAUAAAAUAUUUAAAAAAUAAUAAUUUAAUACACGUAAAAUUAGAAAUGAUUAACUAUUUUUUAUUAAGAAAAAAUUGAGGAAAUAUUUUGUUAUUUAAAAUUUUUUAUUUGUUUUCAAUUUUUAAUGUUAUAGGUUUCAAGAAAAUUGAUCAAAUAAAAAUUAAGAAGUCAUUUUUUCAAAAACUAUAUAUCUAAAUAAAAGCCUUGAAAUUCAAAUACACAAUAUCAUAAAUAUAAACACCAAGUCAAUCCUUAAUUAUCAAAUGUUUUUAAUAUUAAAGAAUCAAAAUCACCUACUAUCAUGAUAAUAAGAAAACCAAUAAUAUUGUUCAUAUAAAUACUAAAAAGCUAACAAAUAUCCCAAACAAUUAAUAAAGUAUCAAACAUGAUAAAAAGUCAAUUAUUAUCAUGAAUGCAAAAAAUCAAUAAUUUUGUUUAUAUGAACCAUCAACAAAGAAAAAAAAAAUCAAUAUCUAAAUAUUAAACAUAAUUUAUAUUUUUAUAAAUAUUAUUGUUGAUAAAUAUCUUAACAAUUAUAAUUUUAGUAAAUAAAAUUAAUUAAUUUUAGUUUAAGAAUUAUUUUUUUAUACUUUCGUAUUCUUAUCAAAAAUCCCCAUUUUGCAUGUCUCCUUUGGCAUGACUUUCUUACCUAAACAAGCAUAUAUAUAUAUAUAUAUAUAUAAAAUAUUUGGUUAAGAAAGAGUACUAAAGUUUAUAUGGCACACAUCAAGAUAGAAACAGAAGUGGAAGAUAAUCCAAAUGUAUGAACAGAUAUAUUAUAUCCAUGUAGUGGUAGUGACUUCAUUAUUUACUUUUAUCUAAUGGAGCAUGACACACUUCUUCUGAAUAUUUUGCACGAUUAUGUUAUGUGUCAGCUUGUUCUAAGUCAAAACUAGUGAUAAAAAUCGGUUUUUUUUGCAUUUCCUUCAUGAAGAUGGCACCUGGAUGGGGCACUACAUGAGUGGCAUAGCACGAAGUGAUUUAUCUGCUCCCUUUACUAUAAAGUGCUUUGUGUAUAAGUUACACCUCCCCUGCACUGCCUCAACAUUUGUUGUUCUGUCUUCCGUCUGUCCAAACGAGGACAAACGUAUGUUGUAGGUUGACAAAACCACAGCUAGCCUAGGAUUUGCAAGGAUCUAGUUUGAUUCGUAUGCAAAAGGAUUGGUGAAAAGAUUCACAAAGAUAAUGCUUUUUGCAAUGCAAUCUUGUUCUAAUUCAACAGUGUGGACCAUUUUCAUGUAAUGCUUCAACUAGAUGUCAGUUUCAUGAAUUUUUGUUCAUCUAAUUGAUCACUGGAUAGGCCAUAACCCGAAGAAAUUCAAAAUUCCCUUCAGUACUGUAGCUAAGGAAAGAUCCCUAUCUACCACUGGGAUUUUAAGAGGGUAAAAAUGUAGGUGGGUGCCUAUAUCAUUUGCACUUCACUAUAGGCCUCUUUGGGAAGAUUUCUUCUGAAGACAUUUCAAAGAAACAUAUUUUUCUCUUCUCUCCGUAAACGGCAGCUGCAAGUCAGUCCAUUCACAGGCCACCGAGUUGAAAAGGCUGGAAAAUUGGCCAAAGCACCCGCCUCCUGGAUUCCAUGGGUAAGGAAAAGGUCACUGGAGGUGUGAUCCCUGUUGGCCUCUUGAUUUCCAUUCCGCCAUCUAUAUGACCUGAUAACCCAAAAACACAGAAGGAAAACGUCACCUGGGUUCAUAGUAAGCAUCAAGUCAUGAUAGAGACCAGACAACAUGACCAACAAAGAGUAGCGAAUGGGGCCAACAUCAAGCCCCAUUACGGUUAGAAGAUGGAAGAAGUAGAAGACAAUCCAAUUCUGAUAGAUUCGGGCAAAUGUAGUGCUGUUCAAACUUAAUCAUUUACUAUUUCUUCAUGAAUCACGGCAUUUUUCUUCUGAAAAUUUUCCAAGAUUAGGCCUCUGAAGAAAAAUUUCAUAUGUAAAUUGGUAUAUUAAGGAAAAGGCGUUACAAAGGUGAAAAAAAACCAAUCAAAUCUUAUAUAUGACAUCUCAAAAAUAUGAACUUGCUAUAAAUAUUUAAAAUCAAAAUCUUGCACAUCACCUCGUAGUACGAACUUGCUAUAAAACUUGAAAAUCAAGAAGAAAGGGGCAGUAUUGGACGAGACUACUUAGCACAUAUUAUUAUGAUGUUUUUUCAUUUUCUUAAUGUUGUUUUUAUGUCUUAAAUUCUAUUAUUCUAUGUUACGGUAAACAUUCAUCUUGUUUGUGUGGAAUAGGAUCACUUUUCUCUGGGUUGAGUCGAUGCCCUUAGUUAAUUUGUUCAUUUGAAUAAACUAAAUUAUUAUAAGUAUUUAGAUAAGAAAAACGUGAUACAUAAAUUACGCCUCUCGGCACAACUUCAACACUGGUUACUCUGUUUCAGUUUCCUCACACAAGAUUAUUGGUUCUAGGGUUUAUUUGGUUUUGGUUUGAUUCUAAUUGCUAAACUUUCUCAAGGAAGAUGUUAUAUAGGGAGUGAGAAACCUUCACUCUUGGCUACCUCCAAGAGAAGAGCAAGUGGUCUGAAUCAAAGAUAUACUGCUCACUUUUUCUUCUUCUAAGGACAGCUAUGACCUUGCUUUAAGGUUCGAAUAGCCUAAUGCAACCUCCCAUUUCUCAAGUCAGCUGAUGAUGUAAGUCACCUUGGCUUUCCACAUUCAUACGGUGAGGACGUUUGUGGGUGUAAUUCUCUUAACAGUUUUCAUUUUAUAUGGAAAAAUUCAUAAUUAAGGGUAAUUACUGAUUCCAUUUGACAGUGACCAAGUUUAAAAUAUUAAUUCAUAUAUUAAAUGCACAUUAAAAAAUCAUGGAAUAAAUAUAUUUACUAAUAUAUAGUUCUUUUGCCAUGUUCUGUCACAGAAGCAUCGAACUUUCCCUAGAAAUUUUUGCAUGGUAUUCUACUUAUGAUUUUGAAAACUCUAGGCACCUGAGGCCACUAAUUGCAUGGUUGGAUGAGGAGCUGCAUGAGAUUAUGUAUCGUGUUGUUCCUUAACUACAAAUAUCAGUUUUAAGUAGCAUCUCCAUGUGACAUUUUCCUGAUGCAAUUUCGCUGUCCACCAACAAAUUUCACCAUGCAGCAAGAUGAAUUGUAAUUUCUUUAUUGUUAUCAACAGCUUUAAUUAAUCUUGAUAUAUAUAUAUAACUUAGUAGAAGUAUAUUAAUCUAGAUUGUAGUUGCACUAAGAUAAUAGGCAAUAUUAUAACAGUGCCACAAUGCUCAUCGCCAAAUAGAAAGGUAGAAAAACUACAAUGAGUAACUCACAACAUUCUCAAACAGGACAUAGCGGCGACUGAUACAUAGAACACUAUUGGCACUCAGGAAAUGAUAAGAUCAGUGCCCAGCAGGCAGCACGUCUUAUUUUACAUACUACUUAAAACUAACCAAAGUCAUUCAGUUGGGAUGGGUGGGAGAUGGUGGUUUGUGCGGUGGCUUUUGGGUAGUUGGUGGCUUCUUUCCUGGAACUGAUGGUUUUUUUGUUGGAGUUGAAGGAGGCUUAAUCGUCUGAGGUGGCUUGUAUGAGUCUUCAGCACUCUCUGCGGGAGGGUGCCCAGGGUUGUGACCAUAAUGGGGUGGCUUCUCUCCCUUAGUUGGUUUGCCAAGUGGGCUGGCUGGCUUGUGCUCCGGGAGCGGCUUCUCUCCCUUAGGUGGUUUGCCAAAUGGGCUUGCUGGCUUGUGCUCUGGGAGCGGCUUCUCUCCCUCAAGAAGUUUACGGGUUUUGUCAGAUGGCUUGUGUUCUGGUGGUGGCUUCUCUCCUUGGGGUGGUUUGCCAAAUGGACUUGGUGGCUUGUGUUCGGGGAGUGGCUCCUCUCCCUUGGGAGGUUUAGUUGGUGGCUGGUGUUCCAUAGGUGGUUUCUCAACCGGGGGCUUGUUCUCCGUUGGUGGUUUAUGAACUGGGGGAUGCUUGGGGUAGUCAGCAAGAGACGGGGUGGUGAGAACCACCAGUCCCAGCAGCAACACUAGCAAGUAUGUGGAAGAGUACAUCUUUGAGUUCAGGCUGAGAUUUGUGCGAGACUUGAAGAAUUAGGUGGCCUUUUAUAGCUGGCUGCACCCAACACUCACAUGACACGUAUCAUGGUGACACAUGUGCUAUGGGUCCAUUUGGGUCCUACAGAAGCUGAAAACUUUUGACUAUUGAGGUGUGGUCACAACUUUUGUCCCUAUUGCUUUCUCCGCAACCGUUUUACAUGUUUCCUUUGGCAUAAUUUUCUAAGCUAAACAAGCAUAUAUCAUAUUUGGUUAAGAAAGAGUAAAGUGUAUAUGGCACACAUCAAGGAAGAGAAACAGAAAAAGUGGGAGACAAUCAAUUGUGAUAAACAGAUAUAUUAUAUUCAUGUAGUACUAGUGACUUUAUCAUUUACUUUUAUCCAAUAGAUCAUCACUCUUUCUUCUAAAUAUUUUGGAGGAUAAUGGUACAUGUUGCUUGUUUCCAAGUCAAAAUUGGUGGCAAAAAUCGGCAUGAUACGAAAGGAUUGGUGAAAAGAUUCACAUAGAUGGUGCUUUGUGCAAUGCAGUCUUGCUCUAAUUCAACAGAGUGGACCAUGGUGAUGUAUUUUAAAUUUUAAAUUUUAAAUUAAUGCAUGCUUCAAAGUUUUAACUAGAUGUCACUUCCAUGGAUUUUUGUUCAUUUAAUUGAGCACAGGAUAGGCUAUCAAACUUGAAGUAAUAUAAAAAUCCCUUCAUUACUGUAACUAAUGAAAGAUCAUUAUCUGCGCUUGGUAUUUUGCCAAGGUAUUUGCUGCUCUUUCUAGCCCUGUCUUACAGUUAAGGACAAUGUGAUCUAGUUAACCUUAGAAGCUAUUCCAUGUCAGAUACAAGAGAUCAAGCACAUUAUCUUUGGGCUCAGUUCAAAACUAUAAUAUAUGGGUGGGGUGGAGGCCCAUAUCAUUUGCAUAUCACCACUAUUGGUUUAGUUUGGAAGGUUUCUUCUGGAAGAUUGCUGCUUUCUGGAAUCAUUUCAAAGAAAUAUAUCUUUUUGUUCUCUUGGUGACGAGCAGCGGCAAUCAAGUCUGUUGACAAACAACCGAGUUGAAAAGUUUGAAAAUUGGUCACAGCCCACGUCCAUGGUUAAGGAAAAGGUCACUGGAAGUGAUCCCUUCUGGGCCUCUUGAUUUCCAUUCUGACAUCUAUAUGACCUGAUAAAUAGAAAGAAAAAAAAACAGAAGAAAAGCGGCACCCGGGUUCAUAGUAAGCAUCAAGACAGGAUACUGAAAGAAGGGAGAAAGGAGAUUGCAAGUCCAAUCCUGAUAAAAUGAUCAACAAAGAGUAUCAAAAUGGGGCCAACAUAAAGACCCAUUGAGGUUAGCAGAUGGCAUGGCAUUUUUCUCCUUAAGUUUUCCAUGAUUAGACUUGAAGUCAAAAUUUCACAUGUAAAUUUGUAUUUCUACAUUUCCCACUGACGACACCCAACUUCAACUUGAGUUAGAAUAACAUUGUGUGAACUUAUCUGGCCCUCAAAAUUUACUGUGAAGUGCUUUCUGCGUGUGAAGAUUCAGAAAAGCACCAAGGGAACAUGUAUGGUCUGCCUUUUUCUGAUGUUAUGUUUGUCUCUAAUUCUGUUCCAUGUCAUGGUAAAUGUUCACAUUGCUUGUAUGGAACACACCAGGAUCACUUUUUCGGGUUUAUUUUGAGGCUUCAUAUUGGGUUCAUAUUGGGUUCAAUGCUUUUAAUGUGUUCAUUAGACAAAUCUGAAUUAUCAUAUGCAUUUAGAUAAGAACAAUAAUGUGAAACCCUAGUUACACCUCCCCUGCAUAACCCCAACCCUGCUUACUCUAUUUCAGUUUACUCACACAAGUUUUACCGGUUCUUAUAAGUCAAGAAAAGGCAACUGAUGUUGGAUUGACUCUCUUCCAUGUAUAAAAAGCAACUUUUAUAUAUACAUAAAAUAACUUCUUCCCCUCACCAAUGUGGGAUAUCAUGGAUUUAUUCUGGAAACACAUCAAAGGAACAUCUUUUCUCUUGGGUGACCCUAAGUGGUGAGUCAGACCAUUUGCAUGCCAUUGAGUUGCACAGUUGGAUAAAUGCACCUACCUCCUGGGCUCCAGAGUUAAAAGGGUGGAUCCCUGGAUCGCAACCCUCUUGGCAUCUUGGUUUCCAUUCCAACAUCCACAUGACUUGACAAAACAAAAAACAGAAUAAAAUCAUCACUAUUUUCAUGCUAAGCACCAAUACAUGAUGGAAAUCAUUGCUUAAAGAUUUGGGGUCAUUUAGGUUUUGACUGCCUCCUAACACCUCACCUAAUCACAAGUUUUUAUGCUUACAAAUCAAAUAUCGUUCUUCAUUAUAUUAAAAUCAUUUUAAGAUUUCAGAUCCAUCUGCUAAUUAUGAUUAUGAUAACAUUAAUUCACCUGUGCUUCUCAUUUUCGACACACAAGGCAUCUAGGUUUGCAGGAUUUCCUUAUUAGAUGAGAUAAAUGAGUACGCAUGGUUAUGUAUGCAGCAUUCAUUAACCAUGGUAUGUGACAUUUAGAAUUAAGAUAGCAAGCAAACUUUCCCUGCAGCUUGAGUAAAUUGUGAUUUCUUAGCCUCUAUGAGUGGUUCCCAAAUCAAAUUAACAUAGUGAAAUAUACGUAGUCCAGUGAAAGGAAAUGUAAAUUAUAAACUAACAGCACUACACUACUGGUAACACUCGAUACUCUCUAUAUAAUGCAAUGAAAUAUACGUUAUACGUUGCUUGUUCCAAGUCAAAAUUUGUGGCCAAACGUUGGCCUUUUUUCAUUUUCCCUAAGAUUAAUGCUCACCUGGGAUAGGCACUACAUGAUUUAUCUGCUCUUUUACUGUAAAGUUGCUUUGUGUAUGAGUUACACCUCCCCUGCACACCCUCAACAUUUGUUGCUCUGUUUUCCUUGUGUCCAGACGAGGAUAUUAAGUGGGGGCUGACAAAACGACUGCUAGCCAAGGAUUUACAAGGUCCUGGUUUGACGCUUCCGCGAAAGUAUUUUUGAAAAUAUACACAUAGAGAUUGCGCGUUCGGUGCAAUGCAACAAUGUGAGCCAUUCUGAAGUUUUUAAUUUCAGAUUAAUGAAUGCUACAAAAUUCUAAGAAGGGCCGUUUCCAAAUAUUUGAGUUCAUUUAUCCGAACAUCGGAUAAGUAAUGAUCAUAGAUUAUUAUUAUUAUCUGACGUUCUUAUAAUGGUUGGCAUUAUAAGAGGGUAUAUGCUUCUUUCUCUAGCCCCUCCUUCAAGGGAGGGACAAUGUGAUCUGUAUCGUUAGAAGCUAUUCCAUGUCGUCAUCUUUUGGCUUAAGUCAAUACUAAAAUAUAUGGGCGGGGCCCCUGUCAUUUUAUAUUUCUUCUAGAAGGUUUGUUCUGGAAAUCUUUCACCGAAACAUAUCUUUUUCUUCUCUACGUGAUCCGUGGUUGGAAAGUUAGAAAAAUGGGUCCGUUCACAAGCCACCGAGUUGAAAAGUUGGAAAAAUGGCAACACCGCCAACCUCUUGUAUUCGAUAGUUAAAUAAAAGGUCACUGGAAGUGAGAUCCCUUUUGGCCUCUUGAUUUUCAUCCCAGCAUCUCUAUGUCCUGAUAAACUAAAAAACUAAAAAAAAAACAGUACGUGGGUUGGUGUUAAGCAUCAAGAGUCAAGACAUGAUAAUGGAGAGAAAGGAUAUUCAAAUUCCAGUUCUGACAACAUGAUUUUCUUUCCUGAACAACCAUGUUAUAUUUGAUCAAGAAAGAGUAGUGCAUGUGGCCAGGAUCAAGACAUACAUUAAUUUCCACAUGAUGAAGACAGUUUCUGAGAGUUUCUUCUAAAGCUCUUGCGCUAGUAGGCUUCAAGUCAAAAUUUCCCAUGUAAACACUGGAUUUUCUUUAAUUGCCACUAAGGAUACAGUUAAAAUUGACUUAAAAUCCUACGUGAUAUAUAUCUUUAACAAAAGUAUAUUGUAUAUAAUAUUUGAAAUAAUGUUGAUUCGUUGUGGAAAUAUGUUUGUAAGGAAAGUUGUUGACAAUUUAAUAUAGUAUAAGAAGAAAAAAGUUAUCAACUAGAGAUGAGUAUGUAAAGUGAGGCUCACGAUUCAACGCGUAAAUAUAAGAUAUUUUAAGGCUCAAUAGUUAUGAUAUCUAUUUUAUUUUUUGUAUCCCAUAUAUUCAAAGAUACAGUAAAAUGAUUUUAUAUAUAUGAACAUAGCCGAUAGUAUCAUGUUAAAACCUUAUAUGACUCUUUGUGCCAAUUGAUUUUUAUCUUUAUUUUGUGUAUUAGUAAUUAGUAUUAAAGUUUUUACUAACAUAAUAAUUGAUAUAAAAGCUUUUUCCAAAAGAGUCAAACAGAGCAAAACACUUAUUAUAAAAAGAAUUUUGAUUGAAGGUGGAGUCAAUUAUUCUUUAUUCAACAUGUGAUGCAUACAGCGGGUACUUCAUAACUAAAGUAUAUAAGUGCAACAUCUCUUAUACAUUCUCAUUCAAUCUCGAAAGUGGAAAAUUUUAAAAGAUUAAAUGGUUCAAAUUUUCCGUGCAUAAAGGGGAUCAUGUCACAUAACCAAACCAUGGCAUACCAAAGCCAUGAUAUGGACUAAGAAUUUUGUUAAAAUAAGUUUCUUAUUAGGGCACAUUAUGUGACUAUUUAUGACAUAUCAAAGGAGUCAAGUGCAUCAAUAAAGACAUAGAAAAUUCAUGCAUCACAUGUACCACUAAGAGAAAAUUGACUUGAUAGAGUUUAGUCCAAAUAGGAGAUUGUUAAAAGGUGCAUCAAAUUCUUGAUUGAUAUAUAUUUUUUUUAUUAGAAAGGUUAUUAUAUAGAUAUUUCAAUAGACUAUUAAUCCUUUGUAAAAAUAGUUAUAUAAUGAGGAUGGUGAUUAAAAAUAUCUCUAUCAAUAUUUUGGAUUAUAAAAAGAAAAAAAAUAUGAGAAAAUGAUAAACAUAUAAAACUUGUACAAGUAGAUAGAGAUGUGAUGAAAGACACUUGAUGAAUGGAGGCCUUGUAUUUCAAGAUGUAAAUAUAUGGAGCAAAACUCUUAAUUAUAUGAUCAAAUGAUUCUCUCAUAUUCAUGAACAUAAGCAGGAUUGGGGAACCAUGAUAGAAUCUUAUAUGCCUCUCCAUGUAGAUUGAUCGAUGUUUAUCUUCAUAUUUUACACCAAUGAAUGACAUUGAAACUCUGAUUGAUAAAAGGGAAAAAGCAUGGCCUCCACCACAAGAAAAACAAGUAACCUCGGUCUAAAUCACUAGUCUACACCCCGAAGAGAGAACUAGCCAAACCUACUAAAAGAGAAACUUACCAAUUUAGAAAGAAAUCUUCCAUGAUAAAGGGCCCCUAAAAGUCCAAUUCAGUCAGGUUGUGAACAAAAACACCUUCAUGUCAAAACAGGAAUAGGUACCACCAAAAUGUAAAGGGAAAGAUGUAAACCAAGUCGAACUUUGGUAAACAAUGGUAAAGAUAGCAUGAUAGCUAAAAGCACUAAAGCUGUGCUUGGUAUGCAAAAAUGAAAAGUGGAAAUCAGCGUCUUAUUCUUUUUCUCCUUUAUUCACAUAUUAGGAUAACUAAUAUCUAAUGUUUUUUUUAUGUCUCAAAUUCUAUUCCAUGUUAUGGUAAACUUUCAUCUUGUUUAAGUGGAAGAGUAGGAUCACUUUUGUCUGGUUUGGGCUCAAGACGAUAAGCCUAUAGAGACUUCAUAUUGGGUUGAAUUGAUGCCCUUGAUCCGAUCAGUUCGUUAGAAAAAUCUGAAUUAUUAUAAGCAUUUAGAUAAAAUAAAUAAAUAAAUGUGAAACAGAGACUAUUCUCUGCACAACCUUGACCCUAGUUACUCAGUUUCACUGCUCACGGGACUAACCUCUCCAUUCAGUCGAAAUGAAUUGUAAUUUCUUUACUGGUAGCAGUAGUACUUUUCAUAGCAAAGAUAAUAGUAAAUAUGAAAUAUAAAUAUAUAGAAGGAAAUCUGGAUUGUAGAUAGCACCAUAAGUAACACUCAAUAUUUACUACAUAAUAAAAGAGAUAGUGUUACAAAGGUAGAGAAACCUACAAUGAGUACUCAUCACCAUUCUCAAACAGAAACAUAGCAGUGACUUAUACAUAGAACCUAUAGGCUCGCAGGGAAAGAGUAACAUGAUAAGUGCACAGCGGGUAGCAGCUCUUAUUUUACGUAUUACUCAAAAUCUCAAACUAACCAAAGUCACUCAGUUGGGAUGGGUAGGAGAUGGUGGUUUGUGGGGUGGCUUCUGGGUAGGAGCUGGUGGCUUCUUUGUUGGAGUUGAAGGAGGCGUAAUCUUCUGAGGUGGCUUGUAUGAGUCUUUGGCACUCUCUGCAGGAGGGUGCCCAGGGUUGUGACCGGAAGGAGGUGGCUUCUGUCCCUUUGGUGGUUUGCCUAAUGGGCUUGGUGGCUUGUGCUCCGGGAGUUGUUUCUCUCCCUCGAGUAGGUUUCGAGUUUUGUCAGAUGGCUUGUGUUCUGGUGGUGGCUUCUCUCCCUGGGGUGGUUUGCCGAAUGGGCUUGGUGGCUUGUGUUCGGGGAGUGGCUUCUCUCCCUUGGCAGGUUCAGUUGGUGGCUGGUGCUCCGUAGGUGGUUUCUUCACCGCCGGCUUCUCUCCCUGGAGAAGGUUACGAGUUUUGUCAGAUGGCUUCUGUUCUGGUGGCGGCUUCUCUCCCUGGGGUGGUUUGCCAAAUGGGCUUGGUGGCUUGUGUUCGGGAACUGGCUUCUCUCCCUUGGCAGGUUCAGUUAGUGGCUGGUGUUCCGUAGGUGGUUUCUUCACCGGCGGCUUGUGCUCCGGAAGCGGCUUCUCUACCUGGAGAAGCUUACGAGUUUUGUCAGAUGGCUUGUGUUGUGGUGGUGGCUUCUCUCCCUGGGGUGGUUUGCCAAAUGGACUUGGUGGCUUGUGUUCGGGGAGUGGCUUCUCUCCAUUGGGAGGUUUAGUUGGUGGUUGGUGUUCCGUAGGUGGUUUCUGAAGUGGGGGAUGCUUGGGGUAGUCAGCAAGAGACGAGGUAGUGAGAACCACCAGUCCCAGCAGCAAUACUAGCAAGGAUGUGGAAGACAUCUUUGAGUUCAGGCUGAGAUUUGUGCAAGGCUAGAAGAAUUAGGUGGCCUUUUAUAGCGGGCUGGACCCAACAACCAAAUGACACGUAUCAUGAUACACAUAUGUGUUAUAAGAUCCUUGUGGGUCCUACAGAAGUUGAAAACUUUGACAAUUGAGGUGUGAUUACAACUUUUGUCCCUAUUGCUUUCUCGUCAGCCGUUUUGCAAGAUUUUUGACAGGAGGACGGUAGUUUAAAAUAAUAAUUUCUAAAGUACUUUUGUGAAAAAAAAUAAUUCCAAACGUGGAUUUUAUCAAGUAAAAAAAACAAAAAAAAGUUAUUUUCUUUUAAAAUCUUUUCUUCAUGAUUCAUAUACCAAAAAAAGAAUUGUUUUCUGUAGGUAAAAUUUUUAAAAUUCAUUUUUAAAAAAAAAAAAUUACACACUAAAAUUAUCUCUUCAAGAAAAUAUUUUUUAAAUUUUAAAUAAUUAUUAAUUUAUAAUUAAUUUUUUAUUAAUUAUUUAUUAAAUUUAUAUGUGAAAAAUGCAUUUAUAAAAAACAAAUUUUUUAUUAAUUUAUUAAAUAAUUAUUUACAAAAUAAAUAAUUUUGCUUUAUUUUAAUUUUAAAAUUAAUUUUAUUAUAUAAAUUUUAAAAUUAAAAAUAUUAAUAUUUAAUUUAAAAUUUAACUAUAAAAGGAAUAAAAUAUAGAAAAAUAAAUUAAUUUAUUAUUCAAUAAAUUAAUUUUCAAUAAAAUUUUCAGCAUUAAGAGAUAAAUUUUUAAGUAUUAAUCAAUUUAAAAAAUAAUAAUAAUCAUUUGUAUACUAAGAUAUUUUAUUUAGUAAUUAUGAAUGAUAAACAACUAAAGUAAUUUGAAAAAAUAAUAAAAUAUUUAAAAAUAAUAAUUUAAUACACUUAAAAUUAGAAAUGAUUAACUAUUUUUUAUUAAGAAAAAAUUGAAGAAAUAUUUUGUUAUUUAAAAUUUUUUAUUUGUUUUCAAUUUUAAAUGUUAUAGGUUUCAAGAAAAUUGAUCAAAUAAAAAUUAAGAAGUCAUUUUUUCAAAAACUAUAUAUCUAAAUAAAAGCCUUGAAAUUCAAAUACACAAUAUCAUAAAUAUAAACACCAAGUCAAUCCUUAAUUAUCAAAUGUUUUUAAUAUUAAAGAAUCAAAAUCACCUACUAUCAUGAUAAUAAGAAAACCAAUAAUAUUGUUCAUAUAAAUACUAAAAAGCUAACAAAUAUCCCAAACAAUUAAUAAAGUAUCAAACAUGAUAAAAAGUCAAUUAUUAUCAUGAAUGCAAAAAAUCAAUAAUUUUGUUUAUAUGAACCAUCAACAAAGAAAAAAAAAAUCAAUAUCUAAAUAUUAAACAUAAUUUAUAUUUUUAUAAAUAUUAUUGUUGAUAAAUAUCUUAAUAAUUAUAAUUUUUUAUAUAUUAAAUUUAGUAAAUAAAAUUAAUUAAUUUUAUAAUAUAAGAUAUAUAUAAUAAUUAAGAGACUAUUUGUCCCAAACAAUUUAUUUAUUUUUUUUUUAGGAAAUUGUCUCUUCAAGAGACGACUUCUCCCAACAUUUUUAAAAAAAAAAAAAAAAACAUCUAUUCAAAAGACGAUUUCUCCUCAUUUUUUAAAAAUGAAUUUUAGAAAUCAUAUUUUCAAAAAUGAAUUUUAGAAAUCAUAUUUUCAAAAGACGAUUUUUUUUUAUAUAAAUUAUUUUUUAAAAUGACGAUUUUAAAAGGAAAUAACGAUCUCUCUCCUACUUGGCAAAAACUAUGGUAAAUUUGGAAUUAUUUCUUCCACAACCAUAGUUUAAGAAUUAUUUUUUUAUACUUUCGUAGACUUAUCAAAAAUCCCUAUUUUGCAUGUCUCAUUUGGCAUGACUUUCUUACCUAAACAAGCAUAUAUAUAUAUAUAUAUAUAUAUAUCACUUUUGUCUGGGUUGAGUCAAUGCCCUUAACUAAUUUGUUCAUUUGAAUAGUCUAAAUUAUUAUAAGCUUUUAGUUAAGAAAAAUGUGAAACAUAAAUUACACCUCUCGGCACAACUUCGACACUGGUUACUCUGUUUCAGUUUAUUCACACAAGAUUAUUGGUUCUAGGGUUUAUUUGGUUUUGGUUUGAUUCUAAUUGCUAAACUUUCUCAAGGAAGAUGUUAUAUAGGGAGUGAGAAACCUUCACUCCUGGCUACCUCCAAGAGAAGAGCAAGUGGUCUGAAUCAAAGAUAUACUGCUCACUUUUUCUUCUUCUAAGGACAGCUAUGACCUUGCUUUAAAAUGUUCGAAUAGCCUAAUGCAACCUCCCAUUUCUCAAGUCAGCUGAUGAUGUAAGUCACCUUGGCUUUCCACAUUCAUACGGUGAGGACGUUUGUGGGUGUAAUUCUCUUAACAGUUUUCAUUUUAUAUGGAAAAAUUCAUAAUUAAGGGUAAUUACUGAUUCCAUUUGACAGUGACCAAGUUUAAAAUAUUAACUCAUGUAUUAAAUGCACAUUAAAAAAUCAUGGAAUAAAUAUAUUUACUAAUAUAUAGUUCUUUUGUCAUGUUCUGUCACAGAAGCAUCGAACUUUCCCUAGAAAUUUUUGCAUGGUAUUCUGCUUAUGAUUUUGAAAACUCUAGGCACCUAAGGCCACUGAUUGCAUGGUUGGAUGAGGAGCUGCAUGAGAUUAUGUAUCCUGUUGCUCCUUAACUACAAAUAUCAGUUUUAAGUAGCAUCUCCAUGUGACAUUUUCCUGAUGCAAUUUCGCUGUCCACCAACAAAUGUCUCCAUGCAGCUAGAUGAAUUGUAAUUUCUUUGUUGUUAUCAACAGCUUUAAUUAAUCUUGAUAUAUAUAUAACUUAGUAGAAGUAAUUAAUCUAGAUUGUAGUUGCACUAAGAUAAUAGGCAAUAUUAUAACAGUGCCACAAUGCUCAUCGCCAAAUAGAAAGGUAGAAAAACUACAAUGAGUAACUCACACAACAUUCUCAAACAGGACAUAGCGGCGACUGAUACAUAGAACACUAUUGGCACUCAGGAAAUGAUAAGAUCAGUGCCCAGCAGGCAGCACGUCUUAUUUUACAUACUACUUAAAACUAACCAAAGUCAUUCAGUUGGGAUGGGUGGGAGAUGGUGGUUUGUGCGGUGGCUUCUUUCCUGGAACUGGUGGUUUUUUUGUUGGAGUUGAAGGAGGCUUAAUCGUCUGAGGUGGCUUGUAUGAGUCUUCAGCACUCUCUGCAAGAGGGUGCCCAGGGUUGUGACCAUAAUGAGGUGGCUUCUCUCCCUUAGGUGGUUUGCCAAGUGGGCUGGCUGGCUUGUGCUCCGGGAGCGGCUUCUCUCCCUUAGGUGGUUUGCCAAAUGGGCUUGCUGGCUUGUGCUCUGGGAGCGGCUUCUCUCCCCCAAGAAGUUUGCGGGUUUUGUCAGAUGGCUUGUGUUCUGGUGGUGGCUUCUCUCCUUGGGGUGGUUUGCCAAAUGGACUUGGUGGCUUGUGUUCGGGGAGUGGCUCCUCUCCCUUGGGAGGUUUAGUUGGUGGCUGGUGUUCCGUAGGUGGUUUCUCAACCGGGGGCUGGUGCUCCGUAGGUGGUUUAUGAACUGGGGGAUGCUUGGGGUAGUCAGCAAGAGACGGGGUGGUGAGAACCACCAGUCCCAGCAGCAACACUAGCAAGUAUGUGGAUGACAUCUUUGAGUUCAGGCUGAGAUUUGUGCAAGACUAGAAGAAUUAGGUGGCCUUUUAUAGCUGGCUGCACCCAACACUCACAUGACACGUAUCACGGUGACACAUGUGCUAUGGGAUCCAUUUGGGUCCUACAGAAGUUGAAAACUUUUGACUAUUGAGGUGUGAUCACAACUUUUGUCCCUAUUGCUUUCUCCGCAACCGUUUUACAUGUUUCCUUUGUGGUGUUUAAUAGUGUUUUUUUCCUUAAUUCUAAAUAAACCUUAAUACUUAAUAAUGUUAAAUAUUAGGUUAUUUAUUUUUAUAAUAUUUUAUUUAUAUUAAGUAUUAAAAAGUAAAGAAAAAUCAAUAUAUUUAUUUUUCUAUUUAGAAAAAACUAUAUAUUUUUAAUUUUUUUAUUUAAUAAAAAAUUUAUAAUAAAUCAUGAAAAAAUAGAAAAACAAACAACCUAAAUUUUAAAAAUAAAUUGUUUUUAGUAAAAACCCAAAAAAACAAACACCACCUUAACUAAACAAAUAUAUAUUAUAUUUAGUUAAGAAAGAGUAAAGUGUAUAUGGCUCAAAUCAAGGAAGAGAAACAGAAUAAGUGGAAGACAAUCAAUUGUGAUAAACAGAUAUAUUACAUGCAUGUAGUACUAGUGACUUUAUCAUUUACUUUUAUACAAUAGAUCAUCACACUCUUUCUUCUAAAUAUUUUGGAGGAUAAUGGUACAUGUUGCUUGUUGCCAAGUCAAAAUUGGUGGCAAAAAUCGGCAUGAUACGAAAGGAUUGGUGAAAAGAUUCACAUAGAUGGUGCUUUGUGCAAUGCAGUCUUGCUCUAAUUCAACAGAGUGGACCAUGGUGAUGUAUUUUAAAUUUUAAAUUUUAAAUUAAUGCAUGCUUCAAAGUUUUAACUAGAUGUCACUUCCAUGGAUUUUUGUUCAUUUAAUUGAGAACAGGAUAGGCUAUCAAACUUGAAGUAAUAUAAAAAUCCCUUCAUUACUGUAACUAAUGAAAGAUCAUUAUCUGCGCUUGGUAUUUUGCCAAGGUAUUUGCUGCUCUUUCUAGCCCUAUCUUACAGUUAAGGACAAUGUGAUCUAGUUAACCUUAGAAGCUAUUCCAUGUCAUAUACAAGAGAUCAAGCACAUUAUCUUUGGGCUCAGUUCAAAACUAUAAUAUAUGGGUGGGGUGGGGGCCUAUACCAUUUGCAUAUCACCACUAUUGGUUUAGUUUGGAAGGUUUCUUCUGGAAGAUUGCUUUCUGGAAACAUUUCAAAGAAAUAUAUCUUUUUGUUCUCUUGGUGACGAGCAGCGGCAAUCAAGUCUGUUGACAAACAACCGAGUUGAAAAGUUUGAAAAUUGGUCACAGCCCACGUCCAUGGUUAAGGAAAAGGUCACUGGAAGUGAUCCCUUCUGGGCCUGUUGGAAGCAGGGGAGGUUAACACACCAAGCAACAAAGAACAGAGAUAUGCUGCUACUGAUCUAUAUUUUUUAUUUGAUCAUAAGGCUAAAUUUAUACAGAUUGUGUAACAGAUAUGACCUCAAAAAAAAGCAUCAAAUCAAGCUACUUGUUGAACAAACAACUACCUUCUACAAAAUAACAUCAAAAUUUAACUUAAAAGCAAAAACAUAAAAAUAGCAACAGCAAAAAUAGAAACAUAAAAAUAGCUUCAGCAUUCUAGUAAUCUCGUUGACUUCAAUUGCAUGUGGUUGACGAUUUCAGCCUUUUCCUCAGCAGCUACUAAGGCAUAACUCUCAACACUCCUCCUUGACUUAGGAGGUGCAAACUCCAAGUCUUUCUCAUAGAAACUCAAAUCUUAUUUUAGGAAGAGCUUUAGUCAGAAUAUCUACAUUUUGACUGUCUGUAUUGCAGUAGACUAGUUGUAUAUCUCCUUCUUUCUGUACUUCCCUCAAAAAUUACAAUUUAAUCUUGAAGUGCUUUGUUUUACCAUGAAAAACUGGAUCAUUUGCAAUAGAUAUAGUGGCCUGGUUGUCUACAAACACCUUUGUACUCACUUCUUGCUUCAUAUCCAAAUCUGUCAGCAACUUUCCAAGCCAUAAGGCUUGAUUUACAGCUGUAACAGCAGCAAUAUACUCUGCCUCAGCUGUGGAUUGAGCCACGACUUCUUGCUUCCUUGAACUCCAUGAAAAAACACCAGAACCAAAACUAAAACAAUAGCCUGAAGUACUUCUCAUAUCGUCAACACAACCAGCCCAAUCACUAUCAGAAAAUCCAUGAAAAUUGAAACUUUGAACUUGACUGAACUUAAUGCCAUAAUCCACAGUGCCUUUAACAUUUCUUAUCACACGCUUUGCUGCCUGGAAAUGAAUUUCACUAGCACAAUGCAUGUAUCUCGAAAGUAGACUUACAGCAUGCAUUAUAUCGAGUCUUGUUGCAGUCAAGUACAUUAAGCAUCCAAUCAUGCUUCGAUAAAGUCCUUCAUCUACCUUUUUAGCACCGUCCUCCUUACAGAACUUCUCUUUCUGGUUCAUAGGGGUAGAUGUAGGUUUGCAUUCCUCCAUUUUGAAUUUCUUCAUAAUUUCUUUGGCAUAUUUUUGUUGGCAGAUGAAAAUCUCAUUCUGCUUCUGGUGUACUUCCAUUCCCAAGAAGUAAGACAUCUCAUCUAGGUCUGUCAUCUCAAAAACCUGCUCCAUUUCAGCCUUGAAUUUGUUCACAAACCCUGCAUUACUUCCUGUUACAAGCAAAUCAUCAACAUAUAGAGAAACAAUUAAUAUAUCUUCUUCAAUCUUCUUAAUGUAGAGUGUAAAUUCACUCAAGCUCUUGUGAAAGCCUAAAGUUAGCAGGUGAGUGUCAAUCCUGCUGUACCAAGCUCUAGGGGCUUGUCUUAACCCAUACAAGGCCUUCUUAAGAAGGUAUACUUUUUCUUCUUUUCCUUUGAUAGCAAAACCUUCUGGUUGUUCGACAAAAAUCUCUUCCUCUAAGUAGCCAUUCAAAAAUGCUGACUUCACAUCUAGUUGAUAAAUCUUCCAUUUUCUUUGAGCUACAAGAGCCAACAACAUCCUGAUUGUAUCCAAACGAGCUACUGGUGCAAAGGUUUCCGAAAAGUCAACACCAAACAUUUGUGCAUACCCUUUGACAACCAGCCUUGCUUUAUGUUUGUUUAUAGAACCAUCAGAGUUGAGUUUGGUUCUGUAAACCCACUUAACCCCAAUAGGUUUUUUGUGUGAAGGUCUAUCUACUAGCUCCCAAGUGUUGUUCUUGUCAAUCAUAUCUAGCUCCUCCUGCAUUGCAACCCUCCAUCUUUUAUUUUCAGCAGCUUCAACAAACCCUGCAAGUUCAAGAACAGCUAUAUUACACCUUUGAUAAAUAUCAAAAAGUGUCAUGAAACCUCUAACUGGAAGUUCAUCAACAUCUUCAUCAAUAUAUUGCUGAUUCUGCUCAUCCCAACUCCAUUUCUCCGUUUCCAAAAACUUAACAUCUCUACUUACCACAAUUUUACUAUUUUGUGGCAAGUAGAUUCUGUAAGCUUUUGAGGUGCUGUUGUAUCCAAUGAAAAUUCCUGGUUCUGACUUUUUAUCUAGCUUGUCUCUUUUCACCUGAGGAACAUAAGAGAAACACAAGCAACCAAAGGUCUUUAAAUUCAUUAGCAUAGGCUUAUAAGCAAACCAGGCCUCAAAAGGUGUCUGUUUCUGCAAUGCUUUUGUUGGUAGUCUAUUUAGCAAAAAUACUACUGUAUUUGCAGCUUCAACCCAAAAACUUUUUGGCAGCUCUUUCUCAUGCAAAAGACAUCUUGUCAUUGAUUACUACUCAAAAAGUGCUAUUUGAUAGCCUUUAAUUAAUCCUUUUUAACACUUUUGAGUAGUAGUUUAGGCCUUUUAACUCAAUUGGCAUGUUAAGGAUCCUUUAAAGCAAUUUUGAUCACUUUGUGCAAGUUUUGGUGUUUUUGUUAGUAUUUCGAUCACCAAAGCAAGUCAAGAAUGAGGAGAGCUAUGAGGAAUCUUGGGCAAAGCUUAGAAUUCAAUUGCCAAGAGUGAAUCCGGAUUGCAAGGAGAAAAAGCAAAGAGGAUCAGUCAUGGAGCAUAUUCUUGAUGACAGUCGUAGCAGCCACUUUUGGAUCACUUUCUGAAGUCCAAAUGAUGCAAGCUAUAUACCAUUUCAAAGCUCAGGAAGUCAACAAUCCAAUGCUUCAAACGGUGUGCGAUUCGGAAUUGAAACGAAGAAGUUGCAGCCAUUACAAGCCAGACACUCUAAAGUGUUGCGGAAUCAGCCAUGUGUUGCGAGAAUUUCGCAGCACUUUUGUACAGUAAGGUGUUUCUCCUUCUAACGAUGCACGAACCAUGCCGCGAGAAGGGAGCUGGAAACUUCAAGAUGGAAGCCAACUUUGCAGCCUAGUGAAGAUAGCUCGGUCUUGCAAGAUAAUUUCGCAGCCCUCUUGGGUGUCUGCGAAAUUUCGCAGGCCUCAUUUUUCACCUGCGAAAUGGCUCUUGAAGCCUCCCGAAGCUUGCUACCGACAUUGGGAGAUAUUUUCCAUUAGAUUUUUGUUGUCUAAAUCCCAAAAUACUCCUUGUAAACCACCAAUUACAUGAUUCCUUAGUUUUUAAGUUAGUAAAAAGACCAAAUAUCUUUGUAACAAUUAGUUUUAUAUUUUGUUGUUAUAAAUACCUCUCGGGAGCCUGUUCUCAGGGAGGAGUUCCUUCUGUAAACGUUUGGUAAGCAAGUAAAGUCUAUUUUCUUUCUACUGCCUUACCUUCUCACUUUGUAUUUUCAUUUUAUUUCUAAGUUAUGAAUUCUCUGAGGAGUUUUCCCCAAAGAAUGAGUAACUAAACCUCCAAUUCCUUGGAGCUAAGGUUGCCGGGGAAGGUUCCAAGUGCAAGAAUGCAAAGCUCUGUGGUUUUAGCUAGUAAUGAAGAGGAAGUGAAAUCCUUUAGUGAUUUCAAUGUUUUUAGUUAACUUAAAACACUUUGGAGUCACCUGGGCCAACACUUGGUAAGGCAAGUGAUUUCCAACCAUGGAAAUGCACUAGUUUACCCCUUGCGAGCCUCUGGUAGGUGACUUCAAGGUAGGAUUUUCUGGAAUUACCAACACUUGGUAAGCUUUUGGACUCCUAGGAGACAUCCAUUAGUUAUCUCUUGCGAGUUUGUGAAGGGAAUCCAAGGUUAAAGAUCACCUUGAAUGGUAAGUGCUCGUGAGAGGCAUGAACCAUUGCAAGUUGUAUCAGUGAGAGAAUUAAAGUGAAAUCUAAUUGAAGGAGUCUUUGUACAUCACCGGUUAGAGAAUUGACUAUAAGUUGAAUCUCUAAUGCGAGGAAAUGAACCAACUGACCAGAGCCGUGUCUUUUGCAUGAGGAACCACCCCAGUGAACCUAAAUCUCCAAGGAAUGUUUUUUUCUUCCUAAAUUAUUCCAAACUUCUGUUAAGUUAGUUAGUUUAAAUCUCAACCUUUACAAAUCAAAGUUUGUGUUUUAUUCCUUAAGCUAACCGUGAAAUGAAACAAGACCAAUUCACUUGGAAUUGGUAUCAUUGAUUGCCUGCAAAUCAUUCCCAGUGAACGAUCCUAGAGCCACUAUACUAUAGUAGCUUUGUAUUUGCUACCCUAGUGUAUGGUGUUAUAGGUAUAAAUUUUGUUGAUCACUUCCUCAAUCAAGGAGCACCAGCUGAACACAAAUCAGCUGAGACACCAAUUAGGCAUGAGUCAAAUGGCGCCGUUGCCGGGGAAUGAAUGUCAAGUUCAUUGUGAUACCAUUGUUGAGCACUUGUGAUUUUCAUCACAAGUUGGUAAAGUUUCUUUCACUUUACUAAUUUUCAUUCUUUCUUUGUUUAUUUACAAUCUAAGUUUAUCUUUUUAAAUUUUAGUCUAGUUUAAUUUUGUUGUUGUAGCCCUGUUUUUCUUGUUGUCCUCUGUUUUCAUUUUUUUUUUCAGGUAGAUACUAGUUGUGUAUGCCCAAGUGGAUACGAGACAUAGGAGGUAGGCUUGUUAAGUGUGAUACACCUCAGAAAGGAGAAUUUGAAGUAAUCUUGAAUAUCAUGGAGGCUGCACCUGAAGAUCAGCAUAGUCACCAAGGUCGUCAAGACAAUCUCAAUGAAUUCAGAUCAAUGAGGGACCGUAUGCAUCCACCUCGUAUGAGUACACCAUCAUGUAUAGUGCCCCCUACAGAGCAGCUAGUGAUCAGACCAUAUCUUGUUCCACUUCUACCAACUUUCCAUGGGAUGGAAAGUGAGAAUCCGUAUGCACACAUCAAGGAAUUUGAAGAUGUUUGUAAUACAUUCCAAGAAGGAGGAGCUUCAAUUGACUUGAUGAGGCUUAAGUUAUUUCCUUUUACUUUAAAGGAUAAGGCCAAAAUUUGGCUUAAUUCUUUAAGGCCAAGGAGUAUCCGCUCUUGGACUGAUUUACAAGCUGAGUUCCUUAAGAAAUUUUUUCCUACUCAUAGAACAAAUGGCUUGAAAAGGCAAAUUUCAAACUUCUCAGCUAAAGAGAAUGAGAAAUUCUAUGAGUGUUGGGAAAGAUACAUGGAAGCUAUAAAUGCUUGUCCUCACCAUGGCUUUGAUACUUGGCUAUUGGUGAGCUAUUUUUAUGAUGGUAUGUCCUCCUCAAUGAAGCAACUCCUCGAGACAAUGUGUGGAGGAGAUUUCAUGAGCAAAAAUCCAGAGGAAGCUAUGGAUUUCUUGAGCUAUGUAGCUGAUGUUUCAAGGGGAUGGGAUGAACCAACUAAAGGAGAAGUGGGAAAGAUGAAGUCUCAGUUGAAUGCUUACAAUGCAAAGGCUGGGAUGUAUAAUUUGAAAGAAGAUGAUGACAUGAAAGCAAAGUUGGCAGCUAUGACAAGAAGAUUGGAGGAGCUGGAGCUGAAAAGAAUGCAUGAAGUGCAAGCUGUUGCUGAAGCACCAGUGCAAGUGAAGCUGUGUCCCAAUUGUCAAUCAUUUGAACAUUUGGUGGAGGAGUGCCCUGCAAUUUCAGUUGAAAGGGAAAUGUAUAGAGAUCAAGCAAAUGUUGUUGGACAAUUUAGGCCCAAUAACAAUGCUCCUUAUGGAAAUACCUACAAUUCAAGUUGGAGGAAUCAUCCAAAUUUCUCAUAGAAGGCCAGAGCAACUCAAUACCAACAGCCGGAUCCACCAUCUCAGCAAUCUUCAAGUAUUGAACAAAUAAUAGCCAAUCUCAGCAAGGUAGUGGGAGAUUUUGUGGGAAAGCAAGAAGCCACCAAUGCUCGAGUUGAUCAAAGAAUGGAUAGAAUGGAGAGUGUGUUGAACAAAAGAAUGGAUGGAAUGCAAAAUGAUAUGAACCAAAAGUUUGAUAACAUCCAAUAUUCAAUUUCAAGGCUUACAAAUUUGAAUACACUGCAAGAAAAAGGAAGAUUUCCUUCUCAACCUAACCAAAAUCCCAAAGGUGUCCAUGAAGUGGAAAGCCAUGAGGGAGAAUCAUCACAGGUGAAAGAUGUGAAAGCUUUGAUCACUCUAAGGAGUGGUAAGAAAAUUGAGCAGCCAACACCCAUGCCACAUGUUGAGAAAGAAGAAGGGAUAAAGAAAGGAAAGGAAAUAGAAGAUAAAGACAGUGAGAUCAGUGAAGAAAAGAAGGACUCUGAUUCAACAAUCAAAGCAAUUCCAGAGAAAGAGCUUCUGAAGGAAGAAAUGCUGAAGAAAUCAACUUUUCCACCUUUUCCUCAAGCAUUACAGGGGAAAAAGGGGGUUAGAAAUGCAGCUGAAAUCCUUGAAGUCUUAAGACAAGUAAAAGUUAAUAUUCCACUGCUGGAUAUGAUCAAACAAGUUCCAACGUAUGCAAAAUUCCUAAAGGACUUGUGUACUAUCAAAAGAGGGGUUGACUGUAAACAAGAAAGCCUUCUUGACUGAGCAAGUAAGUGCAAUCUUACAAUGCAAGUCUCCUUUGAAGUACAAAGACCCUGGAAGUCCUACCAUUUCAGUCAUGAUUGGAGGAAAGGUAGUGGAGAAAGCCUUGCUAGACUUGGGAGCAAGUGUGAAUUUGCUUCCAUACUCUGUCUACAAGCAACUGGGACUUGGAGAGUUGAAGCCAACAGCAAUCACUUUAUCUUUGGCAGAUAGAUCAGUGAAAAUUCCAAGAGGAGUAAUUGAGGAUGUAUUGGUUCAAGUGGAUAAUUUCUACUAUCCAGUAGAUUUUGUUGUUCUUGAUACUGAUCCAACUGUAAAGGAAGCUAAUUUAGUUCCUAUCAUCCUUGGAAGGCCAUUUCUUGCAACUUCAAAUGCAAUCAUCAACUGUAGAAAUGGGCUUAUGCAACUCACUUUUGGUAACAUGACACUGGAUCUCAAUAUUUUCUAUAUGUCUAAAAAGCAAAUCACUCCUGAGGAAGAAGAAGGUCCAGAAGAGCUAUGUAUUAUUGAUACUUUGGUGGAGGAGCACUGCAAUCAGCAUAUGCAAGAUAAGUUGAAUGAAAGUCUUGUGGAUAUUGAGGAAGGUUUUUCUGAAUCUCCUAUUGGGCUUGCUACUCUACAAAGUUGGAGAAAGAUAGAAGGAAUUCUACCUUUGUUCAAUGAAAAAGAGGAGGCAACUGUUGAAGAAGAAAUUCCAAAACUCAAUUUGAAGCCUUUACCUGUGGAGCUGAAAUAUACAUAUCUUGAAGCAAAUAAUCAAUGUCCUGUUGUGAUAUCCUCAUCUCUGACCAGUCAUCAAGAGAAUUGUUUAAUGGAAGUUCUCAUGAGGUGUAAGAAGGCAAUAGGAUGGCAAAUAUCUGACUUGAAAGGCAUUAGUCCUUUAGUUUGUACUCAUCAUAUAUAUAUGGAGGAGGAAGCAAAGCCAAUUCGUCAAUUUCAAAGAAGGUUGAAUCCUCAUCUACAAGAGGUGGUGCGAGCUGAGGUGCUGAAGCUACUUCAAGCAGGAAUCAUUUACCCUAUUUCUGAUAGCCCUUGGGUGAGUCCUACUCAAGUGGUACCAAAGAAGUCAGGGAUCACAGUGAUUCAAAAUGAAAAAGGGGAAGAAAUUACUACACGCCUCACUUCAGGUUGGAGGGUGUGUAUUGAUUAUAGAAAGCUGAAUGCUGUCACCAGGAAGGAUCAUUUUCCAUUGCCAUUUAUUGAUCAAGUGCUGGAGAGAGUCUCUGGACAUCCAUUUUAUUGUUUCUUGGAUGGGUAUUCAGGCUAUUUUCAAAUUGAAAUUGAUUUGGCAGAUCAGGAAAAGACCACUUUUACAUGUCCAUUUGGAACAUUUGCUUAUAGAAGAAUGCCUUUUGGUUUAUGCAAUGCACCUGCUACAUUUCAAAGAUGUAUGUUGAGUAUUUUCAGUGAUAUGGUGGAGAGAAUUAUGGAGGUUUUCAUGGAUGACAUCACCGUAUAUGGAGGUACAUUUGAGGAGUGCUUGGUUAAUUUGGAAGCAGUUCUUCAUAGAUGCAUUGAAAAAGAUUUGGUGCUGAACUGGGAGAAAUGCCAUUUUAUGGUACGUCAAGGAAUUGUCCUUGGCCAUAUCAUCUCUGAAAGAGGCAUUGAAGUUGAUAAAGCAAAGGUGGAGCUUAUUGCCAAAUUACCAUCUCCAACAACUGUGAAAGGAGUAAGACAGUUCCUUGGCCAUGCAGGGUUCUAUAGGAGGUUUAUAAAAGGUUUUUCAAGUCUUUCAAAACCUCUUUGUGAGCUGUUAGCUAAGGAUGCUAAGUUUAUAUGGGAUGAAAGGUGUCAGCAUAGCUUUGAUCAACUGAAGAAGUUUUUAACAACAACUCCAAUAGUGAGAGCCCCUAACUGGCAAUUACCUUUUGAACUGAUGUGUGAUGCCAGUGACUUUGCUAUAGGAGCUGUGCUUGGCCAAAGAGAAGAUGGGAAGCCCUAUGUGAUUUACUAUGCAAGUAAAACACUAAAUGAAGCUCAGAGGAACUACACAACUACAGAGAAAGAAUUGUUAGCUGUGGUAUUUGCUUUGGACAAAUUUCGAGCUUAUUUAGUGGGGUCUUUCAUCAUUGUCUUCACUGACCAUUCAGCCUUGAAGUAUUUAUUGACAAAGCAAGAUGCAAAAGCAAGGUUGAUUAGAUGGAUUCUAUUGUUACAAGAGUUCGAUCUUCAAAUCAAAGAUAAGAAAGGAGUGGAGAAUGUAGUAGCUGACCACUUGUCAAGGUUAGUUAUAGCACAUAAUUCCCAUCCCUUGCCUAUCAAUGAUGAUUUUCCUGAAGAAUCACUCAUGUUCCUAGUGAAAACUCCUUGGUAUGCUCAUAUUGCUAAUUAUUUAGUAACUGGGGAAAUUCCAAGUGAGUGGAAUGCACAGGACAGGAAGCACUUCUUUGCCAAAAUUCAUGCUUAUUAUUGGGAAGAGCCCUUUCUCUUUAAGUAUUGUGCAGAUCAGAUUAUUAGGAAGUGUGUCCCUGAAGAUGAGCAGCAAGGGAUUCUAUCUCAGUGUCAUGAGAAUGCAUGUGGAGGCCACUUUGCCUCUCAGAAAACAGCCAUGAAGGUAUUACAAUCAGGGUUUACUUGGCCAUCUCUUUUCAAAGAUGCCCACAUCAUGUGUAGAAAUUGUGAUAGAUGCCAAAGGCUUGGAAAGCUAACAAAAAGAAAUCAAAUGCCUAUGAACCCCAUUCUGAUAGUUGAGAUAUUUGAUGUUUAGGGCAUUGACUUCAUGGGACCUUUCCCAAUGUCUUUUGGUAAUUCUUACAUUUUGGUGGGGGUAAAUUAUGUUUCUAAAUGGGUUGAGGCAAUCCCCUGUAAGCAAAAUGAUCACAGGGUGGUUCUCAAGUUUCUUAAAGAGAACAUUUUCUCAAGAUUUGGGGUGCCCAAGGCCAUAAUCAGUGAUGGAGGAGCUCAUUUUUGCAACAAACCUUUUGAAGCUCUGUUAUCCAAGUAUGGAGUGAAGCAUAAGGUAGCCACACCUUAUCAUCCUCAGACAUCCGGGCAAGUUGAGCUAGCUAACAGGGAAAUAAAGAACAUUUUGAUGAAAGUGGUGAAUUCCAACAGAAAAGAUUGGUCUAUUAGGCUUCAUGAUUCAUUGUGGGCAUAUAGAACAGCUUAUAAAACUAUUCUUGGGAUGUCUCCCUAUCGUCUUGUCUAUGGCAAAGCAUGCCAUCUCCCUGUGGAAGUUGAAUACAAAGCUUGGUGGGCAAUAAAGAAGCUGAAUAUGGACUUGAUCAAGGCCGGAGAAAAGAGAUUUCUAGACCUUAAUGAGAUGGAGGAAUUAAGAAAUAAUGCUUAUAUCAAUUCCAAAGUUGCAAAACAGAGGAUGAAGAAGUGGCAUGAUCAACUCAUCUCCAACAAGGAAUUUCAGGAAGGGCAAAAAGUUUUGAUGUAUGACACAAGACUCCAUAUCUUUCCUGGGAAGCUCAAAUCAAGGUGGAUUGGUCCAUUUGUUAUUCACCGAGUAUAUUCCAAUGGAGUGGUGGACUUAUUGAAUUCCAAUGGCAAGGAUAGCUUUAAAGUCAAUGGAUAUCGUCUCAAGCCGUUCAUGGAGUCAUUCAAAUCAGAAAAGGAGGCAAUCAACCUCCUUGAACCUCAAAAAGCCUAAGUGAAAAGGGUUUGCUGGACGUGGCUUUACCACAGUCCAAAAUUUUUGUAAAUUUUGUAAAUUUUCAAGUUGUUUCUAUACUUUUGAUUUUAGUUUUUGAUCUUAAAUCAUGUUUUUAGGUGUGUUUUAAUCGUUUUAAAUGAUCCCAGGUGGAAGAAAUUUCAAGGGGAUUGAAAGAAAAAAAAUCGGGUCGAAAUUGGAGCCGAAACAGAGCAAAAACAGGGGAAAAACAGAGCUCUGCGAAAUUUCGCAGGGUGAAGGAAACCUCUGCGAAAUGAGCAUUUUGUUGCGAAACCAUUCCGCAGCACUGUAGAAGCCUCUGCGAGUGUAUUUCGCAGCUGCGAAAGUGAAUUUGGCACACGAGUGCCACUUCGCAGUACAGUAGCAUCCAUUUGGCAGCUGCGAAACUCAUUGCGAAAUGGAAAAGCGUGAUUUCGCACCAAAAGUCCCAUUCCGCAGGGUAUUUCGCAAUUGCGAAAGUGGUUUUGGCACACGAGUGCCACUCCGCAGCACAGUAACAUCAAUUUCGCAGCUGCGAAACUCACUGCGAAGUUGCUGCGAAAAUGGCAAGUUGCUGCGAAAUUGGCGUUUAGUUGCGAAACUUAAACUGACCCCUGAGCUUCCGUUUUUCCUAUUUAUACCGGUCAAAAGUGCUGCGAAAAGGGUUUCAAAAAUCAGAGCACCAUUCUCGCAGCCCCUUCAUCUUCUUCGCCAAGCCACGCCGUCCGAACCUCCGGUCGUCUUCUCCGUUUAGCAGCGCCGGCCAAAGAUCGAUAUUCCAAAAUGGCACGAACGCGAGGGGCAAAAUCUUCAUCCCCUUCGAAUCGCAAAAGGAGUCUGCGAAAGGAGCCAAGUCCAGGUUCUGCUCCAGAACCUGCUCCAAAGCCUUCGCCGUCGAGACCACAACCUUCUCCAGUGAAGCCGGCGCCACUAAAGCCGCCGGCAAGACGAUAUUUGACAAGGUCAGGCGGUUGGCCAUUGAAGAAGAAGCCCAGGGUUGAGAGCUCUGAACCAAUUGAUUUGACUGAGCAAUCCCCUGAGCAGUCCCCAAAUCCUUCACCAGUUCAAACUCCAGUGCCGUCACCGGUUCCCUCGCCAAUUCCCUCACCUGAAGCAACUCCAAUUCCAUCGUCGGUACCAUCUCCGGCACCCCAAGAAAAAGCUCAGGAGCCUCAAGCGCCAAUUCCAGAGCCCCAAAUUGCAGCUGAAGCACCUCUGGAAGAAGUGAUCCGAAGGCCAAUGCUGCCCCAGCCCCCAAUCGAAGGAAACUUGGAUUGUCGAACACGGGCAUUCCAUUCUGAGCUUUGCUUCGAUUUAACAGCAUUCAGAGUGAGGCCAGAGCUUGCCCAAUCCUUCCAGCUGCUGAGGAGAUAUCAUAUGGAGCAUCUGCUAGCUCCAAGGGAUUUUUUCUAUCCCCGGGUAGUCACGGACUUCUACCAGACCAUGACAACCAAAGAAGUAAGAAAUCCAACUCUGAUCCAUUUCAUAAUUGAUGGAAGGCAUGGUAUUUUGGGAGCAAGACACAUUGCUGAAGCUCUGCAAAUUCCUUUUGAGCCAACCCAAUUCGACAAUUUUAAAGCUUGGGUAAAUCCUACUGAGUUAGAGAUGGUUCGCACACUAACCAGAGGAGCUGCAAAUCGAUCACACCUGUUGAGGGGGGAGCUACCUCCAGUGAUGUUUUUGAUUGAUGCCUUUUUGAGGCAUAAUAUCUAUCCCCUGCAGCAUUGGACCCAAAGAAGGGGAAUUCUCCUGGAAGCUUUGUACAAGAUGUCAGAAGGAUUCUUCUUUGGGCCCCAUCAUCUUAUCAUGGCAGCCCUUCUAUACUUUGAGGAAAAGGUUCACAAGAAGAAACUUCAAAGAGCAGAUUGCAUUCCACUCCUCUUCCCAAGGCUGCUAUGCCAAGUUUUGGAGCAUCUCGGAUACCCCUCUGAGCCUCAGCAGGAAAGAAAGAGAAUAUGCCGUGAGCCAUUUACUCUUGAUAAAUGGAAUAAUAUGACGGCCUACAAAAUUGAUCAGCCUGGGCAGCCUCAGCCAGCAGCAAGGAGAGCCUCCCCAAGACAUGCACCUGAAGGUAUAACACUUGCUACUCCUGCCAUCCCUCGAGCUUCACCAGCUGCACCUGCUGCAUCACAGCCAUCCACAUCAGCUGAGCCGAGGAUGGCCAUCCCUAUAUCCGAAUAUCGAGAGCUGUGCCGAGCAUUGGAGACUCUUACAGCUUCCCAGAGCAAUCUUGCUCAAGAGUUGGCAGCCAUCAAAGCAUGCCAGGAGCAGAUGUUAGCCUCUCAGGCUCAACAAGCUGCCAUCCUAAGGCAGCUUCAAGUCCAUUUCGAUCUGCCACAAGCUGUAGAGCCCUCCACUGAGACUCCACCAGAGCCACACUCUCAGCCUUCAGAGUCUCUUCCUCCAGAGCCAGAAGCCCCAACUGAUCCACCUACAGAGGAGGCGGAUCCUUCUGCUUAGCACCAUCACCCCACUCAUCAGACAUUAUAUAUAUUUGCUGUUUAUGUUUUUAUGCAUGUUUGUUUUGUUUUAGUUGAAAUGAAAUCCCAGUAUUUUGGUACUAUAUAUGGGAUUCCUUGUGAUUACUUGUCCUUAGCAUUGUACUCGAAUGAAUUGAAAGUAAUACAAGUUGAAUUUUUCUUGUUAAAAGUUAGCAUUAAAAUUCUCCUUAUUUCCUUUUCUCACAUAUUCUAUUCUUUUUGAAACAUGUGGUUUUCCCCAAUCAAUAUUCGAAUUUGAUAUCAGCAUGGAGGUACCACUUCCUCCCUUUUAUUACAGUCACUCAAAUCACAUUGAGGACAAUGCUCAGUUCGGUUGGGGGGUAUGAGGAAGGAAGUAUUCUAAAUCUUUUUGGUAUUGCAAUUAUAUUGGUUAAUUAGUUGUAGAUUUUACGUUUUACUCUUGUUACUCUAUUCUCCAUGAAUUUUGAGGAAAAAUUUUCAAAUUAAACCAAGAGAAAUUGAACUGUUGUUUUUCACUUGACUUAGAGUAUGGAUUAUGCUUACUAAAGUGGUUCAAUUGUUGAAACUUCUACUGAAAUUGAAUUGAGUUCUUCCAUUUUAAGCUAUCCACACACUGUGCACAUUAGUUUCUGAUUAUAAGAUGAAAAGCUAUUUCCCUCUUGACUUAGGAUAAUUUUGGGACUUGGUAUAUUUGACCUCAUUUGAUAAAAAUUGAAACACCCUGCAAAAGGCCAAUGAGCCUUUGAAAUAAAGAAAGAUGUUUGCUUGCCUUGAAACCCGAGCAAGGUCUGAGGGGCAUAUGGUGAAAGCCUUUAAAGCCUGGUGCCCUAAGCCUUAAUUGGUUGGGAGUCACCGACCUCAAUGCUCGUUACAAGGGUGAAUAGGUAGAGCUAGCAUAUGGUAGAUGCUUGGGUAUUAGAAAUUCAUUCUUAAAAGUCCAGGGAAAAAUCCGAGGAGUUAGUGGUUGAAAGAUCCUUAAAACUUGGUGCCCUAAACCUUAAUUGGUUGGGAGUCAUCGAUGGACCCCCAUUACAUGGACAAGUCAGAAAGAGUACCCCAUAAAGCUACUUUAAAAAAAAAAAAAAAAAAAAAAAAAAGAUGAUGAAAGUGUGUUCUUUUCUUAUUGAUUUUGGUCAGAUUGCUAAAGUGUUGAAAAGAGAUAGGUUGGGGGGGGAGACUAGUUUAGCAUAUUAUUCUCGGAAUCUAAGGAACCAAUACACAUAGAUUUUUGUGGAAGAUUGAAGUUUAGUUCUUAGAAAGUGAAAUGAUUUUAAAACUUCAGUUUGCAUAAUGCACUCCCUUGAUUGACAGUGUUUAGCAUAGGUGUUAUGACUCUUGUUGAGAUUUGGGUUUGUAUUUCUUUAAUGAUUCAUGUGAGAAGUAAAUCAUCAUGCCACUUAAGAAUUAUUUUCCUUUCAGCAUGAUGUUGUAAAUUUUAGAUUAGUUUGCUAUUUAUUUUUAUUUUUCUCUCCUUUAUUGCUAAGGGACUAGCAAUAUGUCGGUUGGGGGGAGUGAUUACUACUCAAAAAGUGCUAUUUGAUAGCCUUUAAUUAAUCCUUUUUAACACUUUUGAGUAGUAGUUUAGGCCUUUUAACUCAAUUGGCAUGUUAAGGAUCCUUUAAAGCAAUUUUGAUCACUUUGUGCAAGUUUUGGUGUUUUUGUUAGUAUUUCGAUCACCAAAGCAAGUCAAGAAUGAGGAGAGCUAUGAGGAAUCUUGGGCAAAGCUUAGAAUUCAAUUGCCAAGAGUGAAUCCGGAUUGCAAGGAGAAAAAGCAAAGAGGAUCAGUCAUGGAGCAUAUUCUUGAUGACAGUCGUAGCAGCCACUUUUGGAGCACUUUCUGAAGUCCAAAUGAUGCAAGCUAUAUACCAUUUCAAAGCUCAGGAAGUCAACAAUCCAAUGCUUCAAACGGUGUGCGAUUCGGAAUUGAAACGAAGAAGUUGCAGCCAUUACAAGCCAGACACUCUAAAGUGUUGCGGAAUCAGCCAUGUGUUGCGAGAAUUUCGCAGCACUUUUGUACAGUAAGGUGUUUCUCCUUCUAACGAUGCACGAACCAUGCCGCGAGAAGGGAGCUGGAAACUUCAAGAUGGAAGCCAACUUGGCAGCCUAGUGAAGAUAGCUCGGUCUUGCAAGAUAAUUUCGCAGCCCUCUUGGGUGUCUGCGAAAUUUCGCAGGCCUCAUUUUUCACCUGCGAAAUGGCUCCUGAAGCCUCCCGAAGCUUGCUACCGACAUUGGGAGAUAUUUUCCAUUAGAUUUUUGUUGUCUAAAUCCCAAAAUACUCCUUGUAAACCACCAAUUACAUGAUUCCUUAGUUUUUAAGUUAGUAAAAAGACCAAAUAUCUUUGUAACAAUUAGUUUUAUAUUUUGUUGUUAUAAAUACCUCUCGGGAGCCUGUUCUCAGGGAGGAGUUCCUUCUGUAAACGUUUGGUAAGCAAGUAAAGUCUAUUUUCUUUCUACUGCCUUACCUUCUCACUUUGUAUUUUCAUUUUAUUUCUAAGUUAUGAAUUCUCUGAGGAGUUUUCCCCAAAGAAUGAGUAACUAAACCUCCAAUUCCUUGGAGCUAAGGUUGCCGGGGAAGGUUCCAAGUGCAAGAAUGCAAAGCUCUGUGGUUUUAGCUAGUAAUGAAGAGGAAGUGAAAUCCUUUAGUGAUUUCAAUGUUUUUAGUUAACUUAAAACACUUUGGAGUCACCUGGGCCAACACUUGGUAAGGCAAGUGAUUUCCAACCAUGGAAAUGCACUAGUUUACCCCUUGCGAGCCUCUGGUAGGUGACUUCAAGGUAGGAUUUUCUGGAAUUACCAACACUUGGUAAGCUUUUGGACUCCUAGGAGACAUCCAUUAGUUAUCUCUUGCGAGUUUGUGAAGGGAAUCCAAGGUUAAAGAUCACCUUGAAUGGUAAGUGCUCGUGAGAGGCAUGAACCAUUGCAAGUUGUAUCAGUGAGAGAAUUAAAGUGAAAUCUAAUUGAAGGAGUCUUUGUACAUCACCGGUUAGAGAAUUGACUAUAAGUUGAAUCUCUAAUGCGAGGAAAUGAACCAACUGACCAGAGCCGUGUCUUUUGCAUGAGGAACCACCCCAGUGAACCUAAAUCUCCAAGGAAUGUUUUUUUCUUCCUAAAUUAUUCCAAACUUCUGUUAAGUUAGUUAGUUUAAAUCUCAACCUUUACAAAUCAAAGUUUGUGUUUUAUUCCUUAAGCUAACCGUGAAAUGAAACAAGACCAAUUCACUUGGAAUUGGUAUCAUUGAUUGCCUGCAAAUCAUUCCCAAUGAACGAUCCUAGAGCCACUAUACUAUAGUAGCUUUGUAUUUACUACCCUAGUGUAUGGUGUUAUAGGUAUAAAUUUUGUUGAUCACUUCCUCAAUCAAGGAGCACCAGCUGAACACAAAUCAGCUGAGACACCAAUUAGGCAUGAGUCAGUCAUCUCCAUUAUUGUUUUAUUUUUUCUUUCCACCACCCCAUUUUGUUGUGGGGUGUAUGGUGCAAUGAGCUGGUGAUCUAUGCCUGCAUCUUCACAAAAUUUGUUGAAUUUUUCUGAAGUAUAUUCUGUACCAUUAUUCGACCUUAUAACCUUGAUUCUGUAUUCACUUUGAUUUUCAACCAUGGCCUUAUAUCUCAAAAACACAUCAGCAACCUCAGCUUUGUAAGUGAGAAAAUAAAUCCAACAAAAUCUUGUGAAGUCAUCAAUAAAUGCAAUAUAGUACUUACUCCCUUUCAAAGAUGGUGUCUUUUGAGGUCCACUCACAUCUGUGUGAACCAAUUGUAGUUUCUGUGUUGAUUUCCAUGCUGCUUUUUGAGGAAAAGGAAGUCUUGUUUGCUUCCCAUAUUGAUAGGCUGCACAUAUAGGAAGUUCUUCUUCCAAAUCAGGGAGUCCUUCUACAAUCUAAUUCUUCUUCAUGUAGAGCACGGUAUUGUGGUGGAAAUGCCCUAAUCUUUUAUGCCAAAGCAUUGUAUUGUUCUCGUGUUGUGCAGCAGUAAUUUGCUCAUCUUCUAACAUAUUUAAGGCAAAACUUUUGCCUUUCAUUUUUAUGUUGAACACCUCUUUGCCUUCAGCAUCCUUGAUUAUGCAAUUUUUGUCUUCAAAACAAACUUUAAACCCUUUCUCAACAAGCUGUCCAACACUUAGCAAAUUUUGGUCAAUGUCAGGCACAAACAAAACAUCAGAAAUGAGCUUUAAACCUGUUAGGCUUUCAAUAGCUAAUGUUCUUUUACCUUUUACUGGAAUAUACUCACCAUUUCCUAUUCUAACUUUGGAAAUAGUUGUCCUAUCAAUCUCCCUAAAGCGAUCUUGAUCAUGUCAUGUGGUUUGUGCAACCACUGUCCACGAGCCAGCUUUCAGAGGUGCUACCGUUUGCAAAACAUGUUGCUGAAAAUAGUUGUUCCUCCUGGUAUUGUUCAGCUGCUACAUUGGUUUCUCCCUGCUGCUGCUGAGUUCUACAGAUCCUUUCUAUGUGUCCAUGUCUACCACAUUUGUUGCAUUUCACAUCUGGUCUCCACCAACAUUUUUGUUGAGGAUGAUUUGUUUUCUUGCAAUGAGGACAGGGUGGAUAGGUUCCAGUUUUUUUAUUGUUGUUGUUGCUUGGCUUAUUGUUGUUCUUUUUGUUCUUCCUCCUUCUUGUGUUACCUUCAUUGGUCUGUGUCUUUGCUUGAAAAGCUCCUUCUACAGAACUUCCUUGCCUCAUGAGUCUUCUUUGUUCCAAAGCUUGUAAAGCAUUUAGUAGUUCUGCCAAGGUGAUACUUGACAAAUCUUUUGUGUUUUCCAAAGAAGAAAUUGUAGCUUCAUAUUUUUCAGGAAUUGUGACAAAAUUGUUUUGAACAACUCUUUCAUCAGAAAACUCUUUACCUAGCAACCUCACCUUGUUUGCUAUGGUAAGAAGUUGUUCUGCAUAAUCUUUUAUGGUUUGAGACUCUUUCAUCCUCACCAUUUCAAAUUCUCGAAUUAGAUUCAUUACCUGCACAUUUCUGACUCUUUCAUUGCCUUGAUAUUCUUCCCGUAGAUGCUUCCAGAUUUCUGCAACAGAUUCAAGUUGCAUGAUUCUGGUGAGAAUUAAUGGUGAGACUACAGAAAAUAAGCAAGCCUUGGCCUUAGCCUUCCUCGUCUUUUUCUCCUUAUGGUUUUUCAUCUGUGACACAGUUGGAUUGGCUCCAAGUGGAGAAAUUUCAUAAUCUUCCUCUAUUGCUUCCCAGACAUCAAGAGCCUGUAGAUGAACAGUCAUCCUGACAGCCUAAGUUUGGUAAUUUUCUCCAUUGAAGACUAGUGGUGCUGCUGUGAAGCUUGCUUCUUCCAUUUCUGCAAGGUUUUCAGAUUCAGGUUUGGUAUACGGUGUUUAGGCUCACACACCUCACUGGUCCCUCAAGACAAAAAUUGCUCUGAUACCAAACUGUUGGAAGCAGGCGAGGUUAACACACCAAGCAACAGAGAACAGAGAUAUGCUGCUACUGAUCUAUAUUUUUUAUUUGAUCAUAAGGCUGAAUUUAUACAGAUUGUGUAACAUAUAUGACCUCAAAAAAAGCAUCAAAUCAAGCUACUUGUUGAACAAAAAACUACCUCCUACAAAAUAGCAUCAGAAUUUAACUUAAAAGCAAAAACAUAAUAAUAGCAACAGCAAAAACAGAAACAUAAAAAUAGCUUCAACAUUCUAGUAAUCUCAUUGACUUCAAUUGCAUGUGGUUGACGAUUUCAGCCUUUUCCUCAGCAGCUACUAAGGCAUAACUCUCAACAGGGCCUCUUAAUUUCCAUUCUGGCAUCUAUAUGACCUGAUAAAUAGAAAGAAAAAAAAACAGAAGAAAAGCGGCACCUGGGUUCAUAGUAAGCAUCAAGACAGGAUGCUGAAAGAAGGGAGAGAGGAGAUUGCAAGUCCAAUCCUGAUAAAAUAUCAACAAAGAGUAUUAAAUGGGGCCAACAUAAAGACCCAUUAAGGUCAGCAGAUGGCAUGGCAUUUUUCUCCUUAAGUUUUCCAUGAUUAGGCUUGAAGUCAAAAUUUCACAUGUAAAUUUGUAUUUCUACAUUUCCCACUGACGACACCCAACUUCAACUUGAGUUAGAAUAACAUUGUGUGAACUUAUCUGGCCCUCAAAAUUUACUGUGAAGUGCUUUCUGCGUGUGAAGAUUCAGAAAAGCACCAAGGGAACAUGUAUGGUCUGCCUUUUUCUGAUGUUAUGUUUGUCUCUAAUUCUGUUCCAUGUCAUGGUAAAUGUUCACAUUGCUUGUAUGGAACACACCAGGAUCACUUUUUCAGGUUUAGGGGGAUACAAAAGGCUUCAUAUUGGGUUCAAUGCUUUUAAUGUGUUCAUUGGACAAAUCUGAAUUAUCAUACGCAUUUAGAUAAGAACAAUAAUGUGAAACCCUAGUUACACCUCCCCUGCAUAACCCCAACCCUGCUUGCUCUAUUUCAGUUUACUCACAAGUUUUACUGGUUCUUAUAAGUCAAGAAAAGGCAACUGAUGUUGGAUCGACUCUCUUCCAUGUAAAAAAUGCAACUUUUAUACAUAUAAAAGAACUUCUUCCCCUCACCAAUGUGGGAUUUCAUAGAUUUAUUCUGGAAACACAUCAAAGGAACAUCUUUUCUCUUGGGUGACCCUAAGUGGUGAGUCAGAUCAUUUGCAUGCCAUUGAGUUGCACAGUUGGAUAAAUGCACCUGCCUCCUGGGCUCCAGAGUUAAAAGGGUGGAUCCCUGGAUUGCAACCCUCUUGGCAUCUUGGUUUCUAUUCCAACAUCCACAUGACUUGACAAAACAAAAAACAGAAUAAAAUCAGCACUAUAUUCAUGCUAAGCACCAAUACAUGAUGGAAAUCAUUGCUUAAAGAUUUGGGGUCGUUUUAGGUUUUGACUGCCUCCUACCACCUCACCUAAUGACAAGUUUUUAUGCUUACAAAUCAAAUAUCGUUCUUCAUUAUAUUAAAAUCAUUUUAAGAUUUCAGAUCCAUCUGCUAAUUAUGAUUAUGAUAACAUUUAUUCACCUGUGCUUCUCAUUUUCGACACACAAGGCAUCUAGGUUUGCAGGAUUUCCUUAUUAGAUGAGAUAAAUGAGUACGUAUGGUUAUGUAUCCAGCAUUCAUUAACCAUGGUAUGUGACAUUUAGAAUUAAGAUAGCAAGCAAACUUUCCCUGCAGCUAGAGUAAAUUGUGAUUUCUUAGCCUCUAUGAGUGGUUCCCAAAUCAAAUUAACAUAGUGAAAUAUACGUAGUCCAGUGAAAGGAAAUGUAAAUUAUAAACUAACAGCACUACACUACUGGUAACAAUCGAUACUCUCUAUAUAAUGCAAUAAACAAUGUCACAAUUGCCUACAAGCAAGGCACAAACACUAGAACAAGUAAAGCACAAACCUUUCCCAACAGUUCCCAGUGACUGAUGCAUAUCAUACCCUCAACUCACAGAAGGGGAUGAUAUCAGUGCACUGCAGCACUUAUUUUACACAUACUACCACUACUACUACUACUACUACUACUCAUUAGCCAAAGUCACUCAGUUGGGAUGAGUGUGAGGUAGAGGUUUGUGGGGUGCUAUGUGGAAAGGAGUUUGGCUUCUUCUCAGGAGAUGGUAGCUUCUUUGCAGGAGUUGAAGGAGGCUUAAUCUUCUGUGGUGGAUUGAUUGUAUGAGUCUUUGGCACUCUCUUCUCUAGUACAGGUGAAUACCCAGGGGUGCAUCCAUAAUGCGGUGGCUUCUAUCCCUUAGGUGGUUUGCCAAAUUCAAAAUCGAAGGAUUUUUUUUUUUUAAGUAUACGUAUCUUUGAAAGCUUUUAUUUUGUAUGGCAAAUGGAAUGAGAGGAGCAGUCAUAUUCUAUUUGGCCAGAGCAACAUAUCACAAAUGAACAAGCUAUUUACUGCCACACUGGGCAAAACAUACAUAAUCCUUGUACUUCAAACAUCCAUGAAUUCUCAUCAUUUUCAGGACACGUUGCAUGGUCUAUCAUUCUAUAUGUCGGCAUAGUAAGUGCAGCUAAUAAGCCUAUUCAGAGCUGAAAUUCAAAAUCUAUUCACAGGAUAAUGACCUUAUUAUUGGAUUUUGCUCACUGUCAUACACACAUAUCAGAUAAAGCCCCACAUGCUCAUAAGCUACAAGCAACCUACAAGCACUAAAAUGAGUGUUAGACGUAUGAAACAUUCCCCAAUACUAGUAGUAUUACCUGUUCCAUAGAACACUAAAUUAGAAGAGAGAAGAUGUGAGACUCCAGCUUUUCUUUCUACAUAUUACUCAUAUCAAGUUGGAAUAGUUAGGCGGUAGAGGCUUGGGGUGGCUUGUGUAGGGGACUAGGCAGCUUCUCUCAGGAGUUGAUUUCGUCUUAUUCUGGAUGUCCAGGUUUCGUCCUUUCGAAUUUCCCAUGCAAAUCAGCAUUCUCCUUGGGAAACUUCACUCCGUUGGGAAACUUGUGUGAAUCUUUGGCAUUCUCUACCAGAGAAGGCCCAGGGCAGUGACCAUAAGGUGGUGGCCUUUUUUCAGGUGGUGGCUCCUCUCCCACUGGAGGCUUGUGGUAAUCAGCAAGAGAGGCAGUGGAGAGAAUCAUCACCCCAAGGAACAGCACUAGCAAGUAUUUGUGAGCCAUAUUUGGGAUCUGAUGAUGAAGACUAGAAGAUAGGAGUUGCCUCAUAUAAUGGGUUGGAGACUAUAUCUCAAGGGGACGUGUAUUUAUGCAUAUGAUCUAUAUAGGACCAUCCUCCUAAUAUUUUCAAAAUAAUGUUAUUGUCUCUCUUGGGUGACAGUUUGAUUUGGUCUAUUUCCAUGCCACUGAGUAGAAAAGUUUGACAAUUGGCUACACCACCUACCUGGAUUACAUGGUUGAAAGUGAAGAUCAGUACAGUGUGAUCACACUUGACCUCUUGUUCCCCAUUCCAGUAUCUAAUUAACCUGACAAAAGUAAAAGGAAAGGAAAAAGGGAAAAAAUAGAAUAAUGUUCAAAUAAAAACGAGAAAAAAUAGCAUAAUGUUGAUGAAUCAUGAUAAGCAUCAAGGCAUGAUAGUGAGAGAGAGGAAAGAAGACAGUGUAAUUUGCAAUCCUGAUAAUCAUUAUAUAGCAGUAACUUUAAUCAUUUUUCUAUCACAGGGAACAUGACACUCAUCUUCCUAUGGAGAUAUUGCAUAAGUUUUUUUCUUUGUAUGUCAACACUAACCAAUGAAGCAUGUUAGCUGGUUUGAAACUGAAACUGUAGCCCUCUGUUUGGUUCUUGAAAAACUUGAGAGAAAAUGGAAGUAAAGUUAAAAGGAAAGAAAAAGUGAAAAAAAAUAAAAAUAGAUUGAAAGUUAACAAAUUAUUUUUACAUGUUCCCUCAAAUUUCUUUCACUUAUUUUUCCUUUUCUAUAUAAAGAUUAAAUGAUUUAAAAAUCAUAAAUUUCUAACUAAUUAUAACUAUAUUUGAUUUUCUUUCAUAUUUUCCAAGAUAAAGUCAGACAUGAGAAAAUCAUUUUCCUUAAAAAAGAAAUUCUUUCCUUUACAGUUUCUUAGAACCAAACCUGGCACAAAAGUCCAAAUUGGGGUUUCUCCAUGUUCCAUUUUUUAUGGCUACCUUUAUGGACCAUAUAAUAUAGAAUGUACUUCUGCAUACCUUCAAGAUCAAGCUGAACUAUAAGAAAAAGACAAGCCAUGGCCCACGGAGCAGGGAUACCAAGCUGCCUUCUCCUAGAUUAAGUUCCAAGAUUUCAGUCUUCAAACCUGCUAAAAGCUAAAGGCAUGUUUCCAGCCUGCGGCAGAUAACAUGCACUGUCCAACAAUAAAUUGCAAACACAUUCGAUGCAGUUUAUUAGUACAAUAAGAUUAAAUCCACCAAAUCUUUUACAGUUCAACCAACACUUGAACUAGUAGCUAGCUUCACUACUGGGUAAUAAUAUAUAAACCAAACUCUUGAUAGGAACCAACCUAUCGCAGAUCGAACUUCUUACAUCCACCAUGAAUUACUGAACCAAAAGAAGAAUCGAAGAGACUGCCAAGGAGGAAAGCCUUCCUAUAACUAGAUAUUUAUAUUCCAAAUUAGGGAGAGCACCCACUGCCCAGGCCUCGCCCAGCAUAAACAGAUAGUAUACAUAUACAUGCAAAAAGCUCCAACCUUCAAGAUUUUAACUAUUAACUUAACACAAUUAAAAAUGUAUCCAAAAAGCAAAUCCCCUUGAACUCCUGAAGCAAUUACUCCAACCAAAUAAAGAUUUUAAGAGUUCCAUGUUCAUAUCCUGCAAGGAAAUCAUUCAAUGUUCAGACCUCUAAUUUCUGUCUUUCUAAAUGCCCAGCCAAAAGGCAUAAAGUAUCAUCCAAAUUGGAUGCACAGCAUAUGUUCUUAAAUCAUGGGAUUUCACCAUAAGUUACUACACUCUAACAGGGCCCAGAAAUUGACCUCCAGAUAUGCCUAUCAAAAAAUUAUCCCCACAUACAUUUUUCUGCUGAAAAGACAAUAUUGUUACAUUUGACAUUCAACCACUACUUGAACUCAACAACCAGGGAAAAGAAUAUAGUAUUUCUACCAAUGAGGAUGAGAGGGGCUGGUGAAUUAACAGGUAAAAGUUUGUUUUGGGUUCAUUGUUUGCAUAAUAAUGUAAAAAUGGAGUAGUAUAUUAUAAAUUAAUGUAAAAAUGGAUUAGCAUAACAUAAAUUGCCAUAAGAGAACCACAAACUACAAAGAAACUUAUUUUCCAAACAAGGAAAAUUAUUCAUAGCCAUUAUUACAUAAGAAAGGAAAUUGAUAAAAUUAUUAUCCAGUUCCCCAUCAGGAAAUAUGAAAGUACUCCUAAAAGCCUCAAUUCUAACCAGAAAACCAUAGAAAUGUAUUAGAAAUAUUGUACAGGGUUCUCUCCAAUAUUAGCUUCAGUUGCUAAGGAGAUCAGAACCUUGAAAGUAAGUCACAAAGGUCGUGUGGGUUUCCCAGAGUCUUCAACAACCAGUAUUCACAUAUGUACACAUUAAAAUUAAAUAAAGCAGGUAUCAAUUCCACAGGCUUUAAGAUUUGAAUUGCUUCUCCCUGGAAUCAUACACCACUCAUAUUGUCACUGACUUUCAAUUACUUCUCCCUGCGAUCAUAUGCCACUCAUAUUGUCACUGCCUUAGGGAACAAAGUGAAAAUCUGCAAUUUCAAUUAAUUCCAACAUAAAAAUAAAAAUCAAUCCUCAAAAAAUGGAUUGCCAGGAGGUAAAUAUAAUAGAAGACGAACAACUCUCACAACCAAGUUAAAGAAACCAGCCGCUAGGUACCUUUGAGUUCUAUACUACCAGGAACAAAUUGGAUGAGAUUAUUUAAAGGCUAUUCCACAGUGGAAAUUCAUUCGUUCAAAAAACAUUUGUCAUGCAUAUAGGCAAUCUAUCCUAUGCAUUCAUACAUCAUGGUCUCAUGCAAUCUUAAUAAAAGUGGUCCUGGAAAAAGAGAGAAAAAAGUAAUUACAAGCCUGUGCGACCAGAUUUCUUUUGUUUUUUUUUUUUUUUUCCUUUGCCAAACAACCAUGUUCAUAGUUUCAGAAGUUCAUUCUGUCUUUAAGAGACCAUGGCAGUGACUUGGCCAUUCAGCUAAGANNNNNNNNNNNNNNNNNNNNNNNNNNNNNNNNNNNNNNNNNNNNNNNNNNNNNNNNNNNNNNNNNNNNNNNNNNNNNNNNNNNNNNNNNNNNNNNNNNNNUCACCAAGGACUCCUCAACCUCAAAAUAAUAGAGAAAGUCUAGGACACCAUGUCACUACUGAGGACAACCCAACACCACAACAUUUCAGUCCGUUCAAAAAGAGUAAUUGGAAUUGUUGCAAAAAAUGUUCAACUAGUCCCAACAGGAGGCAAAUUCCUCCAUUUCUUCAUCGGGUCCGGAUCCUUUGCUCAAAAAGGUAAUUUUCUUACUGCCCUAAAAGAAAAAGGGAAAAUGUGAGUCAUUGGAUUGUUGACUCAGGAGCUUUUGAUCACAUGACUAGAGUGCCACAAUUUUUCAAAAUUAUACACCUUGUUUUGGGGAUGAUACAAUUCGUAUGGCUGAUGGUUCUCUCUCAAAGGUGACUGGUACAAGUUUUAUUGUCAUCUCUAAGGACCUAACUCUUGACUCUAUUCUUUUGGUUCCAAACUUGGAUUGCAAUCUAUUGUCCAUUAGUAAACUCACUUAUGAAAAGAACUAUGUUACUAAAUUUUUCCCAAACCAUUGUGUUUUUUAGAAUUUGAAUUCGGGGAAGACGAUUGGCAAUGUUGAAGUGUGUUUAGGACUCUAUGCCUUCAAAGUGAAUUAUUAUAUUGAAAGACAAUCUUAACCAACAGUUGGUGAAAAAUGGUGUCUUUUUGUCUUUAGUUCUAAUAAAGAUAGUGAUGUUAUGUUAUAGCACUAUUGUCUAGGACAUCCUAGUUUCUUAUAUCUCAAAAAACUCUUUCCAUGGUUUUCAGUGUGAAAUUUGUCAACUAUCCAAGCAUCUUUGCAAGCCCUAUCCAUAGUUUUAAAAGACUUAAGGCACACCAAGACGCAAAGUCCUCUUGGAGCCUUAGGCGCAAGGCACACCUAAGGCGCGAACUUUAGUAAAGUGAGGUGCAUCCUGUUUUACAUAUAUAUUUUUAUAUAAUACAAUCAAGUGCCCGAAAAUUUUCCUCUAAUUUUCCCCUUCUUCUUCAUCCUCUUCUCUUCUUCACAUUGUUCGGGAGGCUAGGACAUUUUUUUUUUUUUACAUGUCUAAAACAAGCAUAUAUUGGGUUUUGGAAGAAGAACAAGCCAAAAUGACAUCGUUUUGGAGCCUAAUCUUUUAAAUAAAUAAAUAAAUAAAUAAAAACCAGCCAAAAAUGACACCGUUUUGGCCCCUGUUCUUUUAAAAGAACAAACCAAACAACGUCAUUUUGAUCUCAGGAAAUUAAAAAAACAAAACCCUCGUCAUUCUCCCUUUGCUACUCUACAACUCAUCGUCAAAGGGUAAAAAGAUGACCAAAAGAAGAAGAAGAAAAAAAAAAAACGACGACAGAGGAUAGAGGUGCACCUGUUGAGGGCGUUGCGCCUAGCCAAGAGGCGAGCGCCUUGCACACUUAAUCAACGCCUCUGUGAAGGGGCGGCUCCUGCAAUCAGGCGAAGCGCUGAAGGGUGAUGUCACAUCGUCUAGAGCCUAGGCGCACCUUUCACAACUAUGACCCUAUCCAACUCAACCAUACAAACCAUCUCAUCUUUUUUCCAUACAUAGUGAUGUUUGGAGGUCAUCUAAAAUAAAGAACAUAACAGGGACUAGAUGGUUGAUGAUCAUACUAGAAUUUCUUAGAUAUUUCUAAUGAAAAAAAAAUCAAAAAUUAGUCAAAUUUUCUAAAAGUGGACCAGAAUUUCUUUAUUGAAUUAAAAAGUUGAAAUUAAUAUUUUGGAAAAGUUAGGGCCGCUCAAGAGGUAGAAAUAGCGCUCGAGUGGUAGAAAUAGCGCUCGAGUGGUAGAAAUAGCCCUCAAGUGGUAGAAAUAGCGCUCAAGCGCUAGGACCGCUCAAGCACUUAACUAGCGCUUGAGCGCUCAUAUAGAAUCUGCCAGAAUAUGGAAGAAUAUUUUUUGGAUAAUCAUGAAAAUUGGAUUUGGAAACUUUAGAAUAUCAAUCUCCUUCGGCCUAGAGGUUUAUAUAAACCCUAUUAUAACCCUUUAGGGUUAAGAAAUUCACCAAGUGGUUUACCCUAACUUGUCAUACCAUUCCCGAUCUCUCAUCAAGGAAUCAAAGUGUUUAAUCUUGGGUUGUUUGAAGACCUGCAUCCCUUCAACAAGGCUAAGGUGUAUUCACUAGAACAAUUGAAAUUGUUGCAUUGCGGACAUGAAUCAAGUUGCAGGUUCUAGAGAGUAAGUCUUUAGAAUAAAGCAGACAAAGAGUUCUAUGUGACUUUAUCUCAUAUAGUGGAUUUAGCUUUGAGGUCUUAGACCUCGUGGGUUUUUAUCUCCAUAGUUAGUGUGGGGGUUUUCCACAUAAAAAUUAUUGUGUCUCUUGAUCUUAUGUUUGAUUUUAGAUAUUCUAUUUAUCCCUGAUAUCUCACAGGUUAACUUUAGGUUAAAAAUUCAACUCCCUAUUUAAUAAUUUUUAAAAUACACCCAUUCACGAGUGUUAUCCUACUGGACAUUGGUUUUUCACCAUAUAUAACACUCAUACCAAAACCCAUGCAACAUGGACUCCAACCUUAAGCUUAACUUUCUACGAAUGGAAAAAAAAAAAGACAUAACAUAAAUAGACAGAUUUAACAACAUGCUCCUAAUCAAGGUGAAUGUCCCUCUUUUUGAAAGAUAUGACCUUUUCCAUACGAGGAGCUUUCUUUAAAAUUUCACCUCUACCAAUUCCCAUGCCUUUACAAAGUUGUGGAAAGCUCCAAAGAGAAGGCCCAGACAUGUAAUGGGUAGAUUCCCUACCUUAGAACCUUACACCAAAGCUAAACCCCUAAUAUUUGUGACUUCUAUAAGAAUCAAUUCAUUUUUUUCCAUAUUUAUUUCUAAAUCAGACAUUGCCUCAAACCACAUGAAGUUAUAACUUGGAUGUUACAGAUGCUCUUAAUUAGUGUCACAAAAAAAUAGGGUAUCAUCAUCAAACAAGAAAUGUGACACUUCCAUCCCCUCCUCCUGUCUUCCUCCCACUUUGAAACUUGAGAUGUAACCCCUUUUAUCUAAUUCUCCUCAAAAUUCAAUUGAAAGCCUUCAUUGCCAAUAUGAAAAUGUAAGGGGAGAGAGGAUCUUUCUACCUCAAAUCCCUUGAGCUCUCAAAGAAACUGAAUAGGACACUAUUUACUAGAAUAGAGAAUUGAGUAGUGGAAAUGAACCAUUUGAUCCACCUCACCCACUUAUGAUCAAAGUCCAUUUUAUCCAACAUCAUUAACAAAAAGUUCCAAUUUACAUGGCCAUCGUCCUUUCCAAUGUCUAACUUGCAAAUUACCCCACUAUUGGGACUCUUUAACCUUGAAUCUAGAGCAUCAUUUAUGAUUAGAACUGCAUCUAGAAAUUGUCUGUCUUCCACAAAAGCAUGCAAAUAAACUAAAACUAUUUUACCCACCACAUUUUUUAGUCUUUUAGCCAAGACUUUUUCCAAUAGCUUGUACAAAAAAACCCCCAACUAAGCUAAUCAAUGUAAAAAAUUUUAGGUUCUCUGCUGCACCUAUAUUAGGGAUCAAGACCAAGAACAUGACAUUUAAAUUUUGCUCAAAGGAACAAUUAUCAAAAAACUCCCCAAGCUCAUUUGCCAAAAUAUUAUAAUAAAUCCAUUUGGCCCCUACAGCUUUAUCCCCACUCAAGCUAGACAAGGCAACAAGAAAUUCCUCAUCAAAGAAAGGUAACUCCAAUUUCCUAGAAUCAGCACAUAGCAUAACUUCAAAGGUCAUCCCAUUAAUGUUGAGUCUCCACUCGCCCAUAUCAGAUAGGAGAUUUUGGAAGGCCCUAAACUCCCCUUCCUUUAUAUUUGCUUCCCAAGCAACCAUUUUGCAUUCACUCAAAUUUUAAACAUGAAGUUUUUUAUUCUUUGGGCAUUGACCAUUUCAUGGAAAAUUUUGGUGUUUUUAUCCACCCCCUCUUUUAACCAAAUUUCUCUUUAUUUUUGCCCCCAUACAUAUAGAUUCUUCUAACAAGGCCCACUUGCUAAACUCAAUCACCACUAACCUUUGGCCUCAACGAUUUCAAGAGAUAAGGUAACUGCUCUCUACUUUGAGUCCCAGAAGUUGAUCCAGUUUAGCACCUCUAGGUUUUUUGUUGAGACAUUCCCAAAACCUUCUUCAUUCCAAGAUUUUAAAUCUCGUUUGACAGCCUUUAGUUUAACUUCCAAAAUAUGACCAUACAAGCCAUCCACAUUAUAACCAUCAACCAACUCCUCACAAAAUCUUUUAAGCCUUUUGUUUUAGGCUACAUAUUUUAAAAUGUAAACUGUGUUUUCCCACUCCUUAUCCUACCUCCAUCUAAAACUAUGGGGUAAUGACCAAAAAUUGGUUUAGGUAAAAUACUCUAGAUUAAAGUAGAAAAACGAUUCUACCAAUCAUCUGACACUAGGAAAUGGCCAAGCUAGCCUUGAAGAAGACAAAAGAUUAUGAACACCACUCCAAGUGAAUAGCCCUCCAACUAGCGAAAGAUCCCAAGGUCAAGUCCUCUAUGUCCUCUGAAAAGAACCUCAUAUCAAACAACAUUCUAAGGCAAUUCCUCCUUUUCAUGGGGAACUUGACCAUAUUAAAAUCCCCUCUGAAGCACUAGAGGUCAUCCCAAAGGCCUCUUAUGGCACCCAACUCUACCCAGAAAUCCACUCUUUCUCCCCUUUAAACCAACCCAUAAACUCUUACGUAUACCUAGACAAAGCUAUCUUCACAAUUCAUAGACAAGCAAUAGAGAAUGCUUCCACCUCCUUACCAAUUAACUCUAAUACCCUACUAUCUUGGAAAACCAAAAUGCCUACUAUCAAGCUUCUAACUUCCAAUACCAUUUCAAAAAUUUUCCUACUCCUAAACUCCUUACCAGUUGAACGAACAUCUAUCGAACCUUGGUUUCUUGUUAACAAACUAGAUCAACCCCUUGAGACCUUAUCAAUGACUUUAUUAUCAUAUACUUUUCCUCAUCAUUUGCUCAUUUGACAUUCCAAGACAGGAUUUUUAGCUUCAUCAUGCAACCUAUGUUGGAUCCUAACUGCUACUCUUGGAGCCCUUUUCCUUUUUGUUGAGCUUUUAUAAUUGACUAAGCAUCCCAACUUGUUGAGGUCCCUCUCAAACCAAGAUAUCGAGGUUAACUUCCUCUUCACCUCCAACGAAAAAACAGAAACCCCUCUCCUUAGCCUGCCACACAAGGGAAAAGAUCUCUUUUUCAAAUCCAUCAACUGGCAUUCUUGAGAAACUAUUGAAAUUUGCCAACUUACAAGAUAUACAAUUGGAGGAGUGCUUCUCUACCAAACAACUACUAAAAUUCACCUCAAAGGUGACCUUUUCCCCUGAUCUCUCCCCGGCCUCCAUACCCACUGACCCUUUCACAAAAUUUUCUAGAAUUUCCACUAUCAAGCCGUUACGGAGAACCAUCCUCAACAAACUCCUUUGACUAAUGUGAAAAACCCCACCCAAGAGCAUCUUCCAGAAGUUAACUUACAAGAUUAACUAUAAUCUUGUGAAGACUCGUUACCUAAUGGGUAAAAAAUUUGAAAUUCUAUUAGUAUAAUUCUUUUUAGGCACAAAAGCUGUGAAAAUAGCAUUGGUGCUCUAAUUAAUAACCCCAUAAUUAUUAAGCAAUAAAACAACUUUUAAUAAAUUCUCUUUCACCACAUCCCACCAAUCCUAAUGCAAAAAAGCUAGGAAAAAGUCAUCAUUGCUCUAAGCAUUUCUCCUCACUAGUUGAAAGACUGCUUUAUGAACUUCCUCUUCGACAAAAGGACAAUCCAACCAAUUAGCACCAUUUUCCAAAAUGAGAGACCAACCCCCACUCUUCUAUCCUCUAAGGAUCUUCAUAUAACCAUUAAUGCCUUUCUAUACCAGCUAGUAUAUAUCGGGUUUUGGGCAAGUCCUAUAAAUUGGUUUGAGUAAGAUUUUUAAUUACCCUGUUCUUUCUUUUUAGUUGAUAAAUAUGCAUAUAUGUAGUAAUUCAUACAUCAGAAAAGAUUUUGCUAAAACAAAAGAAUUGACAUGCAGAUAGUGACUUCUUGAUAAGAGUAAUAGCUUAAGGGAGGAAAAUGAACUCCUCCAGUGGCCCCAAAGUGGUAAGUUCCUUCAGAUCCCAUGUUGCUAUUCUGCAUUUCUUUGUGUUUUGGCAUCAGCCCUCUUAAUUAAUUCACUAUCCAGCUUCUCAAAUUCCUCGGAUUCUUCCCUUGUUCUUGUGGAAACAUCUGCAUCUUGUCCUUGCAUUGUUAUGGAUUGGUGAUUAUCAUUCUUUGAGAACUGUGUGGCAGCUGCUCGUGCACCAGCUAUGGCUGCAAGGAGACCUUCUGGUUUCUUGUCUUCAGCAGCUUUGGAGCCAUCAAAGCAAGAAACAAGUAAUCCUGGUUUCAAAGAGAGGGGAUCUUGUGGUUCUGGAAGCAGAAACUUGACAGGUAGUGGAGCUUGAACAGGACGAAGACCCCUAACUGCUGCCUCAUAUAUCUGCAACAAUUUCAGGGGGGAUAAGUAAUUAAAAAUCAGUCACUCUAUUGCAUUAGUUAGACUUGCUUUCAAUGCGAUAGCAAAGAAAGAAUCAUCAAUGAAAAAAGAAAAAAUAAAUGAAAAAGAACAAAAAGGAGAGGGAAAAAAAAAUGAUGGGUGCUCAAUUUGUACUUUUCUUUCCAGGUUAUAAAUACGUUGGUACCCGCGCAUCUCAAAUGGUAUGAUUAAUUUCUGCAUCAGGUCAGGAGAACUAAGUCCAUCAAUAUACUAAAAAGCAAAUAUACCAAAAGGCAAGCAAAAAUGUUUAACCAUCUUGAGUGUCAAACUCUCCAAGAAACUAUAUACUUUUAGCUGAAUGAAAACACAUGCCUGUGGUUGCUCACAGAGCCAGCAAAACUCUGUUUGCGCUUCUAGCCUUACCUACAAAUAGAGUUUAGGUUAUCCAACCAAAAUGGAGAUACAUCACACAAAACAAACUGUACCUAAUCAGUUUACGAAGGGGACGGGGGGAAGCAAAAAGCAAAAGUAAAUUUCUAAGAUGCCCACCCCUUCAGGUACCUCCUUCCAGCACGCCAGCUCUUCACAUUUAACACAACCAACUACUUCAAUACAACCUGUGGCAAGAAUAGAGUUUGUUGGAUUUAUUGUAGCAUGCCAUACAGAAAAAUUUAGCAUUUCAGUAAGAAUAAGAAUAAGAGAGCUACUUUCCACUAAAAUACGAAUCACCCAUCAACUGUUGCAAACAGACAACAAUGUGAAUAACAGGUUUUAUAUAUAUAUAUAUAGAGAGAGAGAGAGAGAGAGAGAGAGAGAGAGAUAGAUAGAUAUAGAGAGAGAGAGAGAGUCAAAUAAUAAUAAAGGACAAAAAUAUUUCUUUGAGAAAGACUAAUUAGAAAGAAGAAACAAAGAACCCACAUGAAAUCAAUUUAGAUAAGAGAAAUACCUUUAAGAAUCUAGUUCUUUUUGCAAAUUGCAACUUAGAAUUGGAAUGCCACAUAUUAUUAUAAGGUAUCACAAGAGAUUAUUGCUUCAUUUUUUUUCUUUGCCAGAUCAGUUUUAAUAAAUAUAAAUAUAAAAAUAUAAGCAUGUACACACACACACGCAAACACAUUAUGUGUGUAUGUUUAUGGAUAUGUAGAUAUAGGUUUUUAAUAAUAGAGCAUGAAAACAUAUCUAGUCAGAAAUUCCAAAAAUCCAAAACCAUUAGCAACACCUAACAGUCUUGAAACUGGGUAAUGUUCUGGAAACUUGAGGUCUGCUAUCCCAUUCACAGCAUAGAUCUCCCUGUAGAAAUUCUCCAUUGCUUUGAUUGUGUCUGAAUCUGGGACCUUACUAGCAGCAUGAAUCCAGAGUCGGCCUUCAUAAAACAAAACAUGUAUAUUAAGAAAUAUCCUUGUAGAACAGUAACAUUUUUGCCAGCAUGCAAUUCGUGUUAAUAAUCCUUGGUUCUCACCACUCAUUGUACAUUACAAUGUAAAGACCUAAUAAGCCCUAAUAUAGGUAGGUGUCUGUGCAGAGAGAGAGAGAGAGAGAGGGGAGGGGGGUGAAAGGAAAGAUGAUUAUAGAACAAAUACAAGUUGAAUCUCCUGAAAUAAUGUCCAUCAAGUUAUUUCCUAGCAACAAGUACUGAUUAUGCUUUUCCUGAUAACAUGAUUUUCUUUGCUAACAACCAUACUAUAUUUUAUCAAGAAAGAGUAGUGCAUGUGGCGUGCAUCAAGACCCAUUAGAGUUCCGCUAAACCUAUAGUUCUGUCAACGUUAUCAUUUACGUUUCCUCUAGAUAAUGGCAUUUUCCUCUAAAACUCUUGCACCAUUAGGCUUCAAGUCAAAAUUUCACAUGUGAACUUUGGAAAUUUUCUCCAUUUGCCCCUAAGGAUACAGUUAGAAUUGACUUAAAAUCCUGAUUGAUGUAUACUUUUAACCGAAGAAUAUUGUAUAUAAUAAUUGAAAUAUUGUUGAUUCAUCGUGGAAAUACAUUUUGUAAGGAAAGUUGUUAAGAAUUUAGUAUGCUAUAUGGAGAAAAAAGUCAUGACUUAAGGUUGAGUAUGUAUAUUCUAUAUCAAAUAUUAGGUAGGAAUGUGGAAAAGAGCAGAGUGUAAUUAUAAGAAACAAAGAAAUAUAAGAUAUUCUUGAAAGUGGAAAAUGUAAAAUGGCUAAAAGUCAAAUUUAUGAUGCAUAAGGGGGAUCAUGUCACAUAAGAAACUCAUGGCAUACCAAAUACGUGUGGUAUGGAGUAACAAUUUUGUUAAAAUAAGUUUCUCGUUGGAGUACAUUAGGUGACAAUUUUUUAAUAUCAAAUUAAAGAGUCAAGUGCAUCAAUGAAGUCAUAUGUAGAAAAUUUGUUUGUGACAUGUACCAUAAAGAUAAGAUUGACUUGAUAUAAUUUAGUCCAGGUAGGAGUUGUUAAAGGUGUCUCAAAUUUCUAAUUGAUAUAUAUUUUUUUCUAAAAAAAUAUUAUAUAGAUAUUUCAAUAAAUGAUUAAUUCUUUGUAAAAAUACUUACAUAAUAAAAAACAUCAUUAGAAAUAUCUCUAUAAAUAUUUUAAAUCACAAAAAGAAAAAAAAAAUCACUAUGAGAUAAUUAUAAACAUGCAACAUUGUACCAAGUAAACAGAAAUGUGAUAAAAAAAUUUUGAGAAACACUAAAUAAAGGAAGGGCUUGUAUAUCAAGAUGUAAAUAUAGAGAGCAAUAUUUUUAAUCAUAUGAUAGAAUUAUUUUCUCUCAUUCAUGAUUAUAAGCAAAAUUGGGAACCAUUAUAAAAUCUUGUACACCUCGUGUAAAUUGAUGUUUGUCUUCAUAUUUUACACCAACAAAUGACAUUGAAGUUGUCAUUGAUAAAAGGGAAAAGGCAUGGCCUCCACACCAUGUGCUUGAAUCGUAUGGUUCAAGUUUAAAGAAUUUUCUCCAUAAUUUGAAGAUCUAAAACAUUUUCACCUUUAAAUUUCAUUUAAUUAUUAAUAUCUACAAAAAAUAGUUAAAUACUCUUUCUAUUUUUGAGUUGUUGAAUUUUUUGAAAGUUUUUAUAUUUGUUAUCAAGAAUUUAUAUUUUAUUAAGUGUGAAUAUUUAUAAAUAAGAUAUUAUAUAAUAUUUGGAUAAGAGAGAAUGGUGGAAUAUAAUAAAGUUUUAAUCCUUCCCAAUUUUUAUCUUUUUUUUUUUUUUUUUUUAUAAUCGCCUUUCUCUUUCAAUCCUAUUAUCAGGUACCUUAUAUUUGCUGAUGCUAUCUGGAACUAAAUUCCAAUCAGACAUUGUCCAAUUACUAAUAGGACAGAUCAUGUCUCUCUGUUUCUAAACUAACAUGUAUCGUAAUGUGGCCUCAUAAGGAAGGCUAGGAAGAUGGAGGAUUUUGUGGGAAGCGACCAGAAUCAGAUGGAAGAGAGAUAGCCCUGUUGACCUAAUGGCUGUAAUAGGAGAAGCGUGUGGAUUUAUGGGACUUAACUGAUACUAAACCUAUAUGAUGCUUGGAGUGGUGUUUCUUUCAUUUUGUUAAGAAAAUAUGGCAGCAUACAUCCUUUCAAUUGAGUGCAUCAGAGCAUCCAUAAUAGAUGGUCUGCAACCCUAGGUGCAUGCCACUUUCUGACUGAUAAUGAAACUGUCAGGUACUUGGCCUUGACUAAGCUCAACAGCAUCACAUAAAAAGAAGCUUUCAUACUUAGAUUACUGUUUAAAGCUUUUGCUUAUUUGCUUUCUUAAUGCCAUUAUGACAUUAUUGUUUCAAUUCUGCUACCGAUUUUCGAAGUUCUGGGCAUCUACUGAUUGCAUCAUUAUAUGAGAAGUUGCAUGAGUUUAUGUAUCCUGUUAUUGCUCCUUUGCGAUUUCACUGCUCACGGGACUAACCUCUCCAUUCAGUCGAAAUGAAUUGUAAUUUCUUUACUGGUAGCAGUAGUACUUUUCAUAGCAAAGAUAAUAGUAAAUAUGAAAUAUAAAUAGAAGGAAAUCUGAAUUGUAGAUGGCACUAUAAGUAACACUCAAUAUUCACUACAUAAUAAAAUAGACAGUGUUACAAAGGUAGAGAAACCUACAAUGAGUACUCAUCACCAUUCUCAAACAGAAACAUAGCAGCGACUUAUACAUAGAACCUAUAGGCUUGCAGGGAAAGAAGGGAAAGAGUAACAUGAUAAGUUCACAGCGGGUAGCAGCUCUUAUUUUACGUAUUACUCAAAAUCUCAAACUAACCAAAGUCACUCAGUUGGGAUGGGUAGGAGAUGGUGGUUUGUGGGGUGGCUUCUGGGUAGGAGCUGGUGGCUUCUUUGUUGGAGUUGAAGGAGGCGUAAUCUUCUGAGGUGGCUUGUAUGAGUCUUCGGCACUCUCUGCAGGAGGGUGCCCAGGGUUGUGACCGGAAGGAGGUGGCUUCUGUCCCUUUGGUGGUUUGCCUAAUGGGCUUGGUGGCUUGUGCUCCGGGAGUUGUUUCUCUCCCUCGAGUAGGUUUCGAGUUUUGUCAGAUGGCUUGUGUUCUGGUGGUGGCUUCUCUCCCUGGGGUGGUUUGCCGAAUGGGCUUGGUGGCUUGUGUUCGGGGAGUGGCUUCUCUCCCUGGAGAAGGUUACGAGUUUUGUCAGAUGGCUUUUGUUCUGGUGGUGGCUUCUCUCCCUGGGGUGGUUUGCCAAAUGGGCUUGGUGGCUUGUGUUCGGGAACUGGCUUCUCUCCCUUGGGAGGUUCAUUUGGUGGCUGGUGUUCCGUAGGUGGUUCCUUCACCGGCGGCUUGUGCUCCGGAAGCGGCUUCUCUACCUGGAGAAGCUUACGAGUUUUGUCAGAUGGCUUGUGUUGUGGUGGGGGCUUCUCUCCCUGGGGUGGUUUGCCAAACGGACUUGGUGGCUUGUGUUCGGGGAGUGGCUUCUCUCCAUUGGGAGGUUUAAUUGGUGGUUGGUGUUCCGUAGGUGGUUUCUGAAGUGGGGGAUGCUUGGGGUAGUCAGCAAGAGACGAGGUAGUGAGAACCACCAGUCCCAGCAGCAACACUAGCAAGGAUGUGGAAGAC
Molecule: long non-coding RNA, 144800 nt
Filed under: Vitis vinifera (wine grape)
Lineage: Eukaryota; Viridiplantae; Streptophyta; Magnoliopsida; Vitales; Vitaceae
Description: long non-coding RNA (VVIN_LNC001392)
Source: RNAcentral